UCUCCUUCCUCCAGGAGGUGACGUGGUUCACAGCAUCCAUACUUUUGCGUUAAGUUGAGAGUAAACCAGCAGCUCUUCGCAAGCAGGGACAUAAAUCAGCUGAAAUCUUUAAGAGAGUGCAAAUACAAUUGCACACUGAUCAGGCCACCAAUGGUUGAAUGAUUUUGACUCUUGAUCUCCUAUCUCAAAUCCAGUUGAAAUAUUUCCCAUUUAUUGUCUUAGUCAUAUUUUCUUGACAAGAAAAGGUAUGAAGGAUAUCUGCACUUCAAGUUUCUUGAAUGAUCCAUGAAAAGAUAUUUAUCCAGGUGGUAAGAGCAAUCCAGACGCUCUUUGCAAGCACGGACAUAAAUCAGCUGAAAUCGUUAAGAGAGUGCAAAAACAAUUGCAUGCUGAUGAGGCCACCAAUGGUUUGACUGAUUUCGACUCAUGCUCUCAUACCUCAAAUACAGUUGAAAUAUUUUCCGUUCGUUGAUCAAAUUUCCAGUGGCCACAUGUUCAAUCUAAAGUUCCUGUGGAGUCAUGGUUUGUCAACUUGCGGUUAGUCACGACAAUUCACUGUUCUCACACAAAUUCAAGGAAACUAUCUGCAGUUUCCACACCACCUCUGUACCAAAGGGAUCAUCCACUUUCGCAGACUAUGGCUUUUCUCUGGUUUCUUCUCUACUCACUCAGCAUCUGUUCCCCUACCCUCCUCCUGAUGCAAAUAGAGCCCUUACACAAUUGCAAUACACUCCACUUACCUCAAGCUGUCGAGACACGCCCAAUUUGAUGGUCCAAUCAGGAACUAUAAUCAACACAAACUCACUUCUCAACAGGGCACGCAAUUAUUAAUUUGAUCAACAAGCACAUCAUCAAACUGGACAGAUCUCAUCUGCCGGUGGCCAAAUUCCAGAUCUGCUAAUCCGAGCACGCCGGCAAGCCAAAGCAGACCAUGUGACAUCAAGCCGGCAAAAAAAGGGAAGAAAAACAGCCAAGAUACAGGAACGACCUAAUAGUUUGCCCCCAGAUCUAACGCCCGACGCCGCUGUUAGCACCGAAGCACGUACCUCGCGGCAGCCAGCGCCCAGCCGCCGUCUAAUAUAGCCACUAGUUGGCGACGUCCCCGCGCUCGGCGGCGGCCGACGCGUCCUGCAGCUGCUGGUACGGCUUGUCGUCGUGGACGAAGAAGACGUAGAAGCCGCCGCAGGUGGUGGCGGCGGCCAUCGCCCAGACCAGGAGCUUGACGGCGAGCGGCAUGACCUCGGCGACCUUGUAGGUGAACAUGACGGUGAGCAGCGUGGUGAGCGCCCAGACGGCGGCCUUGAUCCGCUCCCGGCGGGGGGAGUGGCGGUCGAGGCGCUCGUAGAGGCGCAGGCAGGCGAAGAGGGCCACGAGGUCGAGGUAGGAGACGGCGACGAAGAUGACGGACCCGGCGUCGCCGUUGGAGCGGUACACGGCCAUGCCGGAGUUGAAGGUCAGGAAGACGAACCCUAGCGCCGUGAGCCACGAUAACUCUGCCAUCGCUGGUGCCGCUGCGGAUCCGUGCUGCUACCUGCGACGGAUAAGAGACGAGUCAGGGUGGAUUUAAAGGGGGCGGAGAAACGGAGAAGCCGCGACCGGCCGCGGAAUCGCCGAAGGGGGGAAAAAGAUUGGAAAGAGGAACGCACCUGAUUAUUUAUGGUUGGUGGAGACUGACGAUGAACUACGCGUCUGGAGAGCACAAGGGUUUGGGUCUUAACGUGUUUCUUUGGGUCGCUGUCGUGAGAGAUGGUGUGUCCACCGAUGUACCGAAAGCGUGUCUCGUGCACUAGACUCUUCUUUUUUCUUGUGAAGUACGUGUACGUUCUUUUUUCUGAAAAAUAUUCAGAUCUAGGAGUAUUAUAAAAAAUUCAUCAGAACCACGUACAAAACACCUCAAACACAAUAAAAAUUAAAGAGAAAUUCAUAUUACAACUCUGAAUUACCAUAUAAGAUACAACACCAAACUCCAAAGUCUUCUACUUCAUAACAUCAAACUUUCAAAAAUUGACAAGAAUUAACCCUAAACCGUUUUUGACUGGUUUCAGUCGGCCCACUAUGCCACCCUGACCUUUAACCCUGGUCAUGGGACGAGGCUUGCCUCCUCUCCCUCCUGUGCUCCCAUCCAUACUCCCGCACCAUCCAUUCUUCAUCUGACGGUUACAACAUUUUCCCUCCCUCUCGAUCCUUUUCCAGUCAAAACUAAAGCAAACAAACUCCCGUAUUUCCUUCUGCCGUGGCCCGCGCCGCUGGCACGCCCUCCCCGCACGAUCCCUUUCCAUUGAUUCAGUGCGGUAGAAACAAAAGCUAAAUACCGAGAUGAACAAAAUCAUCAUGCUACUAAGAACCAGAGCUUAAUGUUGAUGCACACAGGAAUGUGUUGCGGUGUUGCCGCAUGCCACCAAAGAAGAAAGAACACACAAAAGUUGCAUGCACCAGUCGACUAGUUGCUCAGAAGGUACAGCGACGGACGGAUCGAGGCGCCGGCGUCUCCGAUGAGUGGGCGCCAUGACGGCCACGGGAGGAGAUAGAGGCGACGACCUCGUGCUACAUCUCGGCGGCUGUGGAACUUCGUUCGGUGGUAGAGGAGGGAGAACGGGGCGGCUGACGGGAGGAGAUGAAGGCGGCAACGGGACCUUGGUCGGGGUCGCCGGGUCGGACAAUCGGCUGUCGAUCGGAACUUCGGAAGGUAUGAGGGAAGGAGACGAGAAGAAAUUACGUGCUUGAGAUGGAAUACAGACUUUUGUUUGCUUUCUUUUAGCUGAAAAAUGGUGCAGCCGCUGGAUGAGAAUUUAACUGUGCGGGAGUAUAGAUGGGAGCACGGGAGGGGAGCAGGCAAGCCUCGUCCCUAGUCAUGGGCCGGCAGUGCUAAAAAAGCCGUCAACGUGGCAGCUCCAACCGAUUGGACUCUGGCGAGGCUGAAGCUAGGCUACAUGGAGCUGGUGGGCUGGUGGGGGAUAAUUGACUCAUGGGCAUUCAGUAGGAGGCCCCUUUACGAGUCUUCCUCCUCCAAACUGACAAAAUUGACAAGAACUCCAUCCACUCAGCCACUGGAGGAGCUUCUUGGAGGCCAAAGGGGGCCACGACCGCCCCUCCAAAAGUGAAAACAAAAGUUAUUACCAUGUUUUGUCCCAUAUUCCUGUUUCUCCCCCACAAUGUUGAGAGAAUUCCUUAUUUGGCUCUUUCUUAAAUUUUGCUUUCCUUUUUGGCCCUAAAAAACAUUUUCUUCCCUUUUUGACACACAAAUUUUAUUUUGUUCCCUCCAUGACAAUUAUGGCAAUUUUGGCGACUAACACAGUGAAGUGCAACAUGAAAAGUCGCUUUUACCCCCUGCUUUAGCUCACUGGCAAAAAAAAUCCCCACCGCGCCUUCUCACCCGAGUCCACCCAAGCGCAAAAAAAAGCUGCAAGGGCCCAUAGCGUGACGUCACCACGUCGCAGGGCCCGCGUGAUUUGCAUGGUGGUUUAGCAUGGCACGAGUCUUCAAGGUCGUGGCGCCUGGGGUAGGAAAACUACCGGCCAUCACUUUCUUUCUGUACCGAAAAAAAGAGAAGAAGAUUACAGAAAAGUCGCAUUCGUAUGCGAUGCAAAACUCUCGUCUGGUCGUCUUUGUGAUCGAGUGAUUUAGCGAGUAGACCAAGGGCGUCGUCGCCGACCAGGCACUCACCUCCGGCAACACCACGCCCGCGCUUGUUGCGCAGAACGCCAACAAUAUCUACUUGUUCAUCCGCGCCGGACAGAUACGCACCAAGAUCUUCCCUUCGCUGAUUUUGAGGGAGGGGGAUGACGGGUCCGUCACGUCUCCUUGGCGACACGCUAGGUGAGUCCGCCCCACGGCGAUGGCCGGCGUGGUUCGCCGUAAACCUUCGGACGGCGACGACUCUCAGGCCAUGUCGCGGGGAGGACGUGCUCGGCUCGCACCUGGACUCGGUGGAGCUCGUGGAUGAGCGAGGGUGCACGAUGGACAGGCGGGCCAGGAGAGGGCUCGUGUUGGCCCCUGGCUCUACAAUCGUGUUCCCCUGUCAUGUCGCGUGCAUCGAGGAGGAAGACCCCGACGGGAGCGACGCCUCGAGAGCCGGCGAGGGAGGAAUUGCGGCCGGUGGGAGAGGAAAUGCGGCCGGUGGGGGAGUUAAUUCGGGCAAUACUUAUGGCCGGGUUACUCCGCUCCUUCUCGGUCCUUCACUUCCUCUCCCAGCCGUCUCGUUCACCUCUCUCCUGGUUGACGACUGCAGCGGAGAUGGUGGAGAUCAGCGAGGAGAAGUUGAGGAGGUUUGCAGGCAGGGACGCGCGCCUGCGUGCUCGCCUGAGGGAGAUCGGCUCGUGGUACACCAGCAAAAGGGAGAUGUAUGGGGAGGCGGAGGUGAUCUUCGAGGGCCUGACGGCGGCGGAGGAGCGGUCGUUGUUCGGGCAAGGUGGGCGCAAGCAUCCACUCUAGGUGCUGCUGUGGGCGAUGGAUCAGGCGGACUCGCCGGUGAGAGCUGUGGCGAGGAAGUGGGUAGCGUUAACCUCCUUCGAGACGGCGAAUCUCGCCCCGGCCAUGCGGGAGUCGACGCUCAGAUCCCGCGAGGGGUGCUGGCUCUUCCUGCUCCAGGAUCGGCCAUGGCGCCGAUCGAGAUCCGCGAAGACCCAGUGGAGCAACCACCGCAGGAGGAGGCGCGACAGAUGGAGGCGCGGAUCCCGCGACGCUCGGCUCGACUCGCCCCAACUCCGACAACACUGACCCCUCGCCGCUCGGCACGCCUCGCCGGAAUCGAUGCCUGAAGCCUUCACUAGCCCACAACCGCUUCUGGAUGUUGGCUAGCGAAGAUUCAGGUCCCGAUUCUGAUGAGGAUGAUGAUGCAGGUAAUCAUUGUGACUCCGCUCCUUCAUAUGAUCCUUCUGUCUGCAAAUAUCGCAUGCAAUUUGAGGAUGUUGAUACACAAAGCCGAAUCAGGCUUGUGAAUAGAAAAAUGAAGAAAAAAAUGAAUCGAUAUGUGCAGAGUUUACUUCUGAAGCAUGAGGGGGAUGCAGAUAGGAAGAAAAAUGAUAGGAUGUGUACCGAUUUUAGUAGGGACAUGACACAUAUUGAUUCUCCUAGUUGGGGAGAUUAUCACUGUAGUGAAAUUGAUAUGGCGCUCAUAAAAAUGAAGCCCAGAAAUCCAAUAAUCUGGGAUUAUACCAGAUUCCCUGAAUUUUUAAGUGACAUUGAACCUGAUGAUAUCAAUCCUCCCAAAAACUUAUCAAUGGUUCUAAUAGGAGAAUGGACAAGAUUGAUAAGGAAGAUAUUAGGAUUGAUAUCCCUGAGAAUUAUGCGCUGGAGGAAGUGGUUGGUGAAUUUCAGAGAGGAUGAGAGAUUCAGAGUGCUGGAAAAGAAAACAGGGAUGACAGCAGAGAAGGAGAGUGGGGGGAGAUUCGCUCUGAUAACGUGGGCUUUAAGGGCUCCUGGCCCAAUAAGGUGAGAAGUUUUGGGGGCCUAGGGAGGGGCGUGGAGGGGAUGGACAUAUAUAAAGGAGGUAUCCCACCUUUAGUUCCUGAACCUGAUUUCCUUCACCCCCAAACCCUAAAAACCUCAAGGCGGCGGCGAGCAGAGAGGCUGAGACUGAGGAAGAAGAGAUCUCCUGGGAAGAAGAAGAGAUCAUGGCCAAUAGACAAGAGAGCUGGCGCCCCAAGCCAGGGAGAGGGACAGGCUUCGGAGGGAGAGGUAAUUACUACAACAAGCCCAACAAUUCUGAGAGAGGUUUCAACAGGAUAGAUGGGAGAGAUCAAGAUAAUUUUGACUGGAGGAGUAGGGAUGGAAACUACAUAGGAGGAUCUGGGACCAACAGCAGUGGUUCUGGGGGAGAAGGGACAUCUAUGGGGAGUGGCAGGGAUCUGGAUGGCAAGGUUGGGAACUUUGGCCCAGGCAGAAUGGGGGGGGCAGCAGGAAAGAGUUCAUGUGGGGAGUGGAGAGAUGGGAUCUGGAGGUGGUUUUGCAACAGCCAAUCCUAGUGUCCCAUAGAUGGGUAUGCAGGGGGGACAGAUGCAGAUGGCAGGUGGUUUCCCUGUGAUAAAUAACUCUAGCUUCCCUCAGUUGGUACCAGUUGGAAUGGGCUUGGGACAAUUUGGGUUCAUGCCACAGGAGCAAAUGGCACAGCAAUACCAGUAUCUGCUCUCCAACAUGCCAAAACAAGAGACUUUGAAACUGCAGGGGCAACAAAAAGAUGAAGGGGAAAAAGGGGCAGCAAAGAAGAAAGAAAUAAGGAACAACAUCAAGGAACUGUUCUGUGUCAAGUGCAAAGAGCAGGGCACCUGAAGAGUGACUGCAAAAACAAAUUGUUCUGUGUGGUGUGCCAGAGAGCAUCACACAAUACUGAAGAUUGUACAGUGCUGAAACAAGCUAAACCGGUGGCCAAAUAUGUGGGAUAUGGAGCUAGGGGCCUAGGCUGCUUACUGGUGCAACACACUAAAGAUAUUGUAGCUGCUGAACAUACAAACCCCAUGGCUUUGGUGACUGUUCACUCUGGGCAGCUGAAUGAAACUACAAUUGCUUUUGGAUUCUCUAAGAUGUUUGAAUGGGGAUGGACCUGGAGAGCUAAAUUUCAAAGUCCUGUAACUUAUCUGAUGAGAUUCCCCAAUAAAGCUAAAUUGGUGGAAUUAAAAAACUUUGGAAAAUUCACUCUGCUGGGGACAGGAGCAAUGGUUGAGGUUGAUUUCUGGAGUCCAAAUGAUAAAGCCAAAGGGAAGCUACACUCUGUGUGGAUAAAAAUGUGGGGAGUGCCUGACAACCUGAGACAUUACUUGGGGAUAUGUGAGAUUGGGUCUGCUUUGGGGCCAGUGGUGGAGGUGGAUAUUGAACACAUACACUCCAGGGAGGAGAUCAAAGUGAAGGUUGGAGUGAGAGACAUACACAAGAUACCAGCAGGAACUGAGAUAACCACCAGAGACUUACUCCUGUAUGAUAUAUACUUUGAGUUUGACUCAGUUGCUGAACAAGGGUGGUACAAUUUUGAGGAGGGGAACAAAAGGAAGAUGUUUGAAUAUCUGGAGCUAGAACACUUUGAGACACAAAGAGAAAAUGACAUGCAAAAGAAAAGCAAACAAACAGACACUGGGAAACAAAAUGUGAGCCUGGGGAGUCUGGGUCUGAAACAAUAUGAGCAGGUGGUUCUGAAAUAUGGGGAGAGUUGCCAAACCAAUGAUACUCUUGAAGAGAAUAAAAAGGCAGAGAUAGUUGCAGAGAUGCAGGGGAGAGAGGAGGACCUGUUAUCUAGGUUGUAGAAAGCAGAAGAGUUAGCUGCUAGACAGUCUGCACAGCUGAUGUUGGAAGAAAAAAGGAGAAAAGAAAUGGAGAUCAUUAGGAAAACUCUGGAAAAUGAGGUAAAGAGACAACAUGAGUUGCUCCAGAUUAAUCUGAAAGGAUGUGAAGAAGUAAAAGGGUCACAAUCUGGAGAUAAGAACACUGCUGAGGGAGAAGAAGUGGAAACUCUAGAUGAAGAUAUGGGGAUUGAGGACAAACAAGAGGAGGGAGGAGAGAUGACAGACCAGGAGCUGAUGGCACAAGCCACUGGAUUGGGAUAUGUAGAGCCAGUGGAUUAUACAGCUAGUCAAGAGACAGAUUCCUUUGAGACCAAGAUUUUGAAGGCUGGGAAAAGAGAUGCUGAUCUUAAGGAUGAAGAGGAGGAGUUGAGGAGAUGCAUUAGGUUAAAAGGAAAAGAAGAUCGCAAGAUUUCAGAGCUGGCGAAGGAAAGGGUAGCAAAGAAGGAUAAUUAUGGUAAGUUGGGUGAUAUUGGGAGUUUUCCAAAUUGUGACAGUUUCUUUCAGAAAGUUGCUGAAGGGGUUGGUGUUAAUAUUGGAAAUAAUCCUGAUAUGAUAAAAUAUAAUAUAGAAUUGAUAAAAAAGUGGAACAAGCUAGAAUUGAUUUAUGGUUGUCUGACUUCAACAAAGAACAAAAACAGGUUGUUUUGCCUGAGGGUGAUGAGAUCAUUGAUACUUGGGAAUAUACCCUGGAAGAUCUUUUGGACCAGGGAGAAGAUGGAGCUGAUGGGGAAGAUGAUGAUUGGGAAAUAGUCAAAGAGCUCUUUGAAGGAAAUAUGCCCUAGAGGCAAUAACAAAGUUAUUAUUUAUUUCCUUCUAUCAUGAUAAAUGUUUAUUAUUCAUGCUAGAAUUGUAUUAAUCGGAAACAUAAUAGUUGUGUGAAUACAUAGACAAACAGAGUGUCACUAGUAUGCCUCUACUUGACUAGCUUGUUGAUCAAAGAUGGUUUCGUUUCCUAGCCAUAGACAUGAGUUGUCAUUUGAUUAACGGGAUCACAUCAUUAGGAGAAUGAUGUGAUUGACUUGACCCAUUCCGUUAGCUUAGCACUUGAUCGUUUAGUAUUCUGCUAUUGCUUUCUUCAUGACUUAUACAUGUUCCUACGACUAUGAGAUUAUGCAACUCCCGUUUACUGGAGGAACACUUUGUGUGCUACCAAACAUCACAACGUAACUGGGUGAUUAUAAAGGUGCUCUACAGGUGUCUCCAAAGGUACUUGUUGGGUUGGCGUAUUUCGAGAUUAGGAUUUGUCACUCCGAUUGUCGGAGAGGUAUAUCUGGGCCCUCUCGGUAAUGCACAUCACUAUAAGCCUUGCAAGCAUUGUAACUAAUGAGUUAGUUGCGGGAUGAUGUAUUACAGAAUGAGUAAAGAGACUUGCCGGUAACGAGAUUGAACUAGGUAUUGAGAUACCGACGAUCGAAUCUCGGGCAAGUAACGUACCGAUGACAAAGGGAACAACGUAUGUUGUUAUGCGGUUUGACCGAUAAAGAUCUUCGUAGAAUAUGUAGGAGCCAAUAUGAGCAUCCAGGUUCCGCUAUUGGUUAUUGACCGGAGACGUGUCUCGGUCAUGUCUACAUAGUUCUCGAACCCGUAGGGUCCGCACGCUUAAAGUUAGAUGACGAUCGGUAUUAUGAGUUUUGUGUUUUGAUGUACCAAAGGUAGUUCGGAGUCCCGGAUAUGAUCACGGACAUGACGAGGAGUCUCGAAAUGGUUGAGACAUAAAGAUUGAUAUAUUGGAAGCCUAUAUUUGGAUAUCGGAAGUGUUCCGGGUGAAAUAGGGAUUUUACCGGAGUACCGGGGGUUACCGGACCCCCCCCCCCCCGGGGGGGAAGUAAUGGGCCUAUUGGGCCUUAGUGGAGAAGAGGAGGGGCGGCUAGGGCUGGCCGCACGCCCCCUCCCCCUCUAGUCCGAAUUGGACAAGGAGGGGGGCAUGGCGCCCCCUUUCCUUCCCCCUCUCUCCUUCCCUUCCUUCCCCCCUCCUACUCCAACUAGGAAAAGAGGGAGUCCUACUCCCGGUGGGAGUAGGACUCCUCCCUGGCGCGCCCUCCUCCUGGCCGGCCUCCUCCUCCCCUUGCUCCUUUAUAUACGGGGGCAGGGGGGCACCUCUAGACACACAAGUUGAUCUGUUGAUCUAUUCCAGCCGUGUGCGGUGCCCCCCUCCACCAUAUUCCACCUCGGUCAUAUCGUAGCGGUGUCUUAGGCGAAGCCUUGCGUCGGUAGCAACAUCAUCACCGUCACCACGCCAUCGUGCUGACGGAACUCUCACGUGAAGCUCUGCUGGAUCGGAGUUCGCGGGACGUCAUCGAGCUGAACGUGUGCUGAACUCGGAGGUGCCGUACGUUCGGUACUUGGAUCGGUCGGAUCGUGAAGACGUACGACUACAUCAACCGCGUUGUGCUAACGCUUCCGCUUUCGGUCUACGAGGGUACGUGGACAACACUCUCCCCUCUCGUUGCUAUGCAUCACCAUGAUCCUGUGUGUGCGUAGGAAAUUUUUUGAAAUUACUAUGUUCCCCAACAGUGGCAUCCGAGCCUGGUUUUAUGCGUAGAUGUUAUAUGCACGAGUAGAACACAAGUGAGUUGUGGGCGAUACAAGUCAUACUGCUUACCAGCAUGGCAUACUUUGGUUCGGCGGUAUUGUUGGAUGAAGUGCCCCGGACCGACAUUACGCGUACGCUUACGCGAGACUGGUUCUACCGACGUGCUUUGCACACAGGUGGCUGGCGGGUGUCAGUUUCUCCAACUUUAGUUGAGCCGAGUGUGGCUACGCCCGGUCCUUGAGAAGGUUAAAACAUCACUAACUUGACGAACUAUCGUUGUGGUUUUGAUGCGUAGGUAAGAACAGUUCUUGCUCAGCCCGUAGCAGCCACGUAAAACUUGCGACAACAAAGUAGAGGAUGUCUAACUUGUUUUUGCAGGGCAUGUUGUGAUGUGAUAUGUUCAAGACAUGAUACUAUAUUUUAUUGUAUGAGAUGAUCAUGUUUUGUAACCGAGUUGGGAGUUAUUUCAAAAAAAUUCCUACGCACACGCAAGAUCAUGGUGAUGCAUAGCAACGAGAGGGGAGAGUGUUGUCCACGUACCCUCGUAGACCGAAAGCGGAAGCGUUAGCACAACGCAGUUGAUGUAGUCGUACGUCUUCACGAUCCGACCGAUCAAGUACCGAACGCACGACACCUCCGAGUUCAGCACACGUUCAGCCCGAUGACGUCCCUCGAACUCCGAUCCAGCCGAGUGUUGAGGGAGAGUUUCUCAGCACGACGGCGUGGUGACGAUGAUGAUGUUCUACCGACGCAGGGCUUCGCCUAAGCACCGCUACAGUAUUAUCGAGGUGGACUAUGGUGGAGGGGGGCACCACACACGGCUAAAAGAUCAAACGAUCAAUUGUUGUGUCUAUGGGGUGCCCCCCGCCCCCGUAUAUAAAGGAGCAAGGGGAGGAGGCGGCCGGCCAGGGAGAGGCGCGCCAAGGGGGAGUCCUACUCCCACCGGGAGUAGGAUUCCCCCCUUCCAAGUAGUAGGAGUAGGAGUCAAGGAAAGGGAAGAGGGAAGAGAAGGAAGGAGGGGGCGCAACCCCUCCCCCUAGUCCAAUUCGGACUAGGCCUUGGGGGGGCGCCCAACCUCUCCUCUCUCUUUCCCCUAAAGCCCAAUAAGGCCCAUAUACUCCCCGGCGAAUUCCUGUAACUCUCGGGUACUCCGAAAAAUACCCGAAUCACUCGCAACCUUUCCGAUGUCCGAAUAUAGUCGUCCAAUAUAUCAAUCUUUACGUCUCGACCAUUUUGAGACUCCUCAUCAUGUCCCCGAUCUCAUCUGGGACUCCGAACUACCUUUGGUACAUCAAAUCACAUAAACUCAUAAUAUAACCGUCAUCGAACUUUAAGCGUGCGGACCCUACGGGUUCGAGAACUAUGUAGACAUGACCGAGACACGUCUCCGGUCAAUAACCAAUAGCGGAACCUGGAUGCUCAUAUUGGCUCCCACAUAUUCUACGAAGAUCUUUAUCGGUCAGACCGCAUAACAACAUACGUUGUUCCCUUUGUCACCGGUAUGUUACUUGCCCGAGAUUCGAUCGUCGGUAUCUCCAUACCUAGUUCAAUCUCAUUACCGGCAAGUCUCUUUACUCGUUCUGUAAUACAUCAUCCCGCAACUAACUCAUUAGUUGCAAUGCUUGCAAGGCUUAUAGUGAUGUGCAUUACCGAGUGGGCCUAGAGAUACCUCUCCGACAAUCGGAGUGACAAAUUCUAAUCUCGAAAUACGCCAACCCAACAAGUACCUUCGGAGACACCUGUAGAGCACCUUUAUAAUCACCCAGUUACGUUGUGAUGUUUGGUUGCACACAAGUGUUCCUCCGGUAAACGGGAGUUGCAUAAUCUCAUAGUCAUAGGAACAUGUAUAAGUCAUGAAGAAAGCAAUAGCAGAAUACUAAACGAUCGUGUGCUAAGCUAACGGAAUGGGUCAAGUCAAUCACAUCAUUCUCCUAAUGAUGUGAUCCCGUUAAUCAAAUGACAACUCAUGUCAAUGGCUAGGAAACAUAACCAUCUUUGAUCAACAAGCUAGUCAAGUAGAGGCAUACUAGUGACACUCUGUUUUGUCUAUGUAUUCACACAAGUAUUAUGUUUCUGGUUAAUACAAUUCUAGCAUGAAUAAUAAACAUUUAUCAUGAAAUAAGGAAAUAAAUAAUAACUUUAUUAUUGCCUCUAGGGCAUAUUUCCUUCAGUUCUCCGGAACAAUGGAGCGAGCAACAGAUUUGUUGGAGAUCAUACAUACUGAUGUAUGUGGUCCGAUGAAUGUUGAGUCUCGCGGCGGGUGAGGGAGUCCUGGAUUAGGGGGUCCUCGGACAGCCGGACUAUAUACUUUGGCCGGACUGUUGGACUAUGAAGAUACAAGAUUGAAGACUUCGACCCGUGUCCGGAUGGGACUCUCCUUGGCGUGGAAGGCAAGCUUGGCAAUACAGAUAUGUAGAUCUCCUCCCUUGUAACCGACUCUGUGUAACCCUAGCCCCCUCCGGUGUCUAUAUAAACCGGAGGGUUUAGUCCGUAGGACAACAACAAUCAUACCAUAGGCUAGCUUCUAGGGUUUAGCCUCUACGAUCUCGUGGUAGAUCAACUCUUGUAAUACUCAUAUCAUCAAGAUCAAUCAAGCAGGAAGUAGGGUAUUACCUCCAUCGAGAGGGCCCGAACCUGGGUAAACAUCGUGUCCCCCGCCUCCUGUUACCAUCCGCCUUAGACGCACAGUUCGGGACCCCCUACCCGAGAUCCGCCGGUUUUGACACCGACAUUGGUGCUUUCAUUGAGAGUUCCACUGUGCCGUCAUCAUAAGGCUGAAUGGCUCGCCUUGUUGUCAAGGACAACAUCACCUCUGGGGGAGCCCUGGCUGUAGGCCAAACUCUUCGACUAGGCGGUUUCGUCAUGACCGCCUGCUCAGCCGCUGCGCCGACGAUGACUUCUCGGGUCAUCGAAAACAACCUCCACGUCGGCUCGGGACUCGUCGAGCAGUUGGAUCCAAUAGAGCUCUCUUCCUUGAACGAGCUCUUGGAUCGCAUCGCCGCUUUGGGAGUCGCUACGGACUAUGAUCAGAUCGGGCUUAAACCCGACCAAAGGAAGAUUAACUCCCCGCCGGUCACCCAUCAGAUAGCGGUGGUGGUGGAGCAAUGCGGCGAUUCUUCCUCUAUCUUGAGGGCAAACUACGUCCGGAUUCCCGAGCUCUCCGAGCCGGAUACCCGUCUACGGGAGGACAUCGCCCAAACCCUGAACCUAGAAUCAAGCAGCGGGCCAGACCUAUUGGGCAACAUCCCGGAGCCCAAACUGCCAAGAUCGGAAACUCCUCCGCCCCUGGGUCUCAGAUCGGGUCAAGGUUCGGACUUAAAUCCACCCACCCACCCAGAUAUAAACGAUCUUUCCCACAUUAGACAAGAGCCCCAGGAGACAGUACACCACUAUUGGGCCAGAUUCCUCCUUGUAAUGAACAAGGCUAAGGACUGUCGCGAGGAAGACGGAAUUUCAUUCUUUUGCAAUAAUUGCACGGACAAGGGAAUCCUCAAUGCCAUAAGUCGCCGUGACAUAGCACACUUCACUGACUUGGCGGCCAUAGUACGGAAGUACUGUACGAUGGAAAGCGCCUGGAAAACCCAAACAAAAUUUUGGGAUCCUCCGGCUUUGACAAAACCCCCAGUCCGAACUAAAAGGGUGCACUCUCGUAAGUCGCCCGACCCAAUUACAAAGAAGCAAAAGCCCACUACAGGGCGUGGAACCGUAUUGGAGGGAUGGCUUAAUGGGCCAUACAAAAUUCACAGUACAACGGAUACCAUACCAACACACAACCUUAGAGCAUGUUGGGUAUUCCGGCAGGUGGCCAAGAGCGGUGAGGAUCUCCUCAUUAAUAAUACCGCAGAGCACCAUCCCGUGGAGAACAACAAUACAGUAUUGACAGUCUUUGAGACCUUCGCCUCAAAUAAUAGGCGUAAGCGAGCACUCCGCAGCCUUGCCGAAGUCUGCCACGUGGCAGCAAUAAAUCCAUGGAGCGAUACAGCUAUCACCUUCAAUGCCAGUGACGAACCUAAAUUCCGAACAGCCCGAGCACCAGCCGCCUUGGUCCUUAGUCCAAUUGUGGACGGCUUCCGGCUUACUAAAGUGCUCAUGGACGGCAGCAGCGGAUUAAACCUCAUCUAUGAGGAGACUCUUCAAAAAAUGGAAAUAGACAGAAACCACAUUGAGCAAAGCAGCACAACCUUCAGAGGAAUCAUCCCUAGUCGGGAGGCACGAUGUGCUGGGAAAAUCACACUAGAUGUGGUAUUCGGCACGCCGGAGAAUUAUAGGUCCGAUGAAAUUACAUUCCAAGUGGCCCCGUUCAACAGCGGAUACCACGCCCUUCUAGGGCGGGAGGCAUUCACGAUCUUCCAAGCCAUACCCCAUUACGGGUACAUGAAGCUCAAAAUGCCCGGGCCCAAUGGAAUCAUCACUCUAGCUAGUGAUCCGGACAUAGCACUCCGCGCCGAAAAAAAUAGCCGACUGGCCCUCGAGGCGUUAUCCGAAGCCCUCGCGGCUGAGGAAUUAACUGCGCUGCGCUCCACAGUGGACAGGGACGACGUGAUACUCGACAAAAGAUCCAAGUCCACCUCUUUUAAACCAGCUGACGAGAUAGUCAAAUUCCAAGUCCACCCAACGGACCCUACAAAAACAGCAUCCAUCGGCGCACAGUUAAACCCCACAGUAGACGCCGCACUACGGGAGUUCUUGCGCGAGAAUUGGGACAUAUUCGCCUGGCAUCCUUCAGACAUGCCAGGAAUCCCACGCAGGCUGGCCGAGAAUAGCCUUAACAUUCUAAAGGGAUUCAAGCCGGUCAAGCAGACUCUUCGGCGUUUCUCUGAACCUAAGCGACAAGCCAUGGGAGAGGAGCUAGCCAAGUUACUGGAGGCCGAAUUCAUUAGAGACAUAAAACAUCCGGACUGGCUAGCAAACCUGGUGAUGGUACCAAAGAAGGGUAAAUCCUGGCGCCUAUGUGUCGAUUUCAAGGACCUUAACAAGGCUUGCCCCAAGGAUCCCUUCCCCCUCCCCCGCAUCGAUCAAAUUAUCGAUGCUACUGCAGGACACGACUCAUUGUGUUUCCUCGAUGCAUACUCCGGAUACCAUCAAAUCAAGAUGGCGGAGUCCGAUCAAGCCGCAACGGCAUUUAUCACCCCAUACGGCCCCUUCUGUUUUAACACCAUGCCUUUCGGGCUUAAGAACGCCGGUGCAACCUAUCAACGCAUGAUUCAGACAUGCCUGGAAACACAGAUCGACAAAACAGUGGAGGCAUACGUAGACGAUGUGGUCGUUAAAACCAGACACGUCAAAUCCUUAAUAGACGACUUGAGGCUCACGUUCGACAAUCUCCGAACAUACGACAUCAAGCUCAAUCCGGAAAAAUGCGUCUUCGGCGUGGCCGCCGGAAAGCUCUUAGGCUUCAUCGUAUCCAACAGAGGAGUCGAAGCGAAUCCGGCUAAAAUCCGAGCUCUGUCACAGUUGGCCAUCCCAACAGACCUCAAGCAGAUCCAGAAAUUAACUGGAUGCGUGGCUGCUUUAAGCCGCUUUAUCUCCCGAUUAGGAGAAAAGGCACUGCCUCUUUAUCGCCUUCUCCGACGCACCAAACACUUCGAGUGGACGGACGCAGCCACGACCGGAUUAGAAGAAAUAAAGGCCGUUUUGGCCACAAACCCAAUCUUGGCCGCACCUAACGUCGGUGAACCAAUGCUGCUGUAUAUAGCGGCAACACACCAAGUUGUAAGCGCAGUGCUCAUCGUCGAACGAGAGAUGGACGGACAUAAGUUCCCGCUUCAAAAGCCGGUAUACUAUGUAUCCACUGUCCUCACUCCAUGCAAAUCACGGUACCCACAUUAUCAAAAGAUAGCAUACGUGGUCUUCAUGGCAUCCCGGAAGCUACGACACUACUUUCAAGAAUGUUCAAUCACGGUGGCCUCCGAAGUACCACUCAAAGACAUAAUAAAUAACCGCGAUGCCACGGGCCGGAUUGCUAAAUGGGCUAUCGAGCUCCUCCCGUUCGACAUAACAUACAAACCACGACGAGCCAUUAAGUCGCAAGUACUGGCCGAUUUCGUCGCCGAAUGGAUGGAAGCCGAACUCCCUAAAGAGUACGGCGCGUACUCCAAUUGGACCAUGCACUUUGACGGUUCAAAGAUGCUGGCGGGUCUGGGGGCAGGCGUCGUCCUGACAUCCCCCACCGGAGAUACAGUCCAGUACGUACUCCAAAUAUUAUACAUAGACUCCAAUAAUGCAGCAGAAUAUGAGGCCCUGUUGCAUGGCCUCCGGAUAGCAGUCUCCAUGGGCAUUCAACGCCCAGAGGUGCGUGGGGAUUCGAAUCUCGCAAUAUCUCAAAUAAAUGGAGACUUUGAUGCCAAGGACCCAAAAAUGGCGGCUUAUCGCAACGCCGUCCUCAAAAUGUCCGCUCGGUUCGAGGGGCUCGAAUUCCACCAUGUGGUCCGAGAAAACAAUCAAGCGGCGGACAUCCUCGCCCGCAUCGGCACUAAGCGCGACCCUGUCCCACCCAAUAUCUUCUUGGAAAGGCUGUUUAAGACAUCCGUGGUAUGGGAAGGAGAGACCGGCAACAACAAUCCGGACUUGGCCACAACACCAGAUACCGAACACUCUGACGUAAUCGGAGGCUCCGCCACCGAAAUAACACCUUCCGCCCACGUGAUUAUGGUUGUCAUCGCCCCGUGGAUAGAACCUUUCCUGGCCUACCUAACUAGGCAUGAACUACCUGAGGACCCAAACGAGGCACUUUGCAUUGUGCGGCGGUCUAAAGCCUACAAGGUCCACGAGGGAGAGCUUUAUAAGAAAAGCGCUACCAGAGUCCUUCAAAGGUGCAUCUCCGAAGAGGAAGGACGGCAACUUUUGGCAGAAAUUCAUGCUGGACUCGGCGGUCACCACGCCGCAGCUCGGGCCCUUGUAAGCAAGGCCUUCCGUACAGGUUUUUACUAGCCGACGGCCCGAGCAGACGCACAGGACCUCGUCCAACGUUGCGUCGGUUGCCAGCUUUUUGCAAACCAAAGCCAUAUGCCGCCUACCGCUCUCCAAACAAUCCCCAUUACUUGGCCCUUUGCGGUCUGGGGGCUUGAUAUGGUCGGACCCCUCAAAGGGGGAAGCCAUAAGAAAAAAAUACUUAUUGGUCAUGGUGGAUAAAUUCACCAAAUGGAUAGAAGACAAACUGGUCAAAAUGGCCGAAUCCGGACAAGUAAUAGACUUCAUAUCUGGGGUUGUACACCGUUAUGGCGUCCCCCACAGCAUCAUCACCGAUAACGGCUCAAACUUUACAGCCGACGAGGUAAAACUUUGGUGCAGCAACAUGGGCAUCAAGCUCGAUUAUGCUUCUGUCUAUCACCCACAAACUAACGGUCAAGUCGAGCGAGCAAAUGGUCUUAUCAUGAGCGGAAUUAAACCCAGGUUAGUGCGGUCCUUAAAGGAAUCAAACACGCACUGGGUAGAGGAGCUCGACUCCGUACUAUGGGGGCUGCGGACCAUGCCGAAUCGCACUACCGGAUACACACCAUUUUUUAUGGUGUACGGCGCAGAGGCGGUACUGCCCUGCGACAUAAUUCAUGACUCACCUCGAGUGCACAUGUAUGAAGAGAAAGAAGCUGAGCUUGAUCGGCAGGACAGUUUGGACGCCCUGGAGGUGGAGCGUGACAUGGCAAAAGCCCGUUCUGUGUUCUAUCAGCAACAGGCUCGAAGGUAUCAAAGCAGAGAAGUACGGGCCAAAACAUAUAACGUUGGCGAACUCGUUCUACGCCUACCGGAGAAGAAAAAGAACAAGCUCAAGCCCAAAUGGGAAGGUCCCUUCAUUAUUGACCAAGUUCUGACCGGUGGAGCGUACCGUCUGCGGGAUGCAUCGGACAAUCGACUCGAGCCAAACCCAUGGAACGCAGCCAGAUUCCGAAGGUUCUACGCCUAGUGCCGAACUCUAUGUUCAUCUCCUUACCUCCGUCAAUUUUUUACAUAUCCGUUAUCUGUCUUUUAUCUCUUUCCUUUUUCCUUUUUCUUCAAGGCCUUAAAAGGCUAAAUUGUUGACGCGCUAACCGCGCUCAUUAUACCUGGGGGCUUCUUAUACAUAAGCUUAAUAUAACUAUUUUCCGGGCUCUAUGCCCCACACAUGUGUUAUUCUUCCACAUGUACCUUUUUUCGCCAUUAUAUGCAUCGAUAUGACUUAAGUUUUGGCCAAGCUGGGUUGCCUGGCUCUUGUGUUUAUGCCCUACGUUCCCGUUAAUUCGGCUAGGGCAUAAGGGGAGCACCUCUGCGAUUGUUACUGCCGGGUCAGCCGGAUGUGUACCUCAGACUGGGUGAAGCCGAAAGCUAGCGUUCUUAAGGGAAUACUCGAUCGGUGAACAAAAGAUGACUUUUAUUUAUUUUAAUACAUGCCCCCAGAUGUUUAUAGCUUGCGUCUCUUUUCGCAGUUCGGACAUGCACAUUAGGGCAUGCGUACCCAGGGAAAGGAACCCUUAAUGGAACUAUUCUCCUUGGAAGAUGUUUCUUACUAUCCAUGUAAUAUAACAUAGCUAGUUGGGUACUUGUCUGUUCAAGCACUUAUGACCCCUACACAUGGUUUCCACGCGUACCCCGGUUUUUACAUAACUGAGCGGGUAUUCGGAUACACUCCGGACUAUCGGGUCCAGAGGUCGAAGCGAAAAGGUCCGCAAUGACAAAUGAUUUACAAUCCGGCUAGGGACAAUAUAUAUCACUUGAAGUACACAGUCACUUAGACUGACUAAAUUCUUCUUCUAUACCAUCCAACAGGCUGUCUAGCCUACAAUCCUGUUGGGAAUACUUUGCGGUUAAUUCUACUUGGUCAUACACGAAACUGACGGGGAUCUCUUUCCCAUCAGGCCCCACAGGUCCGACCUCGGCCAUGUGGUUAGGGUUAGCCUUGGUAUACCGCGUCUUCACCAUGGCCCAGGCUUCCCUCGCACCUUGUCGGCAGGCUGAUAUCUUCCAUAAUCGGAAGCGCCGCCGCGCUCCCUUGAGCUUCUCUACAAGCUCCCCCAUGCCUCCAGGCAGUGAGACGGAUGGCCACAAGGCUUGGGCAAUGCCCUGCAUCACCUGCCGAACUUGUUCGUGCAGUUGUGAGAGCUCUGGCAGAAGAUCACCCGCAGACCCGGUCAUCUCCUCCUCGGGACGACCCGUCAGCAUACCUGCAGAUAUAACUCUGUUAGCCGGUUUCUUCGUCGAACUCUUUAAAAGUUUGUUCAAGCACUUACUGAAAAUGCCGCGUUGAAGCCUCUUAUUCUCCUUUACGGAGUCAGCAAGCUGGGCCCGAACAUCUUUCAGUUCCACGCCCAGCUGGAUAUUGGCAUCUUGGAGAUUGUUUUUCUCCCGCCUAACCUUUUUAAGCACGCGCUCACCAGCCUUUAGCUGUCGUUGGGCAUGCGGCUCAUUCCCUAUCAUGACCUCCGGAUUCACUCCGGAGUCAUCUGCAGAAUCUAUUGUUAGAUUUGCAUGCAUGCCGCAUACUAUCUGGUACCUGUCAUUCUUUGCAAUAGAGACAAGUGUUACCAGAGGGGGCCUUCUCGGACUCCUUCAGCGCGGCAACUGCGGCCCAUAGCUGGGCUUUGCACUCUUCCAGCUCUUGAGACAAUUGGGUAUUCUUCUCUGUAAGAACCUGCACAAAUAAUGAUCCUUAAAUCAGUUGUGUCAACUGUUUCAAGUCUCAGGGGCUACUGAUAUAUAUAAUUAUCAGAUUUUCUUACCCGUAUAUCCUUUACAUACUGGUCCGUGGCUCUGGCAAGACCAUUUUGAGCAGCUCGGAUGUACGCGUCUCCUGAGUUGAAGGCAUCGAACGCCUCUUGGGAGAAACUAGCGUCACGGAGUACGGCCCGGCGACGCCUGUGAUUCAUAGCGCUCUCCACUUCGGAAUUUGUAGCGGAUAGCCUAUCCGCAUCCUCUGUAGGAGGAACAUCCGGCGUUCGCCCCAUGUUAGCGUCUGCCUCUAUGUCCGGCUCUGGAGCCCGAUUGGUGGAGGCGUGACCGGCAGCCUUUCCGGAUAUAGUCCGGCGAGUGUUUUUCCUACUAGGAAACAUGGACGUUAUUAUAUUUUAAAAGACGACAACCACGGAGCGGGUUUUUGUUUCAUACCUCUGCAACGGCGUCUCGGUCCUGACCGCCUUCCUUUUAAGCCUACCCGGUUUCGGUGCCCCUUGUUGGUGGGUCACUGCGGGUUCGGCAUAGCGUCCCGAGGGCCUUCCCUGUAAGACACCAUAUGUGUGCAAUAGGUGAAGUGCAGAAAAGGGGAUCCUUCUCGGAAGUUGGGACUCCGGUUUUACUUACAUGCGACGCAGGGAGUAGUCCAGGAUAAUCGGCUAUGAUGGCCACCAUGGCGUCAUCGCAACUCAAUUUAUAGAACGUCCUGUCAAUCAGCUCCACAAAUAUGUCCGGAUCCUCUUCGAGUCCGGGGUCGAGGGCCGGUCAGGGUCCUUUGGUUGUGGAGGCGGGCUGUGGACCUCCCUCACAGCUUUUCGCAGCUCCUGCUAUGAAAUAGCAAGGUAAAUAUUCAUGACAAAGAAUGCGGGAAGGUCUGGAGUAAAAAGUAGCAGCUCACCCAGCUUGGGGGGUUGUACAUGGAGAACCCAUCCCGUGGCUUGAUACGGAUGAACUCCUCUUCCUCUCCUUUGUAUAAACCGGACAGUAUUUUCGCUAGAGCAGCGACGGAGGUCCGGACCUUUACGACCGCAACGGGUGGCAUCGUCUUCUCCAUUGAAGUGCCACAUAGGGUGUCCACGAUAUUGAAGUGGUUGCACCCCCCGCAUUAUACAUAUGGACAUAACCUUGACUAUUGUCAAUCCUGAUUUGGCCAGCGUUUGUAUCCGGCCCAUCAGGUAAAGGACCUCUCUGUUAUCUUCCUCCUGGGGGCUCCGAGGGCGCCAGCUGCGGCGUUUCUUCAAAGGAGCGUUAUUAAACUCAGGAAGGCCCAUCCGAACAGGAUCCGGAAGGGGGACGUCCUCCAUAUAAAACCACUCCGAAGGCCAAUCUUCGGACGUCUUCUUUGGAGUACCGGACAUAUAUCCGGUCCCGGCGAUGCGCCAUAUCUCGGCUCCGCCCACUUGAUAUAUCGACCCCUCUUGUGUACGGGGUACGAGGCAGAACAACCUCUUCCAUAGCUCGAAAUGAGCUUCGCAGCCCAGAAACAGCUCGCAAAAGGCGACAUAGCCGGCGAUGUGUAAUAUGGAGGCGGGAGUAAAUUGUGCAACUGGAGGCCGUAGAACUCCAGGAGCCCGCGGAGGAAUGGAUGAAUUGGAAAUCCAAGCCCUCUUAAUAAGUAAGGGACAAGGCAUACCCGCUCCCCCUUGGAUGGGUCGGGAAAGCUCUCCGCUUGCUCCCCGCCAUUGUAGGUGGCAAGCCCGGCUCGAACGGGGACCAUAUACGCUGGAGGGAGAAAUCCCUGGGUCUGCAACUCUACUAAUUGACUGUGCGGGACGGAACACCUCUUCCAAUUGCCGGGCUUAGGGCUACGGGAGCGAGAGGAGGAGCUGCGAUGGCCGGCCAUGUUGGAAUGGAUUUUUUCCGGGCGCGCUCUGAUGGAUACUUGCUGUGGGAGGAUGGUGUGAUCUGGAUCUGAGAAUCCCUGUCUCUUUAAUAGACGAUUUACCCACAUGGCUAGGCUGGCAAAUGUAAAAAUGCCCCGACUUCUCGCAUUCGCUCGACGCGUGGAGGAUAUCCAUUAUAAGGCGCGGAAGCCAAGGAGUGUAACAUUUAUGGGAAGCCGGACACUACUCAAACAGGUAUUCAGAAUUUGGAGAAGAACCCGCCUUGCAAUGCCGAAGACAAUCUGCGCGCCGGACUCAUCGCCAUGGAAGCCUGGUUUGGGGGCUACUGAGGGAGUCCUGGAUUAAGGGGUCCUCGGACAGCCGGACGAUAUCCUUUGGCCCGACUGUUGGACUAUGAAGAUACAAGAUUGAAGACUUCGACCCGUGUCCGGAUGGGACUCUCCUCGGCGUGGAAGGCAAGCUUGGCAAUACGGAUAUGUAGAUCUCCUCCCUUGUAACCAACUCUGUGUAACCCUAGCCCCCUCCGGUGUCUAUAUAAACCGGAGGGUUUAGUCCGUAGGACAACAACAAUCAUACCAUAGGCCAGCUUCUAGGGUUUAGCCUCUACGAUCUCGUGGUAGAUCAACUCUUGUAAUACUCAUAUCAUCAAGAUCAAUCAAGCAGGAAGUAGGGUAUUACCUCCAUCGAGAGGGCCCGAACCUGGGUAAACAUCCUGUCCCCCGCCUCCUGUUACCAUUCGCCUUAGACGCACAGUUCGGGACCCCCUACCCGAGAUCCGCCGGUUUUGACACUGACAGCGGGUAUCGUUAUUUUCUCCCCUUCACAGAUGAUUUGAGCAGAUAUGGGUAUAUCUACUUAAUGAAACAUAAGUCUGAAACAUUUGAAAAGUUCAAAGAAUUUCGGAGUGAAGUUGAAAAUCAUCGUAACAAGAAAAUAAAGUUUCUACGAUCUGAUUGUGGAGGAGAAUAUUUGAGUUACGAGUUUGGUCUUCAUUUGAAACAAUGCGGAAUAGUUUCGCAACUCACGCCACCCGGAACACCACAGCAUAAUGGUGUGUCCGAACGUCGUAAUUGUACUUUACUAGAUAUGGUGCGAUCUAUGAUGUCUCUUACUGAUUUACCGCUAUCAUUUUGGGGUUAUGCUUUAGAGACGGCUGCAUUCACGUUAAAUAGGGCACCAUCGAAAUCCGUUGAGACGACGCCUUAUGAACUGUGGUUUGGCAAGAAAUCAAAGUUGUCGUUUCUUAAAGUUUGGGGCUGCGAUGCUUAUGUGAAAAAACUUCAACCUGAUAAGCUCGAACCCAAAUCGGAGAAAUGUGUCUUCAUAGGAUACCCAAAGGAAACUGUUGGGUACACCUUCUAUCACAGAUCUGAAGGCAAGACUUUUGUUGCUAAAUUUGGAUCCUUUCUAGAGAAGGAGUUUCUCUCGAAAGAUGUGAGUGGGAGGAAAGUAGAACUUGAUGAGGUAACUGUACCUACUCCCUUAUUGGAAAGUACUUCAUCACAGAAACCAGUUCCUGUGAUACCUACACCAAUUAGUGAGGAAGCUAAUGAUGUUGAUCAUGAAACUUCAGAUCAAGUUACUACUGAACCUCGUAGGUCAACCAGAGUAAGAUCCGCACUAGAGUGGUACGGUAAUCCUGUUCUGGAGGUCAUGUUACUAGACCAUGACGAACCUACGAACUAUGAGGAAGCGAUGAUGAGCCCAGAUUCCGCAAAAUGGCUUGAGGCCAUGAAAUCUGAGAUGGGAUCCAUGUCUGAGAACAAAGUGUGGACUUUGGUUGACUUGCCUGAUGAUAGGCAAGCCAUUGAGAAUAAAUGGAUCUUCAAGAAGAAGACUGACCCUGACGGUAAUGUUACUAUCUAUAAAGCUCGACUUGUUGCGAAAGGUUUUCGACAAGUUCAAGGGAUUGACUAAGAUGAGACUUUCUCACCCGUAGCGAUGCUUAAGUCUGUCCGAAUCAUGUUAGCAAUUGCCGCAUUUUAUGAUUAUGAAAUUUGGCAAAUGGAUGUCAAAACUGCAUUCCUGAAUGGAUUUCUGGAAGAAGAGUUGUAUAUGAUGCAACCAGAAGGUUUUGUCGAUCCAAAGGGAGCUAACAAAGUGUGCAAGCUCCAGCGAUCCAUUUAUGGACUGGUGCAAGCCUCUCGGAGUUGGAAUAAAUGUUUUGAUAGUGUGAUCAAAGCAUAUGGUUUUAUACAGACUUUUGGAGAAGCCUGUAUUAACAAGAAAGUGAGUGGGAGCUCUGUAGCAUUUCUGAUAUUAUAUGUGGAUGACGUAUUACUGAUUGGAAAUGAUAUAGAAUUUCUGGAUAGCAUAAGAGGAUACUUGAAUAAGAGUUUUUCAAUGAAAGACCUCGGUGAAGCUGCUUACAUAUUAGGCAUCAAGAUCUAUAGAGAUAGAUCAAGACGCUUGAUAGGACUUUCACAAAGCACAUACCUUGACAAAGUUUUGAAGAAGUUCAAAAUGGAUCAAGCAAAGAAAGGGUUCUUGCCUGUGUUACAAGGUGUGAAGUUGAGUCAGACUCAAUGCCCGACCACUACAGAAGAUAGAGAGAAAAUGAAAGAUGUUCCCUAUGCUUCAGCCAUAGGCUCUAUCAUGUAUGCAAUGCUGUGUACCAGACCUGAUGUGUGCCUUGCUAUAAGUUUAGCAGGGAGGUACCAAAGUAAUCCAGGAGUGGAUCACUGGACAGCGGUCAAGAACAUCCUGAAAUACCUGAAAAGGACUAAGGAUAUGUUUCUCGUUUAUGGUGGUGACAAAGAGCUAGUCCUAAAAGGUUACGUCGAUGCAAGCUUUGACCUGAUCCGAACGAUUCUAAAUCGCAAACCGGAUACGUGUUUACAUUGAACGGUGGAGCUGUCAGUUGGUGCAGUUCUAAACAAAGCGUUGUGGCGGGAUCUACGUGUGAAGCGGAGUACAUAGCUACUUCGGAAGCAGCAAAUGAAGGAGUCUGGAUGAAGGAGUUCAUAUCCAAUCCAGGUGUCAUACCUAGUGCAUCGGGUCCAAUGAAAAUCUUUUGUGACAAUACUAGUGCAAUUGCCUUGGCAAAGGAAUCCAGAUUUCACAAGAGAACCAAGCACAUCAGGAGACGCUUCAACUCCAUCCGGGAUCAAGUCCAGGUGGGAGACAUAGAAAUUUGCAAGAUACAUACGGAUCUGAAUAUUGCAGACCCGUUGACUAAGCCUCUUCUACGAGCAAAACAUGAUCAGCACCAAGGCUCCAUGGGUGUUAGAAUCAUUACUGUGUAAUCUAGAUUAUUGACUCUAGUGCAAGUGGGAGACUGAAGGAAAUAUGCCCUAGAGGCAAUAAUAAAGUUAUUAUUUAUUUCCUUAUAUCAUGAUAAAUGUUUAUUAUUCAUGCUAGAAUUGUAUUAACCGGAAACAUAAUACUUGUGUGAAUACAUAGACAAACAGAGUGUCACUAGUAUGCCUCUACUUGACUAGCUUGUUAAUCAAAGAUGGUUAUGUUUCCUAGCCAUAGACAUGAGUUGUCAUUUGAUUAACGGGAUCACAUCAUUAGGAGAAUGAUGUGAUUGACUUGACCCAUUCUGUUAGCUUAGCACGUGAUCGUUUAGUAUUCUGCUAUUGCUUUCUUCAUGACUUAUACAUGUUCCUAUGACUAUGAGAUUAUGCAACUCCCGUUUACUGGAGGAACACUUUGUGUGCUACCAAACAUCACAACGUAACUGGGUGAUUAUAAAGGUGCUCUACAGGUGUCUCCAAAGGUACUUGUUGGGUUGGCGUAUUUCGAGAUUAGGAUUUGUCACUCCGAUUGUCGGAGAGGUAUCUCUUGGCCCUCUCGGUAAUGCACAUCACUAUAAGCCUUGCAAGCAUUGUAACUAAUGAGUUAGUUGCGGGAUGAUGUAUUACGGAACGAGUAAAGAGACUUGCCGGUAACGAGAUUGAACUAGGUAUUGAGAUACCGACGAUCGAAUCUCGGGCAAGUAACGUACCGAUGACAAAGGGAACAACGUAUGUUGUUAUGCGGUUUGACCGAUAAAGAUCUUCGUAGAAUAUGUAGGAGCCAAUAUGAGCAUCCAGGUUCCGCUAUUGGUUAUUGACCGGAGACGUGUCUCGGUCAUGUCUACAUAGUUCUCGAACCCGUAGGGUCCGCACGCUUAAAGUUAGAUGACGAUCGGUAUUAUGAGUUUUGUGUUUUGAUGUACCAAAGGUAGUUCGGAGUCCCNNNNNNNNNNNNNNNNNNNNNNNNNNNNNNNNNNNNNNNNNNNNNNNNNNNNNNNNNNNNNNNNNNNNNNNNNNNNNNNNNNNNNNNNNNNNNNNNNNNNNNNNNNNNNNNNNNNNNNNNNNNNNNNNNNNNNNNNNNNNNNNNNNNNNNNNNNNNNNNNNNNNNNNNNNNNNNNNNNNNNNNNNNNNNNNNNNNNNNNNNNNNNNNNNNNNNNNNNNNNNNNNNNNNNNNNNNNNNNNNNNNNNNNNNNNNNNNNNNNNNNNNNNNNNNNNNNNNNNNNNNNNNNNNNNNNNNNNNNNNNNNNNNNNNNNNNNNNNNNNNNNNNNNNNNNNNNNNNNNNNNNNNNNNNNNNNNNNNNNNNNNNNNNNNNNNNNNNNNNNNNNNNNNNNNNNNNNNNNNNNNNNNNNNNNNNNNNNNNNNNNNNNNNNNNNNNNNNNNNNNNNNNNNNNNNNNNNNNNNNNNNNNNNNNNNNNNNNNNNNNNNNNNNNNNNNNNNNNNNNAAUUGGACAAGGAGGGGGGCGGCGCCCCCUUUCCUUCCCCCUCUCUCCUUCCCUUCCUUCCCCCCUCCUACUCCAACUAGGAAAAGAGGGAGUCCUACUCCCGGUGGGAGUAGGACUCGUCCCUGGCGCGCCCUCCUCCUAGCCGGCCGCCUCCUCCCCUUGCUCCUUUAUAUACGGGGGCAGGGGGCACCUCUAGACACACAAGUUCAUAUGUUGAUCUAUUCCAGCCGUGUGCGGUGCCCCCCUCCACAAUAUUCCACCUCGGUCAUAUCAUAGCGGUGCUUAGGCGAAGCCCUGCGUCGGUAGCAACAUCAUCACCGUCACCACGCCGUCGUGCUUACGGAACUCUCCCGUGAAGCUCUGCUGGAUCGGAGUUCGCGGGACGUCAUCGAGCUGAACGUGUGCUGAACUCGGAGGUGCCACACGUUCGGUACUUGGAUCGGUUGGAUCGUGAAGACGUACGACUACAUCAACCGCGUUGUGCUAACGCUUCCGCUUUCGGUCUACGAGGGUACGUGGACAACACUCUCCCCUCUCGUUGCUAUGCAUCACCAUGAUCCUGUGUGUGCGUAGGAUUUUUUUUGAAAUUACUACGUUCCCCAACACUCUUUUCAUCAAAAAAAGGGAGGGGAAAAAAAACCGCUAGAGGUUCUGGGGUUAAAACUGCUUGUACUAUAAAAUUCCUAGAAUCUUCCGCUAAGAAAAAGAAAAAGAAGAAAUGAGAGGUAUUUUCUAGAAUAUGAGAGGCUUUGGGGGGAUAUUAAAAAAGAUUUCUUAGAGAAAUGAUUAUGGACAUGAAAGUAUACUUUCUAGGUUUGCAAGAGACCAUGAGACAAGAAAUUUCUAGAAAUGAACUACAACAAAUUUGUGCUGGUAGAGAUUUCCAUUGGCACUUCACCCCAGCUAGGGGGAAAUCUGGUGGAUUGCUUUUAGGGGUCAAUUAUACUACUCUUGAUGUAAUAUCACAAGAUGAGGGGGAUUAUCAUAUUAAAAUGACAGUUCAGGAUAAAAAAACUAGGUUUAUGUGGGACUUGGUGGUAAUCUAUGGAGAUGCUCAACCAGAGAGGAAAGCUAAAUUUUUAGCUGAGCUCUCUAGAACUUUUCAGACUUGUGUCAACCCUAUCUUGAUUGGAGGAGACUUUAAUAUUAUUAGAAAAGCCAGUGAAAAAAAUAAGCCUGGCACUCCUGGACAUUGGAGCUUCUUGUUUAAUGCUAUUCUGGAACAAGCUGGAGUUAGGGAGCUUGAAAUGAAUGGCAGGAAAUUUACUUGGGGGAACAACUUGCCUGUUCCUACCUUUGAAAAGCUAGAUAGGAUUUUGUGUAGCACAGAAUGGGAAGAGGUAUACCCCUUGACCCAAAUUACAGCUUUAACUAGAGAAAAGUCUGACCAUACCCCACUCUUCUUGGAUUCUGGUGAUAUUCAAAAAUCAGACCCUCAUUUCAGGUUUGAAAAUGCUUGGUUUUUGAGGGAGGGGAUUGAUAAGGUUGUUCAUGAUGUUUGGAAUGAUAGUAGCAUCACUGGGGAUAGUGUGGACAGACUUUUGGGGAAAUUUAGACUACUUAGACCCAAAUUAAAAGGGUGGAAUAGAAACAUGAAUGCUUGGUAUGUUGAGCUGAAGAAAGACAUUUUACUCAAACUGGAUAACAUUGGUAAACAUUGUGAACUUAAUGGGCUCACUGCUGUUGAUAGGAAAGAACAAAUAGAACUCAGAGCACAGUUAGAUAGACUUUUGCAACAAGAGGAAGCUAAAUGGAAACAAAGGGCUAAGGUUGAUGAAUUACUAGAAGGAGAUAGUGACACAAAAUUCUUCCAUGCCAAGGCAAAUGGGAGAUUAAGGAAAAACAGAAUUAAUAAGCUUGAGCAAGAUGAGGGGAUUAUUGAAGGUGAAAAAGAUCUGGUGGAAUACAUCACAAGUUUUUAUAAAACCCUGUUUGGGCAUCCUGAUAACUCUACUAUUUCUUUAAAUAUUGAAAAUCCACAGAUGAUCCAAGAUCAGUACAGAGCCAUGCUAAUUGAGGAAUUCUCAAUGGAAGAAAUUAAAAAUGUGGUCUUUAAAAUGGCACAUAACAAAUCUCCUGGACCGGAUGGGUUUACAGCUGAAUUUUAUCAACACUAUUGGGAUUUGGUUAAGCAUGAUCUUAAAGAUCUGUUAGAUGAUUUUGCUAACAGAAAAGUUGAUAUUAGUAGAUUGAAUUAUGGUAUUAUUACUUUGGUACCAAAAGGCAAAGAUGCUGAUAGGAUACAAAAUUUUAGACCUAUCUGUUUGCUGAAUGUUUGUUUCAAAAUUAUUACAAAAGUUCUGAUGAACAGGUUAAACCUGGUGGCAGCUAAUGUCAUCUCCCCUGUUCAGACUGCUUUUAUCAAAGGCAGAUACAUAAUGGAGGGGGUUUUGAUUUUACAUGAAGCCUUAAAUAGUAUAAAAAAGAAAAAACAAGGUGCCUUGCUGUUGAAGAUAGAUUUUGAGAAAGCAUAUGAUAAGAUUAAUUGGUCUUUUCUUUUCCAGAUGCUCAAGAUUAAAGGCUUCCCAGAUAAAUGGAUAGAGGGCUGAGACAGGGGUAAUGGAAACUAUUAGAGGUGGGAAGGUGUGUGUGUGAAGGUUAAUGAAAAUUUAGGAAAAUAUUUUCCCACUCAUAAAGGGCUGAGACAGGGGGAUUCUUUGUCACCCCUUAAUUUUGACCUGGCAGCUGAUGCUUUGGCCAUCAUGCUAGAUAAUGCAAGAAAAAAUGGGUUAGUUAAAGGUGUUUUUGGAGGAGUAUGUUGUGGAUGGGAUUAACAUGCUGCAAUAUGCAGAUGAUACCAUUUUCCUUCUACAAGAUGACAUAGACAGUGCUCAAAAUCUUAAAUAUAUACUAUGCCUUUUUGAGCAAAUGUCUGGUUUGAAAAUUAAUUUUCAUAAAAGUGAACUCUUCCUUUUUGGGGAGGCUGAGAGCAAGAAAGAUGAAUACGCUAAGAUAUUCACUUGCCCUAUAGGGACUCUGCCUAUGAAAUAUUUAGGGUUACCAGUUGAUAAAGGAAGAAUCAGAAAUAAACACUGGAAGCCUACAGAGAACAAGAUGGAAAAGAAAUGUGAAACCUGGCAAGGAAGGCUUCUUGCUAGUGCUGGGAGGGUCACAUUAAUCCAAUCUUCUCUGACAGGCAUCCCUUAUUUUAUGAUGUCCUUCUAUGGAAUACAUGUAGGGGUUGAGAAACGCAUAGAUUUUUUCAGAGCUAGAUUGUUAUGGCAGGAAGAUGAUAAGAAGAAAAAAAUAUCAUUUGGUUAAAUGGUCUGAGGUCUGCAGACCUAAAGACAUGGGUGGUUUGGCGAUUCAUAAUCUAGCAUAGAUGAAUAAAGCUCUAUUGAGCAAGUGGUGGUGGAAAAUUUACAACACAGAGGGGCUGUGGCAGGAAAUAAUCCUGAAAAAAUACCAAGAAAAUAAGGCUAUUGGGAAUAUAAUUGCUAAACAGGGAGACUCCAAAUUUUGGAAAGAGUUAUUAAAACAUAGAGAUCACUUUACUUCUCUAUGUAAAUUUAUCAUAGGUGAUGGGGGGGACACCAGAUUCUGGGAAGACUGGUGGAUUGGAGCAACACAUUUAUGCAAACAAUUUCCCAGAUUAUAUAAUAUCUGCUUCGAUAAAAAGAAAACAGUUAAAGAGGUUGUUGAGGGGGGAAUUGAUAACAUACAGUUUAGGAGAACUCUAACAUGGGAUUCAAGAGAGUUGUGGGAACAUAUAAAAGAGGCCUGCAAUUCGGUGGUGUUAAGAGAUGAAAAAGACAAGAUAAAAUGGACUCUGACAAAGAAGGGGAUUUAUACAAUGAAAUCCUUUUAUAGACAUCUGAUAGAAAAUGGGAUCAAAUACCCACACUUGUAUAUGUGGAAGAUUAAAAUACCACCUCGAGUCAAGGUAUUCAUGUGGUUAGCUCUUAGAAACAACAUCCUCACUAAAGAUAACUUGCUGCGCAGGGGCUGGAAAGGAGAUGAUAAAUGUCCAUUCUGAGGGAGAAAAGAAAACAUCAAUCAUCUGUUCCUGACCUGUUCAGUAGCUAGGCUUUUGUGGAUUAUUUUGAAAUGUGCUUUUAAUCUCAAAGAUAUACCAGACGAUUUAGAUUUGGUAAUGAGGGAUUGGACUAAAACUUUUGAAAAGGAGGAAAGGGGUUUAGUUUGGAUAGGUAUUUCAGCUAUAUGUUGGACUAUUUGGAAAUUGAGAAACAAUGUUGUUUUUGAUAAUAACAGGGUGAAUGAUCCCUGUGUGCGUGUCAACUUGUUGCUUAAAAACUUACAUGAUUGGAAUUUUUUGCAGAAAAACCCCGUAAGAAAUAAAAUGAUGGAGGCUGGAUUAAGGCAGACCGGUGAAGUGGCUGAAGAAGUGUUUCAAGCAGUACAUGGGUGGCGCCUGGAGACUAGAAGGAUCAUGGGGUGAAAAGCUUCAGAAGUCUCCCUGGACCUGUGACACUGCGAAGGACUCUGUAGCUUCAAGCCCUCCACUGUUUUUCUGUUUUGUUCGUCCUUCGGUGAAGGCCUGUGUAUGAGACUGCUUUAAUAUCGUAUCUUAGCUUCUGUUCUAGGCUAUUAAAACUCCGUAAUGCUGGUGCUGGGACCUGACUUUUGAGCCCAGGCCUUAGGUUUCCCCCUUGGGAAGUCCUGCAUUGUUUGAGGAUUUGUGGGCAGGGGGAGGGAUGGCUUCCCCUCCUACCUCAAAUACAGUGCUGACGAAAAACCAGGGGGAGAUAGCUUCGUUUCUUCUCUCUACUUUUCUGCUAGCUGUAAGACUUGGUGAUUUCUAUUAAUGGAAAUUGGAGAGAAUGCUCUCUUUUAUCAAAAAAAAAAGAUACGCACCAACUCAACAACUGCAGGGUCGUAUACUGAUCGGUGCAUGUUACGGCUUCUCUUUUUUGUUUAAACUACACGGUCACUCUUAACCUGUCUCAUUUCGGCCGGCUUCUCAAGUGGUAAACCGAAUGCAACGGAAUUACUAUCCAUCAAGUGGUAAAACGAAUGCGCAUGAGAUGUCUGGUGAGCUCAAAUCUUUUUUUGUUGCGGAAAUCUGGUGAGCUGAAAUCUGUUACGUGAUACAGAAAUAGUAGAUUUGGUUUCAUUAGUCAUUAGUCAUAAAAAAGACAAAACAUAUCACAUCAUGGCUGCUUUUGAUUUGUAAAUAAUUUUGGUCACAUAAUAUACCAGGGGUAGUAUGGUCUUUUCAUGUUAGACUAAACACUGUUAUGUGCCAAAAUUGACAGAAAUGUCAUGUAGGGAACAAAAUAAAAUUGUGUGUCAAAAAGGGAAAAAGAUAUUUUUUAGGGCCAAAAAGGAAAGCAAAAUUUAAGAAAGGGUCAAAUAAGGAAUUCUCUCCACAAUGUUCUUCACUUUCUGGACUGCUCCAUCGAGGCUUCAUUUGCUAACCAACCGUCGCGCAGGUUGUUUGCUGUUGCUCCCUUCCCGUGUUGGGAAAAAGUCCAAAAUAAACCUUGAAGUUAUAGACGAAAGCUAAAUCAAACCCGAACUUUGAAUCCCAGAAAUUGGCACUUUGAACUUGCAAUCCUGGUCUGUUUUGGACCCUAGACCUGUUUGGCAAACUGGGAAUAGUACAAUCCCGGCCGGGAUAACCAGCUACUCUCAUGGACAAGAAUUUGGGCCGGCCCACUACAACACAACAAGAAUUCGUGAAGUUCCAAAAAUGUUCGCACAUUUUUAAAAUUGUUCAGAAGUUAAAAAAUGUCCCUAUUUUCUAUUUUUGGCGCAAAUUCAAUUCAUUUUCUGUUUUUUUAAUGUUUGGAAUUUUAAAAUUCUAUUCACAUUUUAAAAAACUGUUUGUGAUUUAAAAAAAGAAAAACACAUUUGUCAAAAAUGUUCAUAAUACCAACAGUUUUUCAGAUGCUAUAAUUUUUUUCUUCAGAUUUUCAAAUUCUGUCACAUUUUUAAAAUAUGUUUUUCGAAUUUCAUAAACUAUUUCGUAAAUAAUGUUUUUAAAAAAUGUUUUCAAUUGUUGGCUGCGGAAUCGAUUGGGCCGGCCCACCAGACAUGAUGCAAGUUUUUUUUGCUUCACACGAGACAUAAAAAUUCAUUCUUUCUUUUUCUUAACGCGCGACCCAACAAUUCCAAAACAAAAAAAAAACAUGCCGUGGAGUCGAACUUUUUGAUACAUAAACAUUUUCUGAGUUUGUGACAUCUAGAAUAUACCACAAAUUCUAAAAAAAUGUAUGGGCCAAUUCAAACAAAUGUUUAUACAAUGUAUAAUAAUAUUCGUGUGAUUCAAAAAAAAAGGUUUCGUACAUUCAAAAAAAUGUAACAUUUCAAGAAUGUUCACGAGUUUCAGAAAAUGUGUUUGUCGCAUUUUCAAAAAAAUGUAUGUAAAAUGUACCAAAAAUGUUUGCGUGUUGUACAAAAAUGUGUCAUAACCUUAACAGAAUAUACGUGACAUGUAAUAGAAAAUAGUGUAUGCCAAUUUAAAAAUGUUGAACCAUGUAAAAGAGUUUUUGUGUAGUUUUGUAAAAUGUGUAUUGUCAUUAAGAUAAUGUAAAACAUGUAUUUCGAAAAAUAUUACCAUGUAUUCAAAAUGUUUUGAAAAUAUUUAAUUUCAAAAUGUCCAUAACGUAUUUGAAACUAUCAAAAGUUCAUCAGAAAAUAUUUAAUGUCUGCGUUCAAAAUGUACAUUCGGUACUGAGAAAAAUUAGACAUGUGUAAAAAUGAAAAAAAAAACAUAAAAGAAACAUAAAAGAAAAAAAGACUAGUGCGCGCGCACGAGCGACUGCGCUACUGGGCCAGCCCAAUUCAGCAAAUACCGGCCGAGUCCUCUCAAGGUUUAAAACAGACCAGGAUUAUAGAGUUCGGUGUGCUGAUUUCAGAGAUUGAGAGUUCGGGGUUUGAUUUAGCUUUUGCCUACAAAUUCAAGGUUUGUUUUGGAUUCCCCCGUGUUGCUGUUGUGCGCUGUGCGCCACGGCCGAAGCCCAAGCUGAUGACACCGAUGAGCUGAAUGUUGGAAUACCCACCAGCUGCUCCAACGUGAUUUUCUAUAUAUCACGUAGCUCUCUACCUCUCUGUAACAAAUAGAUCUAAUCCCACGCUGCAUGAUUGCAUGAGCUUAUCAAGUGGAGUUAGCUACCUGUUGUAUAAACUAAAGAAACAUGAUUCGAAUCAUCAGAUGUUAAAUCAAUCAACCACAUUUUGGUUAUAUCAUCAAGUAAAGAAACUUGAAUCGGAGAAGUAACAAUGAUUAUUGAAUUAUCGUUUUAGGUAUAAAAAAAUGCAAUUUUACAUUGCGAGACAGGCCUAUUUUAGACUUUUCAUGCAUAUUUUUCUUUUAGUUUUAAAGAAAUGGCCCCCCUUAGUUGCUCGUCGCUCCGCCACUGCACUCAGCUCAAAUAUUCAGACAUAUAUAAUACAUUUGCAGCAUUUUUUGUGUGCCAAAUUUUAGGUGUAGAGACUUCCAAACGUCGCCAUAGCUAGCUUCGCCCCUGCCUACAUAUUAGGGGAGAAAGUAAGCAACAUGCAUGCAUGCGAUCUACAUCAUGAUUUGAUGAGGACGCUCGUUUGACACAUCGCUAUGAAUGAUUAAGCAUAGGAAUGAAGUUUACUUGAUGCCAGAUUUCAAUCCAUGGCAGCUAUUAGGUAAAAAUAACGCACAAGAUAAAGGAAGGCAAAGGAGAUGAUAGUUGAGCAGUCAGUGUUUUUUUUAAGAAAUAAAGAUUAGUUGAGCAAUCAGUGUUUUCUUUUAAAGAUGACUGAACGCCUAGUAUUGGGUAUUGGAUUCGUUUGGGCUGAAUAUUCCGAAUACCACCGUCUGGUUGAUCUUGGCAUUCAGCUCUCGCAUUCGGGCUCGAUAUCAGACUACCCACAAUGGGAGUAACAUAGGUAGUAACAUCACACAUAUCUAGAUAAAAUAGAUGAUGUGACAAGCAAUAAAUGAAGAAAGAGAGGUAUGUGAUAACAUAGCUAGUUACUAGUAGUAUGAGUAACAUCACACAUAUUAAGGCAAGAUGAGUCUAUAGCCUAAUAAAUGAACUAUUGCAUAUUACCACACAUAUGUUACUUCCACUAUAGAGGUAGUAACAUAGACUAGUAACAUAGGCAUGUUACUACGCAUUGUGGCUAGUCUCAAGCGACCCGCCGAAGGGCAAAAAGCUAGCGGUCCAAUUCGGAGGGUCCGCGUUCGACAUCGCUGAGUAUUUGGGAUAGCGUACCUGUUCGCGACCGAAACGAGCUCGAGACAGGAGGUCUCCGCCCGCGCGUGCCCUAAGGAACGGCGGCAGCGGCGCGGGUAGCCCAUCCCAUCCUCCUCUUCUCCGGCGACCGGCGCCACCUCCUGCCCCGCUGCGCUCCCUUUUUCUUUUCUCCCUCCUGGUAGAGCAGUCCCAUCUCAUCUCUCUCUUCUGUGCAUCUGGGUUGGGGAUCCUGUUCACAAAAUGGGAGAUCCCGCAGCUGCUCGCCGGCUACCCGGGCCAUGUCCCGGACCUCGACCGCCGGCUACCCGGGCCUUAUCCCAGACCACAACUGCCGACUACCCAGACACCUUCGCCGCGCUGCCGCUUUUCCGGUACUGCAAGGACGACACCUCACUCAAAGUCCUCUUCCUGGACCGGUCCUUCCGGGGCUUGCUGGAGGUCAACAUUCGCCCCUAGGGGGCGCUCAUGAAGGAGAUAGCAGUCCAUCUCAUCUCUCUAUUCAGCGACCUCCACCCUGAUAUACUAUUUGACCAUCCAAACAUCAUCUAGCAUUCAACCUCAAUAUCAGAUUUGUGUUCUGAAUACCUAAACAUCCAAACAAAAAUAUUGGCAUUCAAUCUAAAUGCCAAUAUCUUGUGAUAUUGGUAUUCAACCCAAUGCAAUGCCAAGGCUCCGAAUACAAACAUCCAAACGAAGCGCAUAUGGUUUUUGCAAAAAGUAAUGACAUGUUUUUUUUCUAAGGUCCACAGAUACGGUUUUUUUUUUGUAAUUUCCUCCUCCAUGUCUCGCUCGCUCUCUCCCCCGCGCGAGGGAUCCGUAGCCGCGCCUCUUUCUGCGCCUCCCCUCGUCGCGAUUCUGCUAGCAGCACCACAUGGCCCUGGGACUGGUAUCCGGCCGGCGUUACUCCAUCCAGAGUCUCUUGCGCCAAGGUCCCACACGGGGGAGGGAAAAGGAGGGGAUGGAGGCGGAGCUGGUCCAUGGCGCGGCGACCGUGGUGUCUCCAUAUCCGGCCAUGGCGGACGGCAUUAGAAGCAGCGAUUGGAGCCGAGGGAGGGUGGCCUGGUGGGCAGGAGUGGCAGCCGGCAGCGAUGCAUCGUCCUUUGUCAUGGCCUGCCGCCUCGCCGUUCUAGAAGCCGAAAGUGUCGUGUAGGAGCUCCUGGAGGAUUCCCAGCGCAGCCAAGGACCGCUACUAGAAGGACAACCGGCAGGUAGGUGCCAUUUAAUUUUGUGUGAAGUUCCUCUUCGUUGUCAUUUUGGUGGGAAUUCAGGCAGAUUCUGGUGCUGCUUGCGUUUAUCUCUGGCCAUGGAGAUUUUGAGGCACUAAUCUUCAUUUUGUUCGCAUCUCACUCUCCUAGUUGCCUGUUGCGCGUAAGGUGUUUGUUAAAAUGGCAUGCUUGCAUGAUGCAUCAAGUUAGGCACGACAGCGUUUAAUCAAGCAACCAAAACGAAGUAAGGAUUAGUUAUCGCCAUGACAUUGAUGUACUUAACCAACAACGUUUAGGAAUUAGUUAUCACCAUGGUACUCUUGUACUUAACUUGUGAUCAGCUCGAGGAUGGAGUCCGCGAGGGUCAAGAGGAUCAGAGGACCAGCCGCUGGUCCACGGCAAGCCAGGCGGGGUCGGGGUUAGGAGGAGGGCGGCGCUCAAUGUGAUCCUGGACACGAUGCUGCAUAAGAACACAGGUAAAAAAGGUGCGCCACUUGAUGUAGUUAUUCUUAGUAGGAUCGAGCUUGAACUUAAUANNNNNNNNNNNNNNNNNNNNNNNNNNNNNNNNNNNNNNNNNNNNNNNNNNNNNNNNNNNNNNNNNNNNNNNNNNNNNNNNNNNNNNNNNNNNNNNNNNNNNNNNNNNNNNNNNNNNNNNNNNNNNNNNNNNNNNNNNNNNNNNNNNNNNNNNNNNNNNNNNNNNNNNNNNNNNNNNNNNNNNNNNNNNNNNNNNNNNNNNNNNNNNNNNNNNNNNNNNNNNNNNNNNNNNNNNNNNNNNNNNNNNNNNNNNNNNNNNNNNNNNNNNNNNNNNNNNNNNNNNNNNNNNNNNNNNNNNNNNNNNNNNNNNNNNNNNNNNNNNNNNNNNNNNNNNNNNNNNNNNNNNNNNNNNNNNNNNNNNNNAGGUCCCGGGAGGGGAGGACUGAGAGGAGGAGCGAGCGGCCGGAAUUGCAAGGAGCUCGCCGAAGAUGUCCUCGGAGGCCAUGGCGACGGAUACCAAGAUAAAGGAUGAAUAUGCACAACGCACUUGUAUUACUCACAGGAUACAAUUACAUAUAGCUGGUCUCCCACAAUAUCAGGCACGCAGGCCAUGAGCUAGGAGUGGAGGUUGAGAUCCUAGAUAGUAGGGAUCAGGCACAAGAGUUACAACGGUACAAGACUGUCAUGUUAACAGUCCAGCUUAGAGUCACAUUUACCACCAUUGUAUCAAUAUAGUUACCAAGUUGUCUAGAUUAAACUAUCAUCAUGACAUGGAAUCAGUUACCAAGUUGUCCAAGUUACAGAUGCCAUCAUGGCAUCGACGUAGUUACCUAUCAUCUUAUUUACCAUUAUGACCAUAACAUCAAUAUAGUUAAACAUUUGUCUAUGUUACAAUCAUCAUCAUGGCUUUGAUGUAGUUAUCUGAUUGUUUAGAUUAUGUAGUUUGGAAAAACUAACUUACAAGUUUGUUUUUUGGGUUCCGACUGAAUGCUUCGCAAUCCGUCCAAUGGCCAUUGCUCGAUCAAAAUCGCACGAGCCAAGAAAACCAUUAGCUUCUUAUCGCACCCCCGAGAAUAACUAAUCAGUUUGACCCUCUUUUACUGCUAUAUUUGUAUAGAAAAGCUAUUUUCUUGUUUUCUUCCUGGUCUUCUCUAGUGCAUCAUUGGCAUUGCACUACACGCGGUUGUUGUCCCCGUGAACGCUCCUAUGGUGGCGAUGAAGAUGUUGGUGAUGGGAUCGGCGAAGCUUAAAUAAGAGAUGCAAUCGGCGAGAUAGGGGAUGUCGGUGAUGGGGAGGCGAUAGGCCGCCUUGAGGUAGAACCUGACCACAUCGACGUAGUACUCCGGUGCAAGAGGGGCACGUGCGGCGGAGACUGGUGCCGCCAUCCCCAUCCAUGGCAGUCCAGAUGGAGUAGCCCUUCCGUUCUUCAUGGUCGCGGUGGUUAUCACCAUGGUAUUGAUAUAGUUACUCGUCUACCCUGGUACAGUCACCACCAUAGUAGUUUUGUAGUUAUCAAGUUUUCCCAAUAGCUACCAUCAAGGAAACGUGUAGAUACCCAGCAAUUGAAGUUACAAUUGCCACCAUGGAUCGCUAUAGUACCCAGUUGUCCAUACUACAGUUACCAUUAUAGAACCAGUACAGUUACCAUUAUAGAACCAGUACAGUUACCUGCCAUCAAAGUGACUUAUGAACAUGGCAAUUUAUGUAGUUACAUGAUGCCCACGUUAUAGUUACGGGUAUCUCGCGUCACCAUCACCCGGGCAUGAGCUCACCUAGCUCUCUUCAACCAAGGUCCCGCCACCGCUUGUGCUCUACUCCUCCUACUGCAACCCUAGCUAGAUCAGGGUUCAGGUCACAGUUACCAUCAUAGCACUAGUAGAAUUAUCUACCAUCCAAGUUAUAGUUGCCAAUGGCAAUCAUGCAAUUACCAGCUGCAUAUGCUAUAGUCACCGACAUGACAAUUAUGUAGUUACCAGCUGCAUAUGCUACAGUUACCAAUAUGGCAACAAUGUAGUUACCCAGCUGCAUAUGCUACGGUUAGCAGCAUGGUAGUUAUGUAGUUACCCAACUGCAUAUGCUACAAUUAUCAACAUGGGAAAUUAUGUAGUUACCCAACUGCAUAUGCCAGAGUUAUCAACCUGACAAUUUUGUAGUUACCCAUCUGUUUGUGCAACAAUUACUAACAUAACAUUGAAUUAUGUAGUUACCUAGCCGCAUAUGCUACAGUUAUCAACAUGACAACUAUGUAAUUACCUAGUAACAUGGUUGGUUGGGUAAGAUAAUUUUUUGGAAUACGAUAACCUUUUGUCGAGACAAAAACAUCCUAGUGAAAUCUUAUUUUUGACGCUGAUAACUAUUGUCGAACUGUUCGAUAACUCACACAUCAAUGGUUUUGUAGCUUCCAAGCUAAAAAAAGAUGUCGAAACCACCCUACUGAUAUAAGUUUGAUGCUCAUAACAACGUGCGAGCAGUACGGUAACUCUUACAGUACCGGACGACAAAUUUUAUGCUAGAAAAAUCUUUCAACGUUGUACUUCUAAUAAAAAAAGUCUUUGGAAUAUACAUAGCAAAUUUAAUGGUUAAAACGGAUUGCGAGUCGGACAUACUGUUUGAGAUACAAUGUUGUCUCUUAUAGUACCGGAUGACAACUUUUAUGCUAGAGAAGUUUUUCAACGUUGCAAUUUUUUUCUAGUUUUCCUGUCGGAUAACUAUUUUAUGAACAACUUGAUAUCUUAUGUACUGCAUCUUGGUAACUUAUAAUAAAAAAAGUAUUUGGAACAUAUCAAUAAGGAUCUAGUUUUGAAUCUCCUCGUAGCAAAUUUAAUGGUGAAAACAGAUUGCGAAUCAAACAUAUUGUUUGAAAUACAAUCAUUUUGCAUUCUCAAAAUAGGAAGAAUCUUGGUGACAUCAUUAUUUUUGUCUUUACUUGCAUGCAUGCAUUUAGUACCCCCGCCCCCAUGCGAUUUUUUUCCAAACAACCCCCUGUUUAUUAGCUGAAAAUACUCCCAAUUCUUGUGUUUGGCCCCCUCCAAGAUUUUAACUCUUCCAUUUGGCCCCCCUUGUGUAAAAUUCCUGGCUACGUCCCUGUGUACCACACCAACUUAUAAAUCUAGACCGUUAAAAUUUAUAAUCAAUGGAUUAGAUAUUAUGAUGACUUUGUGGAAGAAGCAUGGUGGCUCGUUUGUCUUUUGUUUUAAUAAUAUAAUAUGAGUUUUUAUGAUGACUAGGAGCCAUAUAUGAUUUGUAAAAAAAUGUUUCAUCUUAAUUUUAAAAUGCCAAAAUAGUUUGGUGAACAGAACCAUGGUCAUGCAGAUCUGACCACAAAAAGAUCACACAUAGGUCUUUCGUAAGGGGCCUACAACUAUAUUUGUUUCUCAGAAAUACGGUGCAACACACACCUUACCUCUUGGAACAUGCACCUCGUAGUUGAUGAGCACGUCAUACCAUGUCGAAAAAGCUCACAUAAAUCUAGGAAAAUAUGCGAGCAGCCGUGUCUAAGUCUAGGACUUGAACCAGGGCAUGGUGGUUCCACCACAAGGAACCUGAUCACCUAAGCGAUGCUUAGUUCGCCCUACAACCAUUUUCGAGAACAGGAAAAAAAUCAUUAAUCAAGAGUCAACCAAAUUGCAGAAUACAUCACUCAUAUACUAUGCCUUGUAAACUCAUGUACAAAUCUCCAAGCUCUUUUUUCUAAGGUGCAAAUCUCCAAGCCUUUUUUAAGGUACAAAUCUCCAAGCUUUUUUUAAGGUAUAAUCUCCAAGCUGAGGAUCAUUACAAGUGUUGUCGGUAUUAUUAUUUAUUUUGAUAUAUAAUUGAAGUGUGUGAUCUGGCGAGGUCGGAGCGUCUGCGUAGUGAUACAACACAUUGGACGUUCUGAAAAGGAAAAAUAAUCUGAUACUUAAAAUUCAUCUACAGUGAUGCAUGCCCGGAAAUCCCCCCGAGCCCUCCCGCGUCGCCCCCGCUGGUGACGGGGAGGGAACCCUAGCCGCCGCCGGGCAACUCCCCCUCCCCUCCCCCGCCGCCGCCACAGGGCGCUCCGGGCGAAGCUCGGCCGGCACUCCUGCGGCAGGACCUCUCGCCUCCUCGCGUGUGGGGGCUGGUGUGGGCCAGCUUCGACGGGCCUGGGCGCCGCGUUCUGGUGGGUCGUGAAGGCGGCGGAGCUCCUCCAGGCGGCGGCGUCUGGUGGUCUCUGUGGUGCGGCGGGCUGUUUGGUGGUGGGGUGUGCCGGCAGCAGUCAUGGCGGCGACCUAAGCUCAGCUCAAAUCCGGCGGCCCGCUAUGGUUGGCGGCGCUGGCUGUGGGCGGCGUGGGCUGGUGGUGGCUGCUGCUCCAUGGGCGGCAGUGGCGUCCGACGGUGGUGUGCUGCUGGGCAGGGGCAGCGGCGGCAUGGUGGCGGAGCGUGCCGGUCUGAUCUGACUCUGCUUUCUGGCGGGCGGCGCGGGUUGGGGCAUCGGCCCGGCGUCGCUGCUGCUCCGGCUGUGGGCGGCGGCGGCGAGAUGGCUCAGCCUUCUGGGAGGGGAGGCUUCCAUUCGCUGUGCCCGCAUCUUGGCGGGUCGGCUGCGGCGGCGGCUGGCUUUCCGGCGUUGGCUCGUUUGUAGGUGGCCCGUUUCGACCUUCGAUACCUCUCCUCGUCGUCUGGCCGCUACCUCCGUCGAAGGGUUGGCCCUCCCCUAGCUGCGGUCCAUCGCUCGUCUCGCGCCUGGCGGCAGGACCGAGCUCGUCUCGCGCUCGGCAGCAGGACGGGUCGAUGGAGGCCGAUUUUGGCCGGCCUAUUGGGUCUCGGCGCUGGGGGCUGCCCAGGGGUGCGAAAGACGGAUCCUUUCUGCUUGUAUCUUUGAUUGGGGUAGCGGCGGGUCUCGGUGAGGUGGUGCCAAGGUCUUGGAUGCCGGGGCGGCGCCCCGGAUGGUGGUGCCAAGGUCUUGGAUGCCGGGGCGGCGGCUCGGAUGGUGGUGCCGCGGUGCUCAUGGGCAGAGUCCGUGGCGCAGUGCUGCCCGGUGGCCAUGGCCAUGUGGGUGGCGUGGUCGCCAGGGUAUGGUGUUCGGAGGCGGUGAGUGUUGGCCGGGGUGAAAACCUGAUCUAUCUUCGGACGGGCCAGCAGCGGCAAAGCUCGUUCCCUUCUUGAAGGUGUCGUCGCGGCUCUCAUUGCCUGUCGUGUUGCUCCCGGGGAAACUCUGAUCCUCGGGUCGGGCGGUGGCAGCGCUCUGGUGUCGUAACCUUCCUGAAGGCGCCGCCUUGGAGCCCACGGUUCAUCGUAUGCGGCUUCAUCUCUUCGCGGUGGCGUGUUCACGGUUGAGGACCCCGGUGGCUCUUGUAGUGCUACGGGUGGUGUUGUUGCAGUGCCUAUGUAUCCUGCCUUAGGUGUGUGCGUGUGUUGUGGUGGCGUGUGUUUGUACCGGGUUGUGGAUGAUCGUUGCUUUAUAUAUAAAGCGGGGCGGAAGCCUUUUUCGGUUAAAUCCAUGUACAGUUUCAAAUUUUCACAACAAAUUUCAACUCUUUUUCUAAUAAUAAGACAAUAUUCUUACUUCUCCAGUAACUACAACACAUUUGCCUCAAGAAGAUCCCACUUACACUAUAAGUUCUAACUAGAAUUUUGGUGACCCUAUGGCUAAGAUACAUUGCAUUGUGCGGCUCCCAUUGUUCACAAACCAUUACCAUAUCAUGUAGAAAUUCCAUUCAAAAGACAGGCAUAUUAGUUGGCUUGUGAAUUGCAGCAACAAAGCUUGCACCACCUUCUGUUUUUUCUGUACUAUGAUGAAUACUAAUCACAAUGAAGCGAGGGCCAUCAAGCAUUUAGAUGGACCCACCUUCACUCAAUAGGUGUGUGCGAUACUUGUCUCUGAUCGCCAGUAGCUCUCUCGUAGCAUCCCCAAUCUGCAUACGAUCAGUUGGCAGUUCCUUUGAACAUAAUAUCCCAAUUUGCAGAACUGAAGUGAUGCAUGCGGCUCUCAUGGUUGUCCCUUCCUCCAGUGAAGAUAAUAAGCACAGAUCGACCAGGUUGGCGGCUUGGUCUCUCAGUGCUACCUCGGCGUAACUAUGUAGGUUUAGAUCUUGCAGAAACUCACCAUCAGUUGGCCUUUUGCCAGUGAACAACUCUAACAACAGUAUUCCAUAGCUAUAUGUAUCGCCAUAGACCGAGACUUCAUUUGCUUGACCGUACUCUGGAAAAGAAAUGUAAGUGAAUCAGUUUCGAAUGAGAAAUUGGUACAUCAAAGAUGAACAUCGGUGAUUAAUGGCAAACCUGGGGCAGCAUAUCCAAUUGUUCCCCUUCUUGUAGCCCAACCACUUGAUAUUUCUGGGAGGCUAGUAUCAUCCUGCUGCAAGAACCUUGCGAGUCCAAAGUCACCCACAUGGGCAACCAUGUCAUUAUCGAGGAGAAUAUUGCUUGGCUUAAGAUCACAAUGAACUAUUGGCACUGGCUUAUUGUGGUGAAGGUAUUCGAGCGCUGAACCUACAUCAAUGGCAAUGUCUAUCCUUUGGGUAAGAUUGAGCACGCCAUGGCUCCCAUCUUCCAGGAGAUGGCUGUGUAGCCAUUGAUCAAGAUCUCCAUUCGGCAUGAACUCAAAUACGAGAGCUUUGAAGUCUAGACCCCUGAAAUCAAUACUUGAGCAGACGGUCAAUAUCUUCACAAGGUUUCGAUGUCUGAUGCAUCUUAAAGUCUCACAUUCUGCAACAAAGCUUUGAGAUGCCCCUCGCUGCUGGAGGUUGAGCACCUUGAUAGCGACAAUCACUUCCUGAUCUCCAUUCAUCGUUGUUCCUUUGUACACGGAGCCGAAGCUUCCUGUGCCUAAGAGGUUCUCAGAAGCAAAACCACUUGUUGCUCUCACUAAUUCAGCAUAGGUAACCCUCAGAUGUUGUCCACUAUGGAGCGAUGGAACCCUUCUAAUCUUUGUAAACUUGUUUCUCAAUUUCUGUUGUGCAAAUAGUACAAUUAGUACUAAGAUAAUGCAAAGAAGUGCACUGCCUACUGGGAUCAACACGACAAGCUUGUGAGACCACUUCUUGGAUGUAUGAUUUGAGCAGGGAUGCAAGUUAAAUUGGGGGAUACCUCCACAUAAGCCAUAGUUCCCUUCAAUAAGAGUUGCACUUGCAUUCAGAAAUAAUCCAUGUUUUGGAACUUCACCCUCAAAAUUGUUGAAUGAUAUGUUCAGGGUAGCGAGCCCCCGCAUGUCCCCAAGGAAGACUGGGAUGUCCCCAGACAAGUUGUUUCUUGAAACAUCAAGAACUAGAAGCCCUUUCAUCUGUGACAUUGAUUCUGGAAUUGUGCCCUGAAGUAGGUUUCCUUCCAUAAUGAGAUACUGCAAACUUCCACACUGAGCUAGAGAGGCAGGAACUGAGCCAGUUAUCAUGUUGUCAGACACAUCCAGAUAUCCGAGAUUCACUAGAUUACUAACUUCUGGAGGAAUUGUCCCAGUUAACUUAUUGCCUUGGAGCUGCAUGGAAUCAGAUAGUGUCGAUAUGAGGAAAAUCUCUUUUGGUAUUGAACCAACAAGCUGAUUGAAUGCUAGGCUCAAUGUGUCCACAGGGCAGCUUCCAAGGCUGGAUGGUAUGGGACAGGCAAGCACAUUUUGGCUGAGGUCGAGUGUAAUUAAUGCUGUGAGAUUUCCAAGCAUUGGUGGAAUUGGUCCAGAUAAACCAUUGUUUGACAAGUAUAAUUCAGCCAGGAUCCUAAGAUUGCCAAUCGAUUCAGGAAUUUUUCCAUCUAGGAAAUUACCAUCCACCUGCAAGUGUUGCAAGUUGACAAGGUUUCCAAUUCCUUCAGGUAUACUUCCCCGUAGCAUGUUGCCUGACACGCUGAAAUAUCUCAAGUUUGUGGAAAGGUUUGCCAUUGAAUUUGGUAUCACCCCUUGUAGUUUGUUAUGGCCAAGAGAUAGGUACUGUAGCAUACUACAGUUUGUCAAGCUAGAAAUGAAAUCCCAAUCGGCAUCAUUCCUUGCCUCUAGCUGGUUAUGUGAGAGAAGCAGUGCCGAUAAGCUCUUCAUGGUAGCUCCAAGGCAUUUUGGUAUUACUCCGGAAAAGAAGUUCUUGCUCAGUUGUACCAUUUCAAGCAUUGAAGCAUUGCACAAAGACUCUGGGAUGGACCCAUGAAACCUAUUAUUGUCUAUGGUAAGGUUCUGGAGUUGUUGAAACUUAUUACCCAACUGAUCUGAAAUGGGUCCACUGAGGUUGUUGUAUUGCACACUAAAAAUUUGGAGGGAUGAGAGAUUAUAGACAAAAGGUGGUAUAGAACCCUCGAGUUGAUUCCCGUUGAGAUAAAACUCAACGAGAGAACUGAGUUUUCCAAGAGUGUGAGGGAUUGAGCCUGUAAGACUAUUAGAUGUGAGAGAAAGGACGUUGAGCAGAUUCAGAUCUCCUAACGAUUCAGGGAUGCUACCAGUUAGGCCACUGGACAGCUAGAACUAGUAGAGAUGAGAGGUUUCCUAGGGAAGGUGGAAUCGGCCCUGAGAGUCGGUUCAGCCCUAGAUACAGAAACUGUAAUUUCUGGAGGCCUCCAAGAGAGACAGGAAUAAAACCUGUCAGACCAUUGAUAGGAAGAUCUAAGACGGUCAAGUUUCUAAGAUUUCCAAUUUGCGUUGGGAUUUCUCCUACUAGCAUGUUUGAGUGAAGAACAAGAUGGAUCAGGCCUUUCAGGUUUCCAAUCUCCACAUGGACGGAACCUGACAGACGAUUGAAGCUAAGAUGUAACUUGGUCAAGUUUCUAAGAUUUCCAAUUUGGGUUGGGAUUUCUCCUACUAGCAUGUUUGAUGACAAAUCAAGACGGAUCAGAGCUUUCAGGUUUCCAAUCUCCACAGGGAUACUUCCUGUAAGGUUGUUGUACCCAAGACCCAGUACCUCAAGAUUAUGCAGGGAUGCCAACUCCCGGGGCACCGAGCCUUUAUGCAUGUUGUGCUUGAGAUCAAUAACUCGAAGNNNNNNNNNNNNNNNNNNNNNNNNNNNNNNNNNNNNNNNNNNNNNNNNNNNNNNNNNNNNNNNNNNNNNNNNNNNNNNNNNNNNNNNNNNNNNNNNNNNNNNNNNNNNNNNNNNNNNNNNNNNNNNNNNNNNNNNNNNNNNNNNNNNNNNNNNNNNNNNNNNNNNNNNNNNNNNNNNNNNNNNNNNNNNNNNNNNNNNNNNNNNNNNNNNNNNNNNNNNNNNNNNNNNNNNNNNNNNNNNNNNNNNNNNNNNNNNNNNNNNNNNNNNNNNNNNNNNNNNNNNNNNNNNNNNNNNNNNNNNNNNNNNNNNNNNNNNNNNNNNNNACUCGAGUUGUACGAGAUGUCCAACCUCUGAUGGUAUGAUACCAUAAAAGCGAUUCUGUUGGAGGCCAAAAUGCCUGAGGUUAGUUAGAUUACCUAUGGAAGAGGCAAUGGUGCCAAGAAGGUUGAGCCCACCAAGCUCCAGUGCUACGACACGGCCGCGACGGCGGCCACGCGUGCCGCAGGCCACUCCGCGCCAUUGGCACAUAGGGAUCGAUUGGUUCCCCAUGAAUCCAGUGCUUGGAAUGGAUCUCCUUUAAUCAGAGACCUCAAUGACAUGAGCGCUUGGUGGUCAGUGGCGCUUGUUGUGGCAGUUUCAGCAGUGGCUGCAUGCACGGCAUUGGCUGAACACGGGAGACAAAGGGAAGCAAACAUCAAAAGCUGCAUGACUAUCAUGAUCGACAUGUUUAGGCGACGCAAAUAAAAGCUUGGUGUGCAGACUAGAAGCUCGGUGUGCUUAUAUAGUGAUUCUUUCUCUUUGCGGGGAAUUUAGAUAGUGAUUCGAGGCAAGUUGCAUAGAGCCAUCGGUUUCAUGCUUGUCAUUUUCAGUCCCAUAUGACCGCGGACUGCACAGUGAUCAACUAAUGCUGCGUCUGCGACAAGUCUAUGCACAGUCUGGCUGGCCAAAUGUCCUGUCCAAAACUUCACUAAUGGGCACUACGUCUGUGAUCCACUACAGCGAUGCUGUAUGGGCAUGCCGAUGAAAAUAUGGCCUGAAGCCGGACUCCAUAUCCGUAGAUUACCUUGUCCUUCCCGUGUCCCCCACUGCACUGGUCACUUUGUCGAGCGUUAUCCACUGGUGCGUUGAAAGCAGAAAUUGCACCGAUGAUGGCACUGACGGGAGGUUCGUUAUCCACUAGUGUGUUGAAGGCAGAAAUUGCGCCGAUGAUGCCAGUUCAGUCAGUGUCAGUCAGUGGAAGUGGGAAGAAUAAAAUGCAUAAUUACUACAGAAAGUUGUUGCAAAGGUGAAAGUUGAGUUUCACAUAUCAACUUAGAAAUCUCACAAUGGGUGUGGCCUUAACCAAGGGGAAUCCUAUUCCCCGCGUACCGCGGGCGAUACAGAGCAAACACGCAACCCUAGGACGCGAGCGCCCUAUGCUAUAUGGGCCGACCCAUUCCGGUUUUCACCCUCACAGUCUUUUUUGUUCUUUUCCAUGUUUUUUUUUCAAAUUCACAAAUCUUUUUUUCGCAAUUGUGAACUUUUUGGAAGUCCUGAACUUUUUCUAAAUCCAUAAAUGUUUUUUCAACUUGGGAACAAUUUUGAAAAUCAUGGAAAAUAUAGGAAGCGAGAUUUUUUUUGGAAUUCGCAAAUACUUUUUAUAUUCGUGGGUUUUUAAAUACAGAAACAAAUUUCAAAUUCAUGAACAAUUUUUAAAAAUUGAAGAACAUUUUUUUAAAAUCAGACAACCUUUUUUGAAAUUCGUGUGCAUUAUUAUGAAUCAUCAUUUUUUGAAAUUCCUGAACAUUGUUGAAAUUUUAAAUAUUAACAAAAAUUGUGAACUUUUUUUAAACUGUUAACAUUUUUUGAAUUCAAUUUUUUUUUGAAAUCCUGAAAGUUUUCUUUAAAGCAGAAAAUAAAAACUUAAAAAUAAAGAAAGAAAGAAGAGAAGGGAGGCGGGGUCGCCUUAAUGGGAGCAACNNNNNNNNNNNNNNNNNNNNNNNNNNNNNNNNNNNNNNNNNNNNNNNNNNNNNNNNNNNNNNNNNNNNNNNNNNNNNNNNNNNNNNNNNNNNNNNNNNNNNNNNNNNNNNNNNNNNNNNNNNNNNNNNNNNNNNNNNNNNNNNNNNNNNNNNNNNNNNNNNNNNNNNNNNNNNNNNNNNNNNNNNNNNNNNNNNNNNNNNNNNNNNNNNNNNNNNNNNNNNNNNNNNNNNNNNNNNNNNNNNNNNNNNNNNNNNNNNNNNNNNNNNNNNNNNNNNNNNNNNNNNNNNNNNNNNNNNNNNNNNNNNNNNNNNNNNNNNNNNNNNNNNNNNNNNNNNNNNNNNNNNNNNNNNNNNNNNNNNNNNNNNNNNNNAGGAGCGCCCCAAUGCAACAUCUGAUGCGCCAAUUAUUGCCAUGUGUCACGUGCUUGGCGCAUCUGCUGGAACAUUUUUUUAAUGCGUAUUUUGGUAUUUUCAGAUUUGGGUUUUUUCUCAGGGUACAAAAAAGUUCUUCAUUUUUUAUUUUAUUUUUGUUUUCUGUUGUGAAGCGCAUUUUUUGUUUCACAAUUGUGCUUCUUCGUGCUUCCCGAAAAGUGGAAAUACAACUAUGCUUCACCGUGAAGGACAUGUGUGGUUUUUGAAAAAAAAUGUGAAAACAUAGUUGUGCUUCACCAAGAAGCAAAGUAGCGUGAGACACAUCUGCAUUUUCCGAAAAGUGAAAAAGCACAGUUGUCCUUCAUGGUGAAGCUCACCCAAAAAGUGAAAAAACACAAAAUAUCUUUUUUUGCUCUGUUUUUUUUUAUUUUUUCCGGUUUUUCUUGAGAAUUUUUUCUUGACCAACCUAUUAACUUGUGAUAUAAUUUCAAAGAUCUCGACACGAGAAACGCAACGAUGGAAAUUGUUCAUGAUUUGAACGAAUGGUUUAAGAGAUGAAAUGUUUUCAGAAAACAUAUCUACAGCGACGCACUUAUCACUAUCAGCAAAAUGGGAAUGUCCCCUUUCACCGAAUGUAGAUCGAACGCACAACGUCGGAAGGCUUUAAAUAAUCCAAAAAAUAUGCAAGCAUUGGCCUUGGGCCGGGAUCCUUCGCUCUUCGUAUUAUCGUUUUCUUAGAUGCUCUUCGUAUUAUGGUUGAUGCCAGAAGUGAACGUGCCCCCCAAAAAAGGUGAACUAAAACCAGAGGUAUACUUUUCUCACCGGUUGGGUUUGGGGGCCUCUGUGCGAUUGCUCCGCUUGCACGCCCUCGUCGCGAGGGCCGGCGUAGCCGCAGCUCUCCGCAUGCGCCGCCCCACGUCGCGAUUCUGCUCGCAGCACAACAUGGCUCUGCCGCCUUGCCGUUCUUGUCGCGUAGGAGCUCCUGGAUGAUUCCCAGCGCAGCCAAAGACCGCUACUAGAAGGACAACCGGCAGGUUGGUGCCAUUUAAUUUUCUGUGAAUUUCCUCUUUGUUGUCAUUUUGGUGGGAAUUACUUUUCAGAGAUACCUGACUUAUUAGUGGACUGGUCAUGUCAUAGCGGAAGGUCAGAGGUGGGAAACAAGAAAAUAGAGGAAAUGCUUACUGGGACAUAGCCUUCGGUACGAGUUGAAGGGAAGAGGUUUGAUUGCUAAUAAAAUGAGUGGAAGAGCUGCUCGGUCAAAGGCAUUCUUUCUCUCAAGUAGCAAACGCAAGACGGAAAAGCAGAAAUGAAGGUUGCUAGGUACCGCUAAGGCAGAUUCUGGUGCUGCUUGCGUUUAUCUCUGGCCCAUGGAGAAUUUGAGGCACUAAUCUUCGUUUUGUUCGGAUCUCACACUCUAGUUGCAUGCUGCCCGUAAGGUGUUUGUUGAAAUGGCAUGCUUGUGUGAUGCAGCAAGUUAGGCACAACAACGUUUAAUCAAGCAACCAAAACGAAGUAGGGGUUAGUUAUCGACAUGGCAUUGCUGUACUUAACCUACAAUGUUUAGGAAUUAGUUAUCGCCAUGGCACUCUUGUACCCAACUUGUUGUCCAGCUUAGAGUCACAGUUACCACCAUCGUAUCAAUAUAGUUACCAAGUUGUCUAAAUUAGACUAUCAUCAUGACAUGGAAUUAGUGAUACCAUCAUGGCAUCGACGUAGUUACCUAUCUUCUUCCUCUGUAAAGAAAUAUAAGAGUGUUUAGAACUUUUAGAUCACUAGAGGGAGUAUAUCUUUUACGAUUAUGACCAAAAGUCCAUAACAUCAAUAUAGUUACCCCGUGGCGGCAGGUGGUGGUAGCCCGAGCCGGCUCCCAGGAUGGCGGCGGCGGGGCACCUCGUCGAGCUUAGGCUCCCUUGCCAGCCCACCCGUUCGCCGGCGGCACCCUGCGCCAGCACGUCUGUGAUGGCUGCCUGCUACGCUGCCCCUGCCCGCCCAUCCUGCUACCGGCCGUUGCGAGCUCCUGCCACCGGCGAGGUGCGUCCGCCUCUCCCCUCCUCCCCGUGUCAGAUCUGGGAUCCUGGUGAGGCAUGUCCUGUCGUCGGCUUCUCCUUUAUUGCUGGCGCUAGACCUGGGGUUGGGGGUGGUGUGCUCCUCCGCUGGUCUCGGGCCGCCCUUGCGGCGCCGCGACAACACUCUUCUCCUCUGAGUUGUGGCAUUGACUUCAAAAUGAUGGAUUUUUUGGCUUGCUUCAGCGGCGCCUGCUGGCGUUCUGCAAGUGCUCGUGCCCUUGCGAUGGACCCCUUGCUGGUGUAGCUCUUGACCCCGUGACCCUCGACUUGCGUUUUCCGAUGUCUCUUGCGACGCGACACUGGCCCCGACGCUCUGGAGGUUGCGUCUCCUCAGGCCUCGAUACCAGCCCCGGCGACCUGGAUCUGCGUCUCUUCCAGUUACCAGCUCAUUGGGAUCGCCUGUCGCCGCCGCGUCCCCUCCAUCAGCCCCUUUCGCCUCGCCGACCCUCCAACCUCCCAACCCCGACCACCUUGUUGCCUCGACCCUCAUAAUGUCCAAGGUUCGUGUGUCCGGCGCGUCUCCCCUUCUGGUGGUGGUGGCUUUUCGACCUACCUGUGACUUUCGACUCCCGAGUCCUGGUCUGAUGGCUUUGAAAUUGCUCAGGCAUGCCAAAGAGAAAUCCUUUCUUGGCUUGCCGGUGCUGGCGGUGACACUGGAGAGUGUCGUCUCCUGCCUGGAGGCGUUGCCACGACAUUUGCACUCCACUUCACUCGGUGGAGGUAGGCCGUUGUCCCCGUGGACGCUUCUGUGGUGGCGAUGAAGAUGUUGUGAUGGGAUCGGCGAGGCUUCUACUGGAGAUGUAGUCGGCGAGAUAGGGGAUGUCGCUGAUGGGGAGGCGAUGGGUCGCUUCGAGGUAGAACUCGACCAUCUAGAUGUAGUACUCCGGUGCAAGAGGGGCACGUGCGCUGGAGAUUGGUGCUGCCAUGGUGCCAUCCCCAUCCAUGUGGUCCAGAUGGUGUAGCCCUUUCGUUCUUCAUGGUGGUGGUGGUUAUCACCAUUGUAUUGAUAUAGUUACUCAUCUACCCUGCUACAGUUAUCACCAUGGUAGUUUUGUAGUUAUCAAGUUCUCCCGAUUGCUAGUUUGCUACCAUCAAGGAAACGUGCAGAUCUGCUUAGCUGCACCGGAGACGGCCAAACACCUGCUGGUAGAGUGCACCUACACCAAGCGGCUGUUGAUGGGUAUCACUGACAAUCUUGGAGGCUCCUUCCUGCAGCUCAGGCCAAUGGUGGCUGCACCACUGCUAAGCCAAACCCUGAAAGACAAUUGGAGCGCGCAGCUGCGCUUGCUCCAGGGUGAGGAAAAGAAGACAUGGAAAUCGGCCAUCUGCUUGGUUUCCUGGAUGCUUUGGAAAGAACGCAACAACCGUGUCUUCAACGCCGCCGAGUGCAUUGUUCCACAGCUCAUGGGACGCAUCAAGGAUGAGGCGAGAAGCUGGUCGGCGGCUGGUAUAAACCUGUUAGACAGACUCUUUGAGCCACCUUGAGUGCUGCAUAUCAUCUUCUUGUUGUUGUUGUAUACUGGUCGUGCCGGCUGGAAACCAGCUCCAAAACACGCUGAUCUCCCUAACUGUAGCUCUACUGCAAUUUGUAUUUCUCCUUCUGAUUAAUCAAUGAAAUAUGGCCCUAGGACCAUCUUUUCGUCAAAAAAGGAAACGUGCAGAUACCUGACAAUUCAGGUUAUAGUUGCUACCAUGGCACUUAUAUAGUUACCCAAUUGUUCAUACUACAAUUACCAUCAUAGCACCAGUGGAGUUACCCGCAAUCAAAGUUACAAUUAUCAACAUGGCAAUUUUAUGUAGUUGCAUGAUGUCCAUGUUAUAGUUACGGGUAUCUCGCGACACCAUCACCGGGGCAUGAGCUCACCUCGCUCUCUGCUACCGAGGCCCUGCUACCGCUUGUAGUUACAUAAUUUGCCUCAAGAUAGGAACGUAGAAAAAAACAUGUGGUUUUCUCAAUAAAGAGAAUACAUUAACACCAGGAAGAUCCCAGUUACACUAUAAGUUCCAACUAGAAUUUUGGUGAACCUAUGGCUAAGAUACAUUGCAUUGUGCAGCUUCCAUUGUUCACAAACCAUUUCCAUAUAAUGUUGAAAUUCCAUUCGAAAGACAUGCAUAUUAGUUGUCUAGUGAAUUGCAGCAACAAAGCUUGCAUCACCUCCUGUUUUGGUAUUAUGAUGAAUACUGAUCACAAUGAAGCGAGGCCAUCAAGCAUUUAAAUGGACCCACCUUCACUCAAUAGGUGUGUGCGAUACUUGUCUCUGAUCGCCAGUAGCUCUCUCAUAGCAUGCCCAAUCUGCAUGCGAUCAGUUGGCAGUUCCUUCGAGCAUAAUAUCCCAAUGUGCAGAACUGAAGUGAUGCAUGCAGCUCUCAUGGUUGUCCCUUCCUCCAGUGAAGAUAAUAAACACAGAUCGACCAGGUUGCUGGCUUGGUCUCUCAGUGCUAUGUCGACGUAACUAUGUAGGUUUAGAUCUUGCAGAAACUCACCAUCAGUUGGCCUUUUACCAGUGAACAACUCUAACAACAGUAUUCCGAAGCUAUAGGUAUCACCAUAGACCGAGACUUCAUUUCCUUGACCGUACUCUGGGAAAGAAAUGUAUGUGAAAUUAGUUUCGAAUGAGAAAUUGGUACAACAAAGAUGAACAUCGGUGAUUAAUGGCAAACCUGGAGCAGCAUAUCCAAUUGUUCCCCUUCUUGUAGCCCAACCACUUGAUAUCUCUGGGAGGCUAGUAUCAUCCUGGUGCAAGAACCUUGCAAGUCCAAAGUCACUGACAUGGGCAACCUUGUCAUUAUCGAGGAGAAUAUUGCUUAGCUUAAGAUCACAAUGAACUAUUGGUACUGGCUUAUUGUGGUGAAGGUAUUCGAGUGCUGAAGCUACAUCAAUGGCAAUGUCUAUCCUUUGGGUAAGACUGAGCACCCCAUGGCCCCCAUCUUCCAGGAGACGGCCGUGUAGCCAUUGAUCAAGAUUUCCAUUCGGCAUGAACUCAAAUACUAGAGCUUUGAAGUCUAGACCUCUGAAAUCAAUACUUGAACAAACGGUCAAUAUCUUCACAAGGUUUCGAUGUCUAAUGCAUCUUAAAGUCUCACAUUCUGCAACAAAGCUUUGAGAUGCCCCUCGCUGCUCGAGGUUGAGCACCUUCACAGCGACAACCACUUCCUGAUGUCCAUCCAUCAUUGUUCCUUUGUACACGGACCCAAAGCUUCCUGCGCCUAAGAGGUUCUCAGAAGCAAAACCACUUGUUGCUCUCACUAAUUCAGCAUAGGUAACUCUCAUAUGUUGUCCACUAUGGAGUGAUGGAACCCGUCCUGUCUUAGUAAACUUGCUUCUCAAUUUCUGGCGUGCAAAUAUUGCAAAUAGUACUAAGAUGAUGCAAAGAACUGCGCUGCCUACUGAGAUAAACACGACAAUUUUGUGUGACCACUUCUUGGAUGUAUGGUUUAAGCAGGGAUGCAAGUUAAAUUGGGGGAUACCUCCACAUAAGCCAUAGUUCCCUUCGAUCAGAGCUGCACUUGCAUUCAGAAAUAAUCCACGUUUUGGAACUUCACCCUCAAAAUUGUUGAAUGAUAUAUUCAGGGUAGCGAGCCCCUGCAUGUCCCCAAGGAAGAUUGGGAUGUCCCCGGACAAGUUGUUUCUUGAAACAUCAAGAACUAGAAGGCCUUUCAUCUGUGAUAUUGAUGCUGGAAUUGUGCCCUGAAGUAGGUUUCCUUCCAUACUGAGAUACUGCAAACUUCCACACUGAGCUAGAGAGGCAGGAACUAAGCCAGUUAUCCUGUUGUCAGACACAUCCAGAGAUCCAAGAUGCACUACAUUACUAACUUCUGAAGGAAUUGUCCCAGUUAACUUAUUGCCUUGGAGCUCCAUGGAAACAGACAGUGUCGAUAUGAGGAAAAUCUCUUUUGGUAUAGGACCAACAAGCUGAUUGAAUUGUAGGCUUAGUGUCUCAAAAGGACAACUUCCAAGGCUGGAUGGUAUGGAGCCAGUAAGCACAUUUUGGGUGAGGACGAGUCUAUUUAGUGAUGUGAGAUUUCCAAAUACUGGUGGAAUUGGUCCAGAUAAGCUGUUGUUGUACAAGUAUAGUUCAACCAGGAUCCCAAGGUUGCCAAUUGAUUCAGGAAUUUUUCCAUUUAGGAAAUUACCAUUCAUCUGCAACCCUUGCAAGUUGACAAGGUUUCCAAUUCCUUCAGGUAUAUUUCCCCGUAGCAUGUUGUCCGACACGCUGAAAAAUCUUAAAUUUGUGGAAAGAUUUGCUAUCGAAUAGGGCAGCACCCCUUCUAGUUUGUUAUUGCCUAGACUCAGCUUCUUCAGCAUACUACAGUUUGUCAAGCUAGAAAUGAAGUCCCAAUCCGCAUCAUUCCUUGCCUCUAGUUGACCAAAUGAGAGAUGCAGUAACGAUAAGCUCUUCAUGGUAGCUCCAAGACAUUUUGGUAUUACUCCGGUAAGAAAGUUGGCACCCAAUUGAACCAUUUCAAGCAUUGAAGCAUUGCACAAAGACUCUGGGAUGGACUCAUGAAAUUGAUUACUGCUCAUGCCAAGUAGCUGAAGUUGUGGAAACUUAUUACCCAGGUCAUCUGAAAUAGAUCCACUGAGGUUGUUAAUUUGCACGCUUAAAACUUGGAGGGAUGAAAGAUUGUAGAGAGAAGGUGGUAUAGUACCCUCGAGUUGAUUCCCAGUCAGAUACAACCCAACGAGCGAACUGAGUUUUCCAAGAGUGGGAGGGAUUGAGCCUGUAAGGCUAUUAAGUGUGAGACAAAGGGCGUUGAGGAGAUUCAUAUUUCCUAACGAUUCAGGGAUGCUACCAGUUAGGCCAUUUUCUUCGAAAGCUAGAACAUUUAGAGAUGAGAGGUUUCCUAGGGAAGGUGGAAUCGGCCCUGAGAGCUUGUUUUCUGAUAGAUACAAAAUUUGUAAUUUCUGGAGGCCUCCAAGAGAGGCAGGAAUAGAACCUGACAAACCAUUGAAGUAAAGAUCUAAAUCGGUCAAGUUUCUAAGCUUUCCUAUUUGUGUUGGGAUUUCUCCUACUAGCAUGUUUGAGUUCAGAAGAAGACUGGUCAGAGCUUUCAGGUUUCCAAUCUCCACAGGGAUACUUCCUGUAAGGUUGUUGUACCCAAGAGCCAGUACCUCAAGAUUAUGCAGGGAUGCCAACUCCUGGGACACCGAACCUUCAUGCAUGUUGUGCCUCAGAUCAAUGACUUGAAGCUGAACACAAGUGGCCAGUGUAGGCGGGAUGUCGCCGCCGAUGGAGUUCCUGCUGAGGUUCAGAUACUCAAGUUGUACGAGAUGUCCAACCUCUGAUGGUAUGGCACCGUAAAAGUGGUUCUCUUGGAGGCCAAAAUGCCUGAGGUAAGUUAGAUUACCUAUGGAAGAGGCAAUGGUGCCAACAAGGUUGAGUCCACGAAGAUCCAGUGCGACGACACGGCCGCGGCGGUGGCCACGCGUGCCACAGGCCACUCCGCGCCAUUGGCACAUCGGGAUCGACUGGUUUCCCCAUGAAGUCAGUGCUUGGAAUGGAUCUCCUUUAAACAGAGACCUCAAUGACAUGAGCGCUUGGUGGUCAGUGGCGCUGCUUGUUGUGGCAGUUUGAGCAGUUGACAAGGUGGGUAGAUGCACGACAUUGGCCCAACACGGGAGACAGAGUAAGGCAAACACGAAAAACUGCAUGACUAUCAUGGUCGACAUGUUUAGGCGACGUAUACAGAGGCUGGUUUUCAGACUAGCUAGAAGCUUGGUGUGCUUAUAUAAUGAUUCUUUCCUUUUCUUUCCUUCUUUUGCAGGGAGGCAAGUUGCAUGGACCCGUCGGUUUCAUGGUCCCCGAUAUAUUGUUUCUAAGGAAAGAAGACCAAAUCAUGGUGCUGGAAGUGCAGUACCAAUGACCAUAUGACCGCGGACUGCACAGUGAUCCACUGCUGCUACGUCUGUGGCGAGACUAUGCGGGCACAGUUUGGCUGGCCAAAUAUCCCUCCUCCAAUGUUCAAAAACUCCCUAAGCCCACGGCGGUGAAAUGAAAAGAUGGCCUGACGCCGGGCUCGUUUGCCGACGAUGCAGAGGCUGGUUUGAGAUCAGGCGCGGAUAGCGUUAGACAACACAAUGGUUCCAGAUCAACUGGCACUCGCUUUAUUCCAUCUAUAUUGAGAUGAAGCGAAAUAUGUUCACAUCAUGUGUUGUCUACACGUUACAACUCAGCUGGCUAUCGUCAAAACACUAAACACAGGGGAAACAAAGCAGGCUUUAAAUAUGACAGAAGCUGAAAGCACACUUAAAUUAUCAGGUACGAGGGCGCCUUUUUCCUUUUCAGCCCAUGACACAUCCGUCAUUCUCCAAUAGAAGCAACGGGUUGCUGUGAAAAGAAGACGAAUGAUGGGUUGGCGGUUUUCUGGCAUGUUUGGAAUGAAAGAAACAACUGUAUAUUCAAUAACAAGGCACCCCAUUUCCUGAAGGUCGCUGAGAGCAUCAUUGAACGAGCUAAAUUCUUGGAGAAUCACUAGAUUCAGAGGAGCUCAAUGGACUGGCGCGGGAUAUCAUUCUUUCCACCUUCCAUGUGUAACAUUUGUAUAGCUUUUCCUUUUCCUUUCUGGCUGUCAGCCGUUCUCUGAACCUUAAACUGUAUCUCUUAGGGUGACUCAUUCUAUCCUAAUGAAUGAAAUCAGCACAAUACUGUUUUUCGUCAAAAAAAUGGGUUGAGCGAUUGCUCAGCAACCUCUCAACAUCCUCCAGUUUCUACUUCGCAUGGGAGGAGAUCAAAUUUUCCUUGUCAGGAUGCGCGCAGUGUCAGACAAGCAAAGUGUUGGAUCGACGACCAGAAAGUCCGUCAACACAUCCGACAAGCAAGUCGGUCCAGUAGCAAUGUUCCAAUAGUACAAGCAAUAACCCCAGGUCCUAUCUUGCAUGCAGUGACCAGAAAGUCCGUCAACACGUUCACAACAGACUUAACUUGCUUGUCGACCUGUAGCGGCAGCACAGGGUGACGAGUCGUCGACUAGGUGGUCCAAUAGUUCAAUCAGUUUAGGUUUUACUCCUUCGUUUCUAAAUAUAAGAUGUUUUUAGCUUUUCUCUAUUUUCACAGAUUCAUAUGCAUCUAGACACGUUUUAAUGUGUAUAUUCACUUAUUUUAAUUCGCACAUAGUCCAUCUUGUAAUAUCUAAAACACCUUAUAAUAAUUUAAAAACAAAGGGAUUAGUUGUGAAAACCCUACGUCCAAUCUUCACGGACCGAUCUUAACAAUGGCGUUGUUUACGCUUCAUUCCUUGUUGAAGACAUUGCAUGCAGUUUACCGAGACUUCUCUUCGAGGGGUGAAAACUCAUGAUAUUAUUGAGACUUCUCUUCAAAGGGGUGAAAACUUUUAUGAUCUGGCCUUAUGAUUGGAUCCAACCGUUGCUAGACCCGUCGUUGUUGGAGUACCUAUCUUGGGGCAUCUCAACGUUGACCCGCAAAUUUGCUCGGGUGUCCGUCCGCAGACAACGCGCGCGCGGGGGGAGGGGGGGCAGCCCGUGGACACGGAUGCAGGAGGCAAUCAUCUUACACUGCCCGCAUACAUUUCACACACCUUUUCAACUAACCGGAUGAAAUUCAUGCAAACAAGGUGGAUUUUCAUAUAAACCGGACAAGAUUUAUGCAAACAAGGGGGAUUUUCAUAUAAACUGGAUGAGAUUCAUGCAAACACGACGGAUUUUCAUUACAUUUCGAACAUUUCGAACAAAAAACCCGACCCUAAACCUAUCCUACGGCGGCGACCUUCGUCCACUGGUUUUGUAUUCCACAUCGGCGACCACGUCCUCCAUCUGUCGUCUCCAUGAACGGCGGCGGGUUCAAGAUCCGUGAAGUGGAGGUGCGGUCUCCAGCGAGGGAGAAUAGAACAUGGGAGACGGAUCGUCCCACUUGGGAUACAAUGCCUCACCGCCUCUCAUGCUCUACUCAUCCUCGGAGGAGUCCAUGACCUGUGUGUCGCCAGCGCCGGUGGACGUGAGGUCGAUGAUGAACGUGGACGGUCCGUCACUGUCCACCUGCCACAUGCGCCCCUCGAAAGUUGGACGGUGUCGCGUAGGACACGCAGCUGGCGGCUGCGUUCGCAUCUCGUUGCACCAGAACUUCUUUGUGAGUAGAGCGUGUGGCCUCGUAGAGCGCGCGCUCCUCCGCAACAAAGUUCGGGUUCGCCGCCGCCAUGGCGGCCACGGCCUCCUCGCUUGUGCGUGAUACGUCCAUUUUGCAUCAUGCUUUUAUAUCGAUAUUUAUUGCAUUAUGGGCUGUUUAUUACACAUUAUGUCACAAUACUUAUGCCUAUUGUCUCUUAUUUUACAAGGUUUACAUGAAGAGGGAGAAUGCCGGCAGCUGGAAUUCUGGGCUGGAGAAGGAGCAAAUAUUAGAGACCUAUUCUGCACAACUCCAAAAGUCCUGAAACUUCAUGGAGGCACGUUUUGGAAUAUAUAAAAAAUACUGGAGAAAGAAUCAACCAGAGGGGGCCCACACCCUAGCCACAAGGGUGGGGGCGCGCCCUACCCCCUGGGCGCGCCCCCUGCCUCGUGGGCCCCCUGGUAGGCCUCCGGUGCCCAUCUUCUGAUAUAUGAAGUCUUUCACCCUGGAAAAAAUCAGAAGGAAGUUUUCGGGAUGAAACACCGCCGCCACGAGGCGGAACCUGGUGAAACCAAUCUAGGGCUCCGGCGGAGCUGUUCUGCCGGGGAAACAUCCCUCUGGGAGGGGGAAAUCAUCACCAUCGAUCCUCUCAGCGUGAGGGGGUCCAUCUCCAUCAACAUCUUCACCAGCACCAUCCUCUCAAACCCUAGUUCAUCUCUUGUAUCCAAUCUUUGUCCCAAGACCUCAGAUUGGUACAUGUGGGUUGCUAGUAGUGUUGAUUACUCCUUGUAGUUGAUUCUAGUUGGUUUAUUUGGUGGAACAUCAUAUGUUCAGAUCCUUUAUGCAUAUUAAUAUUCCUCUGAUUAUGAACAUGAAUAUGAUUUGUGAGUAGUUACGUUUGUUCCUGAGGACAUGGGAGAAGUCUUGCUAUCAGUAGUCAUGUGAAUUUGGUAUUCGUUCGAUGUUUUGAUGAGAUGUAUGUUGUCUUUCCUCUAGUGGUGUUGUGUGAAUGUCGACUACAUGACACUUCACCAUUGUUUGGGCCUAGAGGAAGGCAUUGGGAAGUAAUAAGUAGAUGAUGGGUUGCUAGAGUGACAGAAGUUUAAACCCUAGUUUAUGCGUUGCUUCGUAAGGGGCUGAUUUGGAUCCAUAUGUUUCAUGCUAUGGUUAGGUUUACCUUAAUACUUCUUUUGUAGUUGCGGAUGCUUGCCAUAGGGGUUAAACAUAAAUGGGAUGCUUGUCCAAUGAAGGGCAGUACCCAAGCACCGGUCCACCCACAUACCAAAUUAUCAAAGUAACGAACGCGAAUCAUAUGAGCGUGAUGAAAACUAGCUUGACGAUAAUUCCCAUGUGUCCUCGGGAGCGUUUUCCUUCAUAUAGGAGUUUGUCCAGGCUUGUCCUUUGCUACAAAAAAGGAUUGGGCCAUCUUGCUGCAUCUUAUUUACUUUCAUUACUUGUCACCCGCUACAAAUUACCUUAUCACAAAACUAUAUGUUAUCGAUAAUUUCAGUGCUUGCAGAGAAUACCUUACUGAAAACCGCUUGUCAUUUCCUUCUGCUCCUUGUUGGGUUCGACACUCUUACUUAUCGAAAGGACUAUGAUAGAUCCCGUAUACUUGUGGGUCAUCAAGACUCUUUUCUGGCGCCGUUGCCGGGGAGUGAAGCGUCUUUGGCAGGUGGAAUUUGGUAAGGAAAAAUUUAUAUAGUGUGCUGAAAUACACUGUGACUUGUUACUAUGGAACAUAAUCCUUUGAGGGGCUUGUUCGGGGUAUCUUCACCCCGACCAGUAGAGCAAAGAGUUGCUCCUCAACCUACUGAACCUACCGAAAAUGUUUACUUUGAAAUUCCUUCGGGUAUGAUAGAGAAACUGCUAGCUAAUCCUUUUACACGAGAUGGAACAUUGCAUCCCGAUUUGCACCUAAUCUAUGUGGAUGAAGUUUGUGGAUUAUUUAAGCUUGCAGGUAUGCCCGAGGAUGUUAUCAAGAAGAAGGUCUUCCCUUUAUCUUUGAAGGGAAAGGCAUUGACAUGGUUUAGGCUAUGUGAUGAUAUGGGAUCAUGGAACUACAACCGAUUGAAAUUGGAAUUUCAUCAAAAGUUUUAUCCUAUGCAUCUUAUUCAUCGUGAUCGAAAUUAUUUAUAUAAUUUUUGGCCUCGCGAAGGAGAAAGCAUCGCUCAAGCUUGGGGGAGGCUUAAGUCAAUGUUAUAUUCAUGCCCCAAUCAUGAGCUCUCGAGAGAAAGUAUUAUUCAAAAAUUUUAUGCUCGGCUUUCUCUCAAUAAUCGCUCCAUGCAUGCUCGAUACUUCUUGUACUGGUUCUUUUAUGAUGAAGACUAUUGAAUUCAAAUGGGAUUUACUGGAAAGAAUUAAAUGCAACUCUAAAGAUUGGGACCUCGACGAAGGUAAGGAGUUAGGUAUAACACCUAAGUUUGAUUGUGUUAAAUCUUUUAUGGAUACCGAUGUUUUCCGUGAAUUUAGCACUAAAUAUGGACUUGACUCUGAGAUAGUAGCUUCUUUCUGUGAAUCCUUUGCUACUCAUGUUGAUCUCCCUAAGGAGAAGUGGUUUAAAUAUCAUCCUCCCAUUGAAGUAAAAGUAGUUGAAUCUAUUAAAGUUGAAGAAAAGACUAUCACUUAUAAUGUUGAUCCUAUUGCUCCUACCGCUUAUAUUGAGAAACCACCUUUCCCUGUUAGAAUAAAGGAUCAUGCUAAAGCUUCAACUGUGGUUCGUAAGAGUAAUACUAGAACACCUACACCCUCUGAGAAAAUUAAAGUUGAACCUAGUAUUGCUGUGGUUAAAGAUCUCUUAGCCGAUAAUAUUGAUGGGCAUGUUAUUUAUUUCUAUAAUGAAGCUGCUAGAACUGCUAGACCCGAUACUAAGGGUAAACAUAGACCUGUUGUUGGCAUGCCUGUUAUUUCUGUUAUAGGAGAUCAUUUUUAUCAUGGCUUGUGUGAUAUGGGUGCUAGUGCAAGUGCAAUACCUCAUUCCUAUACAAAGAAAUUAUGCAUGAUAUUGCACCUGCGGAGAUAGAAGAAAUUGAUGUUACAAUUAAGUUUGCCAAUAGAGAUACUAUUUCACCAGUUGGGAUUGUUAGAGAUGUUGAAGUCUUGUGUCGGAAGGUUAAAUAUCCUACUGAUUUUCUUGUUCUUGGUUCCCCAAAAGAUGACUUUUGUCCCAUUAUAUUUGGUAGACCCUUCUUGAAUAAUGUUAAUGCUAAGAUAGACUGCGAAAAAGAUAUUGUUACUGUUGGUUUACGGGAUAUGUCUCAUGAUUUUAAUUUUGCUAAAUUUCGUAGACAACCCCAUGAUAAAGAAUUGCCUAGUAAAGAUGAAAUUAUUGGUUUGGCUUCUAUUGUCGUGCCUCCUAAUGAUCCCUUAGAGCAAUAUUUGCUAGACCAUGAAAAUGAUAUGUUUAUGAAUGAAAGAAGGGAAAUAGAUGAAGUAUUCUUUAAACAAGGCCCUAUCUUGAAACACAACUUGCCUGUUGAAAUUCUUGGGGAUCCUCCUCCACCCAAGGGUGAUCCCGUGUUUGAGCUUAAACCAUCACCUGAUACUCUUAAAUAUGCUUAUCUUGAUGAAAAGAAGAUAUAUCCUGUUAUUAUUAGUGCUAACCUUUCAGAGCAGGAAGAAGAGAAAUUAUUGAAAACUCUGAAGAAGCACCGUGCUGCGAUUGGAUAUACUCUUGAUGAUCUUAAGGGCAUUAGUCCCACUCUAUGCCAACACAAAAUAAAAUUGGAGAAAGACGCUAAACCAGUUGUUGAUCACCAACGACAGUUAAAUCCUAAGAUGAAAGAAGUGGUAAGAAAAUAAAUACUAAAGCUUUUGGAGGUAGGUAUGAUUUAUCCCGUUGCUGAUAGUCAGUGGGUAAGUCCUAUCCAUUGUGUCCCUAAGAAGAGAGGUAUUACUGUUGUUCCUAAUGAUAAAGAUGAAUUGAUCCCACAAAGAAUUAUUACAGGUUAUAGAAUGGUAAUUGAUUUCCGCAAAUUAAAUAAAGCUACUAAAAAGGAUCAUUACCCUUUACCUUUUAUUGAUCAAAUGCUAGAAAGAUUAUCCAAACAUACACAUUUUUGCUUUCUAGACGGUUAUUCUGGUUUCUCUCAAAUACAUGUGACAAAAGAGGAUCAAGAAAAGACCACUUUUACUUGCCCUUUCGGUACCUUUGCUUAUAGACGUAUGCCUUUUGGUUUAUGCAAUGCACCUGCUACCUUUCAAAGAUGUAUGACUGCUAUAUUCUCUGACUUUUGUGAAAAGAUUGUUGAGGUUUUCAUGGAUGAUUUUUCCGUAUAUGGAACUUCUUUUGAUGAUUGCUUAAGCAACCUUGAUCGAGUUUUGCAGAGAUGUGAAGAAACUAAUCUUGUCUUGAAUUGGGAAAAGUGCCACUUUAUGGUUAAUGAAGGUAUUUUCUUGGGGCAUAAAAUUUCUGAAAGAGGUAUUGAAGUUGAUAAAGCUAAAGUUGAUGCUAUUGAAAAGAUGUCAUGUCCCAAGGACAUUAAAGGUAUAAGAAGUUUCCUUGGUCAUGCUGGUUUUUAUAGGAGGUUCAUUAAGGACUUCUCAAAAAUUUCUAGGCCUCUGACUAACCUCUUACAAAAAGAUGUUCCUUUAUCUUUGAUGAUGAUUGUGUAGAAGCAUUUGAAAUACUUAAGAAAGCCUUGAUUUCUGCACCUAUUGUUCAUCCACCUGAUUGGAAUUUACCCUUUGAAUUUAUGUGUGAUGCUAGUGAUUAUGUUGUAGGUGUUGUUCUAGGACAAAGAGUUGAUAAGAAAUUAAAUGUUAUACAAUAUGCCAGUAAAACUCUAGACAGUGCCCAGAGAAAUUAUGCUACUACUGAAAAGGAAUUUUUAGCAGUUGUAUUUGCUUGUGAUAAGUUCAGACCUUAUAUUGUUGACUCUAAAGUAACUGUUCACACUGAUCAUGCUGCUAUUAAAUAUCUUAUGGAAAAGAAAGAUGCUAAACCUAGACUUAUUAGAUGGGCUCUCCUACUACAAGAAUUUGAUUUGCAUAUUAUUGAUAGAAAGGGAGCUGAGAACCCCGUUGCAGACAAAUUGUCUAGGUUAGAGAAUGUUCUUGAUGACCCACUACCUAUUGAUGACAGCUUUCCUGAUGAACAAUUAGCUGUCAUAAAUGCUUCACGCACUGCUCCAUGGUAUACUGAUUAUGCUAAUUACAUUGUUGCUAAAUUUAUACCACCUAGCUUCACAUACCAGCAAAAAAAGUUUUUCUAUGAUUUGAGACAUUACUUUUGGGAUGACCCACACCUUUAUAAAGAAGGAGUAGAUGGUGUUAUUAGACGUUGUGUACCUGAGCAUGAACGGGAACAGAUCCUACGCAAGUGUCACUCUGAGGUUUAUGGAGGACACCACGCUGGAGAUAGAACUGCGCAUAAGGUAUUGCAAUCCGGUUUUUAUUGGCCUACUCUCUUCAAAGAUCUCGUAAGUUUGUCUUGUCUUGUGAUGAAUGUCAAAGAAUUGGUACUAUUAGUAGACGUCAAGAGAUGCCUAUGAACUAUUCACUUGUUAUUGAACCAUUUGAUGUUUGGGGCUUUGAUUAUAUGGGACCGUUUCCUUCCUCUAAUGGGUAUACACAUAUUUUAGUUACUGUUGAUUACGUUACUAAGUGGGUAGAAGCUAUUCCAACUAGUAGUGUUGAUCAUAACACCUCUAUUAAGAUGCUUAAGGAAGUUAUUUUUCUGAGGUUUGGAGUCCCUAGAUAUUUAAUGACUGAUGAUGGUUCACACUUUUCGUAAAAUGCUUGCUAAGUAUGAUGCCAACCAUAGAAUUGCAUCUCCUUAUCACCCGCAGUCUAGUGGUCAAGUAGAAUUGAGUAAUAGAGAAAUCAAAUUAAUUUUGCAAAAGACUGUUAAUAGAUCUAGAAAUAAUUGGUCUAAGAAACUUGAUGAUGCAUUAUGGGCCUAUAGAACUGCAUAUAAAAAUCAUAUGGGUAUGUCUCCGUAUAAAAUGGUCUAUGGAAAAGCAUGUCACUUACCUCUCAAACUAGAACAUAAGGCAUAUUGGGCCAUUAAAGAGCUCAAUUAUGAUUUCAAACUUGCCGGUGAGAAGAGGUUAUUUGACAUUAGCUCACUUGAUGAAUGGAGAACCCAGGCCUAUGAGAAUGCCAAACUGUUUAAAGAAAAAGUUAAAAGAUGGCUUGACAAAAGGAUACAAAAGCGUGAGUUUAACAUAGGUGAUUAUGUUUUGCUAUACAACUCUCGUUUAAGAUUUUUUGCAGGAAAGCUUCUCUCUAAAUGGGAAGGUCCUUACGUUAUCGAGGAGGUCUAUCAUUCCGGUGCCAUAAAAAUCAACAACUUCGAAGGCACAAAUCCGAAGGUGGUGAAUGGUCAAAGAAUCAAACAUUUUCUCUCAGGUAAUCCAAUAAAUGUUGAAACUAAUGUUAUUGAAACCGUAACCCCGGAGGAAUAUAUAAGGUACACUUUCCAGAACGUUCCAGACUCCAAAAAGGAACAGGUAUGUGGUACGGUAAGUAAACCGACUCCAACACAGUUCUAAUGGCAAUUUUUCUUCGUUUUAGAAUAUUUAAGAAAAUAGGAAAAUAAUAAGUGGUCCGGGAAGGACACGAGGCGUCCACGAGGGUGGAGGGCGCGCCCUACCCCCCUGGGCGCCCCCUGCCUGGUGGGCACCUCGUGUGCCCUCCAGACUCCGUUUUCUUGCAGGAUACUUCUUUUGGUUGGUAAAAAUUCAUUAUAUAAUCUCCCGAAGGUUUUGACCACCGUACCACGCAAAUAUCCUCUGUUCUUGUUUCGAGCUGUUUUUCUGACAGAUCUAGAUCAUCAUGACGUCUUCAAGCGCUCCCAAGGACAGGUUCUUCGAGAAGGUUAUCAAUCCCUACCUCGCUGAGGUGCUGCAACACCCUCAAACAAUUGAGAUGCGUGAUGGGUUGCUGCACAUCCGCGAUGUCGAGGGACCAAGGAGGACCGGAAGCGUGGAGAUGAGACUCGAAGCAAUGGAGCAACAAGUUUUCAAGUGCCAGGGGAUGGUGGAAUGCGGACUCAACGCCAACCACAUGAUGAUCGCGGAGUUCACCAACAACCACAAGCUGGAUGCCAAGAACAUUGGGGAGACCAUCUUCAAGCUUCAUGAGAAAAUCGAGCAUCUCCAAGCCCAGAUCUAUGACCUGCAAAACCAAAACUAUGAGUAUGAAUAUAGAUUCAAGAGGAUGAGUUUGGCUGCAGAUGCGAGGAUCCCGGAGACUCGAUCAUUCUUCUAUGAUGGUGAGCCUAUGCCUUGGAAGAUGGACGACAAGCCUACAUCAUCAACAACUCCAUCAUCACCACCCCUGAGGAAAGAGAUAUAAACACAUGGGUAUGGGCACCCCCUUGGCAACUGCCAAGCUUGGGGGAGGUGCCCCGGUAUCGUAUCACCAUCACACUCCUAUCUUUACUAUUUUUCUUAGUUCGAUCCUUUUGGUAAUAUCUUGAUCUGGUAGAAUAAAGUUUUAGUAUGAUCUAGUUUGAGUUUUGCUUUUUGAUCCUUCUAUGUAAUCGAGUCCGUGAGCUACAUAUAAUAAAGAUUAGUUUUGAGUCAAGGGCUUGGUUAUCUUGCUAUGAUCUAGAGGGAAUAAAAGAAAAAAUAAAUAUAAUUAAAGAGAUCAUAUUGAUCUUAUAGAGAGUAAUGACUUCACAUAUAAAAGAGUAUGAUGAAUAAAAGUUGUUGAGAGUUGACAAACAUAGUUUUGGUCAUCGUUGCAAUUAGUAGGAAGUAAUAAAGAAAGAGAGGUUUUCACAUAUAAAUAUACUAUCUUGGACAUCUUUUCUGAUUGUGAGCACUCAUUAAAAUAUGACAUGCUAAAAAGUUGAUGUUGGACAAGAAAGACAGCGUAAUGGGUUAUGUUUUCUUAUAUCCGAAAUAAAGUAUAUUGUCAUGGAUCAUCCAACAUGUUGAGCUUGCCUUUCCCCCUCAUCCUAGCCAAAUUCUUGUCACCAAGUAGAGAUACUACUUGUGCUUCCAAACAUCCUUAAACCCAGUUUUGCCAUGAGUGUCCAUCAUACCUACCUAUGGAUUGAGUAAGAUCCUUCAAGUAAGUUGUCAUUGUUGCAUGCAAUAAAAAUUGCUCUCUAAAUAUGUAUGGUUUAUUAGUGUGGAGAAAAUAAGCUUUAUACGAUCUUGCGAUGUGGAAGCAGUAAAAGCGACGGACUGCAUAAUAAAGGUCCAUAUCACAAGUGGCAAUAUAAAGUGACGUUUUUUCGCAUUAAGAUUUUGUGCAUCCAACCAUAAAAGCACAUGACAACCUCUGCUUCCCUCUGUGAAGGGUCUAUCUUUUAUUCCUGUCUUAUACCUUAUAUAAGAGUCAUGGUGAUCUUCACCUUUCCUUUUUACAUUUUAUCCUUUGGCAAGCACAUUGUGUUGGAAAGAUCCUGAUAUAUAUAUAUAUCCAAUUGGAUGUAAGUUAGCAUGAACUAUUAUUGUUGACAUUACCCUUGAGGUAAAAGGUUGGGAGGCAACACUAUAAGCCCCUAUCUUUCUCUGUGUCCGAUUAAAACUCCAUACCCAUAAGUAUUGCAUGAGUGUUAGCAAUUAUGAAAGACUAAAUGAUAGUUGAGUAUGUGGACUUGCUGAAAAGCUCUUAUAUUGACUCUUUCCGAUGUUAUGAUAAAUUGCAAUUGCUUCAAUGACUGAGAUUAUAGUUUGUUGGUUCUCAAUGAAGUUUCUGAUUCAGACUUGACAUUGUGAAUAGAUUGUUACUUUAGAAUAAGAAAUCAUAUGACAAUAUAUAUGUGUUGCUAUUUUAAGAAUGAUCAUGAUACCCUCAUGUCCGUAUUUUAUUUUAUCGACACCUCUAUCUCUAAACAUGUGGACAUAUUUUUCAUUAUCGUUCCGCUUGAGGACAAGCGAGGUCUAAGCUUGGGGGAGUUGAGACGUCCAUUUUGAUGCUUUCAUAUCAAUAUUUAUUGCAUUAUGGGCUGUUAUUACACAUUAUGUCACAAUACUUAUGUCUAUUCUCUCUUAAUUUACAAGGUUUACAUGAAGAGGGAGAAUGCCGGCAGCUGGAAUUCUGGGCUGGAAAAGGAGAAAAGAUUAGAGACCUAUUCUGCACAAUUCCAAAAGUCCUGAAACUUCACGGAGGCACGUUUUGGAAUAUAUAAAAAAUACUGGAGAAAGAAUCAACCAGAGGGGCCCCACACCCUGGCCAUGAGGGUGGGGGCGCACCCUACCCCCUGAGCGCCCCUGCCUCGUGGGCCCCCUGGCAGGCCUCCGGUGUUCAUCUUCUGCUAUAUGAAGUCUUUCACCCUGGAAAAAAUUGGAAGGAAGAUUUCGGGAUAAAACACCGCCGCCACGAGGUGGAACCUGGCGAAACCAAUCUAGGGCUCCGGCGGAGCUGUUCUGUCGGGGAAACAUCCCUCCGGGAGGGGGAAAUCAUCACCAUCGAUCCUCUCAGCAUGAGGGGAUCAAUCUCCAUCAACAUCUUCACCAGCACCAUCCUCUCAAACCCUAGUUCAUCUCUUGUAUCCAAUCUUUGUCCCAAAACCUCAGAUUGGUACAUGUGGGUUGCUAGUAGUGUUGAUUACUCCUUGUAGUUGAUGCUAGUUGGUUUAUUUGGUGGAACAUCAUAUGUUCAGAUCCUUUAUGCAUAUUAAUAUCCCUCUGAUUAUGAACAUGAAUAUGAUUUGUGAGUAGUUACGUUUGUUCCUGAGGACAUGGGAGAAGUCUUGCUAUCAGUAGUCAUGUGAAUUUGGUAUUCGUUCGAUGUUUUGAUGAGAUGUAUGUUGUCUUUCCUCUAGUGGUGUUGUGUGAACGUCGACUACAUGACACUUCACCAUUGUUUGGGCCUAGAGGAAGGCAUUGGGAGGUAAUAAGUAGAUGAUGGGUUGCUAGAGUGACAGAAGUUUAAACCCUAGUUUAUGCGUUGCUUCGUAAGGGGCUGAUUUGGAUCCAUAUGUUUCAUGCUAUGGUUAGGUUUACCUUAAUAUUUCUUUUGUAGUUGCGGAUGCUUGUAAUAGGGGUUAAUCAUAAGUGGAUGCUUGUCCAAGGAAGGGCAGUACCCAAGCACCGGUCCACCCACAUACCAAUUUAUCAAAGUAACGAACGCGAAUCAUAUGAGCGUGAUGAAAACUAGCUUGACGAUAAUUCCCAUGUGUCCUCGGGAGCAUUUUCCUUCAUAUAGGAGUUUGUCCAGGCUUGUCCUUUGAUACAAAAAGGAUUGGGCCAUCGUGCUGCACCUUAUUUACUUUCAUUACUUGUCACCCGCUACAAAUUACCUUAUCACAAAACUAUCUGUUACCGAUAAUUUCAGUGCUUGCAGAUAAUACCUUAGUGAAAACCGUUUGUCAUUUCCUUCUGCUCCUCGUUGGGUUCGACACUCUUAAUUAUCGAAAGGACUACGAUAGAUCCCCUAUACUUCUGGGUCAUCAGCGCGCUCGUCGUAAAUUUGGCCCUCCGCCAGCCGGUGCUGCUCGAGGAGGAACAGGUUGUACCUCUACUCCUCCCGUGUCUGUUGGAACACUGACAUUGGAGCCGACGCAGGCUACUGCUCCUCCGCCAUGACAGCGUCGUAGUGCGCCUGCGCCUGCUCCAUGGUAAGGCUGGCAUGCACCGGCGCGGGGUACAUCGUCAUGUCGUCGUCGGAGCCUGUGGGGUCGUCGUCGGAGUCCUCAGGUGAGCUGGCCGGCAUGCCCUGCUUGAUCCGCCUGGCAUGGCGAGACUGCCAGGCGGCUGCAAGGCCGAUCACCUCGUGCUUCAUCUCCGGCGACAGAAUAUCCCAUAGAGUGUUCCAGCUCAUGGUCAUGGCGGAUGUGGAGCAAAGGAGGAGUACAUGUUGUGGCGCGGAGUUAGCUGGGUGUGGCUGCCUUUAAAUAGCGGAUGCACGGCAUCGGAGUUAGUUCCUCGACUGGCGAGCCUGCUUAAUGAAGGCAUGCGGACGGACAUUGAAUGAGCAUGGUGGAUAUUCGUCCCAUCCCGUACAGCAAAUAUCGUUCCGACAUUGAACAUGUGCAGACACCGGGACGCGGCGUGGGCUGCUCUCUCGGUUGGCGCGACGCUUCAAUGUGUUGGGGCGUUGCAUGGAAAACAAAAAAAAUCCUACGCUCAUGCAAGAUCUAUCUAGGAGAUGCAUAGCAACGAGGGGGGAGAGUGUGUCUAUGUACCCUCAUAGACCAUAAGCAGAAAUGUUUCACAACGCGGUUGAUGUAGUCGAACUUUCUUCGUGCUCCACCGAUCGAGUACCGAACGUACGGCACCUCUGAGUUCUGCACACGUUCAUCUCGGUGACGUCCCUCGCCUUCUUGAUCCAGCAAGGUGUCGAGGUAGUAGAUGAGUUCCGUCAACACGAGGCGUGGUGACAUGAAGUGAUCCUCGCAGGGCUUCGCCUAAGCACCGGGAAAAUAUGACCGGGGUUGUAAACUGUGGAGGGGGCGCCGCACACGGCUAACAAUUGAUGUCAUGUGUUCUAGGCGCCCCUCCCCACAUAUAUAUAUAUAUAGGUGGGAGGGGAGGAGAGGCAGCUAGGGGGCUCCCCAAGUCGGAUCCGGAUCCUACUUGGGGUUUCCCCAAGUGGCGCCCUCCCUUUCCUUUUUUCCACCGGAGAAGAAAGGGAAGGGGGAAGAGAGAAAGGAAGGGGGGCGAACCCCCCCCCUUUCCUUCUCCAAUUCGGCCACAUGCUACAGGGGACGCGCCACCCCUUGUGGGCUGGUGUGCUCCCCUCUCAUGGCCCAUAUAUUCCCCUCACGGGUUCCGAUAACCCCUCCGGUACUCCGAUAAAUACCCGAUACACUCCGGAACACUUCAGAUGUCCGAAUACUAUCGUCCUAUAUAUCAAUCUUUACCUCUCGACCAUUUAGAGACUCCUCGUCAGUCUGUGAUCUCAUUUGGGACUCCAAACAAUAUUCGGUCACCAAAUCACAUACCUCAUAUAAUACUAAAUAGUCAUCGAAUGUUAAGCGUGUGGACCCUACAGGUUCGAGAACUAUGUAGACAUGACCGAGACACCUCUCCGGUCAAUAAACAAUAGCGGAACCUGGAUGCUCAUAUUGGCUCCUACAUAUUCUACGAAGAUCUUUAUCGGUCGAACUGUUAUGAGAAUAUACGUUAUUCCCUUUGUCCAUCGGUAUGUCACUUGCCCGAGAUUCGAUCGCCGGUAUCUUCAUACCUAGUUCAAUAUCGUUACCGGCAAGUCUCUUUACUCGUUUUGUAAUACAUCAUCCCGCAACUAACUCAUUAGUCACUUUGCCUGCAAAGCUUCUUAUGAUGUGUAUUACCGAGAGGGCCCAGAGAUACCUCUCCGAUACUCGGAGUGACAAAUCCUAAUCUUGAUCUAUGCCAACUCAAGAAACACCUUCGGAGAUACCUGUAGAGGAUCUCUAAUGCAUAACCCCAAAAUGAUAGUGGUAAACCGGCAAGAGACAAGUACGGUUACGACGUUCGGACACACCAUUACGCUGUGGUGUUCUAGGUGGCGUGAGUUGUGAAACUAUUCCACAUUGUUUCAAAUGAAGGCCAAACUUGUAACUCAAAUAUUUGCCUCCGCGAUCAGAUCGUAGAAACUUUAUUUUCUUGUUACGAUGAUUCUCCACUUCACUAUGAAAUUCUUUGAACUUUUCAAAUGUUUUAGACUUGUGUUUCAUUAAGUAGAUAAACACAUAUCUGCUCAAAUCAUCUGUGAAGGUCAGAAAAUAAUGAUACCCACCGCGUGCCUCAACACUCAUUGGACCGCAUACAUCGGUAUGUAUUAUUUUCAAUAAGUCAUUGGCUCGCUCCAUUGUUCCGAAGAACGGAGUUUUAGUCAUCUUGCCCAUUGAAAGAUCGUGGAUGUCACCUAGAGGGGGGGGGGGUGAAUAGGCGCUUUAAAAUAAUUAUGGUUGAGGCUUGAACAAAUGCGGAAUAAACCUAGCGGUUAAUUUGUCAAGCACAAAACCUACAACAACUAGGCUCACCUAUGUGCACCAACAACUUAUGCUAAGAAAGAAAAACUACUUAGGUGAUAGCAAGAUAUAUGACAAGAAACAAUAUGGCUAUCACAAAGUAAAGUGCAUAAGUAAAGGGCUCGGGUAAGAGAUAACCGAGGCACGCGGAGACGACGAUGUAUCCCGAAGUUCACACCCUUGCGGAUGCUAAUCUCCGUUUGGAGCGGUGUGGAGGCACAAUGCUCCCCAAGAAGCCACUAGCGCCACCGUAAUCUCCUCACGCCCUUGCACAAUGCAAGAUGCCGUGAUUCCACUAAGGGACCCUUGAGGGCGGUCACCGAACCCGUACAAAUGGCAACCCUUGGGGGCGGUCACCGAACCCGUACACUUUGGCAACCCUUGGGGGCGGUCACCGGUACCCGUCAAAUUGCUCGGGGCGAUCUCCACAACCUAAUUGGAGACCCCGACGCUUGCCCGGAGCUUUACACCACAAUGAUUGAGCUUCGAACACCACCAACCUUCUAGGGCGCCCAAGCACCCAAGAGGAACAAGCUCAAGGGCACCAAGCACCCAAGAGUAAUAAUCUUCUCAACUUGUAACUUCCACGUAUCACCGUGGAGAACUCAAACCGAUGCACCAAAUGCAAUGGCAAGGGCGCACGGAGUGCCCAAGUCCUUCUCUCUCAAAUCCCACCGAAGCAACUAAUGCUAGGGAGGAAAAUGAGAGGAAGAACAAGAAGGAGAACACCAAGAACUUCAAGAUCUAGAUCCAAGGGGUUCCCCUCACAUAGAGGAGAAAGUGAUUGGUGGAAAUGUGGAUCUAGAUCUCCUCUCUCUUUUCCCUCAAAAACUAGCAAGAAUCCAUGGAGGGAUUGAGAGUUAGCAAGCUCGAAGAAGGUCAACAAUGGGGGAAGAACACGAGCUCAAAGGAUAAGGUUCAUUGGGGAAGAAGACCCCCUUUUAUAGUUGGGAAAAAUCCAACCGUUAUGGUCACAGCCCGCACCGAGCGGUACUAUCGCUCCAAGGAGCGGUACUACCGCUAGGGCGGUAGUAGCCCAUUGAAACACAAUAGCGAGGAGGCAAAAAAGCCAGAAGAACCGUUGGAGCGGUAGUACCACUUGACCUCACGAUACUACCGCUAGGGGUAGUGGUACUACUGCUAAGGGUAGCAGUACUACUGCUUGCGAGCGGUACUAAAAAAUUACAUCCGUGCCUACCACCGCUGGACUUGUGACGAGUUUUUGGUCCCGAGCGGAAGUAGCCACGGAAGUAGCCGCGGUAGUACUGCUCCAAGCGGUAGUACCGCUCCCAAGAGCGGUAGUAAAAAAUUACAUCCGCUCCUGUCCGCGGUAGUACCGCUGCAGCCUUUUCAGAACACCAAAACUGACACAAUUUCUGCAAACGGACUCCGAAUUCGACGAAACCAAGUUUGUUGGAAAGCUAGCGACAAGGGCUAACACAAUCUUGAUAGAAAUACCAAUAAGAAGCAAAUUAGAAAAGGCCCAAAAGAAAAUGGUGAGAACCCUUCCUCGGAUAAGACCGGUAAAACCUCCAACAUCGAAAACAUCAUAGAAGACGCAUGCAAACUCCGUUUUCGAUGAACUCAAGCUUGUCAUCAAGAUGAACAUAAGCUCUAAGACUCACAAAGAGAACCAAACAAGAACCAAGAAACAUGAUGCAAGGAUGCAAUGGUUUGAGCUCUCGACGAACGAUACGAUCAAGCUACUCACUUGAGAGCCCCCCUUGAUAGUACGGCUAUCGAUCCUAUAACCCGGUCUCCCAACUACCACCAUGAGACCGGUAAAAUAGAAAACCUAUCAAGGGCAAACCUUUGCCUUGCACAUGGUCCACUUGAGCUAGAUGAUGACGAUCUUGACUCCCUCAAGUUGGACCACCUUUAUUGAUUGCGUUGGCUCGAUGAAGACUAGAUGAUUACUCCCCCAUAGUCCACUAUAGGUGAGCCACUCUUCGGCACAUCUUCACAAGUCCAUUGUCACCACAAUGGACGGCAAGCUUCAAGCACUUGAUCUCUUCGUGAUGCUCCACUUGAACUUGCACACGGAAAUCUUGAUGACGAUCACCACUUGAUGUCAUCCUCUCCAUGGGUUGAGUGAUAUCUUCCUCUUGACGCAAGCCCAUGAACACGUACCUAACCCCACAUAGAACUCUCACAUAGACCAUGGGUUAGUACACAAAGCACAAUGGACAAUGCUUAGCAUACCAUGGGAUCACUUGAUCCCUCUCGGUACAUCUUCUACGCUUUGUGAGUUGAUCAACUUGAUUCACUCUUGACUUAGUCUUGAUCAACCUAGAAUCUUUCCAACUCUCUUCAUUUGGAUGAUGUCUUGAAGGUAAACAUGAAUGAUCACACAAUCUUCUUCUUCAAGACAUGCUUGCAAUAAGCUCAACUCUCACAUGACCAAUCUUUGGAUAAUUCCUUAAUAGCACCUUGGUCAACACAAACUCUCCUUGAAACCAACACAUGUACUCCAAGAAAAGCCUAUGGACAAAACCUUCAAAUAUAACUCAAGGCAACCAUUAGUCCAUAGAGAUUGUCGUCAAUUACCAAAACCAAACAUGGGGGCACCACAUGUUCUUUCAAUCUCCCCCAUUUUGGUAAUUGAUGACAAUCACUUUCAAGAGAGUUUAUAUAAGGAAUUAUGCAUCACCAUGCAAUGCAACAACCAAUGAUGCAUGAGUAAGAGAUGCAAAUGCUUAGGAACAAAACCAAAGCAAGAGGAGAGAAUUCUCUAAACUUCUCCACAAAACUCUCUGAAACUUCUCCCCCAUUGGCAUCGAUUGCCAAAAUGGGAGAAAAGCUUAGAAGGCCAAUAUAUAUUGUGUUCCUACAUAAUUUGUGUAUUUCUCAACAAGAGAGUGGAAUGCAAUACACAAGUUUGACGGUAAAUAUUAGGAGGAAAACAAACUAUAUUUAGGCCCAAAGUUUACAAAAGAAAGAUAUGCCACAAAGACAUAAGAAAGAGAGAAACAAGCAAACAAGCAAUCAAAAGAUACCAAUUGAAGCAAGCAAUCAACGGAUAUCAAUUGAGCCAACUAGACCAAUGAUCCUACGUGCCACAUGAAUGAAAUAAAUUAUGAUAUGAGCAAAGGAGUGUUCUAGAGAAACUAGAGAAGCUCCCCAUGAUUUGUGCACAAUUUAGUUUUGUAACUGGAUACAACGAGCACAAAAUAGGAUCGUCACUCCCCCAAGAUCAAUAGAACCUCACGACAAGUGCAAGAGAGCAACAGAGUGUUCUAAAGACACUAGUGAACCUCUCCAUGAUUUGUGCACUUCUUACAAUAUUUGCAUUAGGAUACCGAGUGCACAAAAUAGGAUCAUCACUCCCCGAAAAUCAAUAGAAACUCACAACAAGUGCAAGUGAGCAUAUAGGAAAAAACGCCUAGCACUUGCAACAAACAAAUGGUUGAGCAACAUAUAAAAGAGGCAACUUAAGAGUAGGCUCAACCAAAAUGAUGUCUGUGAGUCAUGGCAAAGCACUUGAGAAGACUAAUGUACGAAUGAGCAUUAAGCAUCAACAUAGUCUUGGAUAGUGGAGAUACAAGGUGCAUGACAUGUCCUCCCCACACACACCAAGCAAAAGGGUUCACAAGCACACUAAAAAUGCAAAAUGAAUAACCAACACUUGUGACAACCCAUGGUGAAGAUAGAAGAUGAAAGCCUCAUCAAGACGAGGGAUACCAAUUAAGAUGGUAAAAGCCUCGUAGAGGUAAGCAUGAGGAAAAUAAUCUUCACCACACGGGAGUGCAUCAAUAUGCAACGAGAUAAGACAUGCACUCAAGGCAAAAGCUUUCACGGAGCCACCAAAGAAAUAACAAGAAAGACAAGGUGGACGUGAAAGAAAGGAUAUCGUCUAGAGAUGUAAUUUCUCUCAAGUGUAUAAGGUUCUAGGUAGACGAGAUCAUGAUGAUAUAUAUCUACAAAGAAGGAUGUACACCCGAAAUAGUUACAACACGAAGGAACAAGAUAUCCAAAAGGAAGUCAUAGAUAUACCAAUAAGAUAUUUGCUUGGAAGCAUAGCACAUGGCUAAAUAUGGUCUUAUUGUGCAUAAAUGAAUUCCUACCACACAACCAUCAAAGACAUCACAACUAGCAACACGAGAUCAUUGUUGGGGUGCUUUGAGAAAGGAAACAAGUAUCACAAGAGAGAAUGAAUAACAUGCCAUGAUACAACCUACACAAGGUUGAUGCAAGAAAUGUGUGCAUGAAGUAUAUGAAGGUACUUGUUACCGAGUUAACAUUGGAAGGAUGUAGUAGACACCAAUUGAAGGUACAAAGUAGUUCAUUGAUCAUCCUAGCUUGACUCCAAAAAGCACAUGGUGACAACACCUUCCUUGUGAGUGAGCCGAGCAUCCAAUGCAUCUCCAAUUGUUCCUAGAACAACAACACAAACAAAAUGGUACCCAAACUCAUUGGGACCAAAGAGUUAGAAAGACCAACAAUACAUAGGACAAACUCCACAUAAAUAUGUGCAUAUAGAUAUGGAAAUGAAAUUCAUGCACAUCUCAUCCAAUUUGAGACUUGGUGGAGUUUCCCCUAUAUAUUGGGUCAAAGAGAGAAAGCAUGCCACGGAAACUACAUGAAGUUAAUAUGCAUGCUCAAGACUUUCAAGAACCUAUACCAAAAUACAAGGAAAUACCAAGUGAAAAGAAUACCAAAUGGAGAAAUCAUCACUUGGAAGAUAUCAUUAAAAGAUACAUCAAGGAAUGAGAUAUCCAUUGGAACCCACAAAAUGAUAUCAAACUCCCAAAAGAGAGGAUGGUUCCAAACAAACCAAGCUCUCUACAAAGUUUCAUGAUGGCACAAGUACCAAAAAGAAACGGCUUGCCGUCCACCAACACACACUUAAAAUAGAUCACAAGUUUAGUGUUUUAUAGAAAAUAGGAUAGCUCCCCCACGAGUUGUGCAUUAUAGAGAAUUUGCAUUUGAAUACAAAAUGCACAAGGUAGGAUCACCACGUUCACUAUAUCAAGGAAAACACUAGACAAGAUCAAGAAAACAACAAGAUCCUCAAGUGGCACGGAAGGCAAUGGGAGUUGACACAAACUUGGCAAGAGAUAAGGCAAAUAAAAAGAAAACGCCAACGUGAGGAUGAUCAAUAAUUUCUACCACACAUAAGUGAGUACCAAUUGUCAAAAGACAAGAAGUAUUUGGAAAUAAUUCCCGGUGGUAGAUAGCAAGGAUAUCCGACAUCAUCUUCACACCAAACACAAGCAAAUUGCAACUUGUAGAGCUAACAUGCCACGUAGGAACAAGAUAAUUUACAAUAUCAAUUCUAGGUGACAAUAUCUCAAAUGUACACAUUUUCUAGGCUAGUAAUAUACAUAGCAUAUUACUCCUCCAUAAUGUGAUACCAAUUAAAGAAAACUUAACAAGAGGCAAAAAGAGGAUCCAACAAGAGAUAAUUAAUGGACUAUUUAGAAUUUGAAUUUCUCAUGAGAAGACAUACCACAUAGUGACUAGAUAAGCUUGAAAUAUCAAUACUAGGUGGUAUUCCUCAUGUAAACACAUUUAUGGAACCGUGAGGUGCACAAAGCACAUCUCUCCCCCAAAAUGGGAUGUUCCAUUAAUCUCUCACAAGAGCCAACUAACAUACAAACAAGAUGCGCAAUGGCUCAACGCACUACACACACGUACAUGAUGUGCAAACCAACACACACAUACUUGAUUACUCAAGAUAAGCAAAUUGAAGGCACAACAUAUACAACCACAUGCAAGCAACAAAACCAAAACAUGAAAAGGGGCAAGUAACUUUCGAUGUAAACAGUUUAAGUACAAGUUACCGGAAGGAGGCACAUUGGAUCUAGAAUAGAAACUUGAUAACCCAAUUGACUUGGAUUGAGACAAUAAGAAUGAUGAAGUCCCCUUAAAUCUUCAUAAUGUAGCCAAGUCUCCAAUGCCCUCCAACAACACCUAUUGAUCAAGUUUGAGCUAGUUGGUCCCCAACCAAGUUGGGUCCUAAGAGGUUAGUCACAAUAGGCUUGGCUACCCAAAUGGUUAUUUUCUUGACACCACUUUGAGCACCAACAAAUUUGGCAAACACAUGGCCAACAUUAUCCUUCCCAAGAGAAUAGAUAUCAUCAAUAAUAAUUGGGUUGGAUAAGUUACCACUAGUGCAUGAAGAGGCGAGGUGACCUUUCUCACGACAUAAGUAGCAAUAUCUACUCUUCACUUUCUUCUCACUUGAUUUCUCAACUUGAGAAGCAUUAGCUUGAGGAUUCUUGGGAAGAGGACUUUCUUCAACUUGUGGUUGAGCAUGAGAUCGAACUUGUGGCCGCUUCCCUUGUUGCUUGUCACUAAUGGCCUUCUUCUUCAAUGGGCAAGAUCUAACAUGAUGCCCUUCUACUUUGCACUUGAAGCAAACAAUCUAGGCCGGAUUCUUGACUUGUUCUUGGCCCUUCUUUUUGUUCAUCUUGGACUUCUUCUUGUUGGAGUUGAAUCCAAAUCCACCUUUGUCAUUGGGGGAUUUUUGCACUCUCAAGAUGUUGUUGAGUGUAAAUUUCCCUUCAUGACUCUUUUCCAAGUCUUUCUUCAAAGAAGUGACUUGGGCCUUGAGCUCUUUGAUUUCCUCUACAUGGUUAGUGUCAACACAAGCACUAGUGAAAGUAUAAGCUUCAUCGUUAGAGCAACAAGGCAAGGAAAGCAAUUCAUCACAAGAUGUACCAAUGUUAUGCAUGGAUGAAUCGCGAGGACUAGCACAAGGCAAUAUAGCAUUUUGACUAAAAGUAGUGCUAGUGUCCACAUGAGGCUCACUAGAUGUUACCUUAGCUGCAAACGGACUCCGAAUUCGACGAAACCAAGUUUGUUGGAAAGCUAGCGACAAGGGCUAACACAAUCUUGAUAGAAAUACCAAUAAGAAGCAAAUGACAAAAGGCCCAAAAGAAAAUGGUGAGAACCCUUCCUCGGAUAAGACCGGUAAAACCUCCAACAUCGAAAACAUCAUAGAAGACGCAUGCAAACUCCGUUUGCGAUGAACUCAAGCUUGUCAUCAAGAUGAACAUAAGCUCUAAGACUCACAAAGAGAACCAAACAAGAACCAAGAAACAUGAUGCAAGGAUGCAAUGGUUUAUAGCUCUCGACGAACGAUACGAUCAAGCUACUCACUUUAGAGCCCCCCUUGAUAGUACGGCUAUCGAUCCUAUAACCCGGUCUCCCAACUACCACCAUGAGACCGGUAAAAUAGAAAACCUAUCAAGGGAAAACCUUUGCCUUGCACAUGGUCCACUUGAGCUAGAUGAUGACGAUCUUGACUCCCUCAAGUUGGACCACCUUUAUUGAUUGCGUUGGCUCGAAGAAGACUAGAUGAUUACUCCCCCAUAGUCCACUAUAGGUGAGCCACUCUUCGGCACAUCUUCACAAGUCCAUUGUCACCACAAUGGACGGCAAGCUUCAAGCACUUGAUCUCUUCGUGAUGCUCCACUUGAACUUGCACAUGGCAAUCUUGAUGACGAUCACCACUUGAUGUCAUCCUCUCCAUGGGUUGAGUGAUAUCUUCCUCUUGACGCAAGCCCAUGAACACGUACCUAACCCCACAUAGAACUCUCACAUAGACCAUGGGUUAGUACACAAAGCACAAUGGACAAUGCUUAGCAUACCAUGGGAUCACUUGAUCCCUCUCGGUACAUCUUCUACGCUUUGUGAGUUGAUCAACUUGAUUCACUCUUGACUUAGUCUUGAUCAACCUAGAAUCUUUCCAACUCUCUUCAUUUGGAUGAUGUCUUGAAGGUAAACAUGAAUGAUCACACAAUCUUCUUCUUCAAGACAUGCUGGCAAUAAGCUCAACUCUCACAUGACCAAUCUUUGGAUAAUUCCUUAAUAGCACCUUGGUCAACACAAACUCUCCUUGAAACCAACACAUGUACUCCAAGAAAAGCCUAUGGACAAAACCUUCAAAUAUAACUCAAGGCAACCAUUAGUCCAUAGAGAUUGUCGUCAAUUACCAAAACCAAACAUGGGGGCACCACAUGUUCUUUCACCCAUGAGGCAUGGUUCGCAAGUAUCAAGUGAUUUAUAAUCAAGUGAUUCCAAAAGCCCAUCUGCAUGGAGUUUCUUCAUGCGCUUUACACAAACAUGACCAAAACGGAAGUGCCACAAGUAUGUUGCACUAUCAUUAUCAACUUUGCAUCUUUUAGCAUCAAUAUUAUGAAUAUGUGUAUUACUACGAUCGAGAUUCAAUAAACCAUUUACAUUGGGUGUAUAACCAUAGAAGGUUUUAUUCAUGUAAACAGAACAACAAUUUUCUCUGAAUUAAUUGACUAAAUGUAUUGCAAUAAACAUGAUCCAGUCAUAUUCAUGCUCAACGCAGACACCAAAUAACAUUUAUUUAGGUUCAACACUAAUCCCGAAGGUAGAUGGAGUAUGCGAUGGUGAUCUUAUCAAGCUUGGAAUCACUUCCAACACACAUCGUCACCUCGCCCUCAACUAGUCUCUGUUCAUUUUAUAACUCCUGUUUCGAGUUACUAAUCUUAGCAACUGAACCGGUAUCAAAUACCCAUGGGCUACUAUGAACACUAGUAAAGUACACAUCAAUAACAUGUAUAUCAAAUAUAUGUUUGUUCACUUUGCCAUCCUUCUUAUCCGCCAAGUAUUUGGGGCAGUUCCACUUCUAGUGACCAUUUCCUUUGCAGCAGAAGCACUCAGUUUCAGGCUUGGGUCUAGCUUUGGGCUUCUUCACGGGAGCGGCAACUUGUUUGCUGUUAUUAUUGAAAUUCCCUUUUUGUCCCUUGCCCUUUUUCUUGAAACUAGUGGUUUUGUUAACCAUCAACACUUGAUGCUCUUUCUUGAUUUCUACCUUCAUCGAUUUCAGCAUCGCGAACAGCUUGGGAAUUGUUUUUGCCAUCCCUUUCAUCUUAUAGUUCAUCACGAAGUUCUAGUAGCUUGGUGAUAGUGUUGGGGAACGUAAUAAUUUCAAAAAAAAUCCUACGCACACGCAAGAUCAUGGUGAUGCAUAGCAACGAGAGGGGAGAGUGUAGUCCACGUACCCUCGUAGACCGUAAGCGGAAGCGUUAUGAUAGCGCGGUUGAUGUAGUCGUACAUCUUCACGAUCGACCGAUCCUAGUACCUAAAGUAUGGCACCUCCGCGAUCUGCACACGUUCGGCUCGGUGAUGUCCCACGAACUCACGAUCCAGCAGAGCGUCGGGGGAGAGCUUCGUCAGCACGGUGGUGUGAUGACGGUGAUGAUGAAGCUACCGGCGCAGGGCUUCAUCUAAGCACUACGACGAUAUGACCGAGGUGGAUUAUGGUGGAGGGGGGCACUGCACACGGCUAAGGGAUCAAUGAUCAACUUGUGUGUCCUAGGGUGCCCCCUACCCCCAUAUAUAAAGGAGCAAGGGGGGAGGCCGACCGGCUUUGGGGCGCGCCAAGGAGGGGGAGGAGUCCUCCUCCUAGUAGGAGUAGGACUCCCCCUUUCCUAGUCCAAUUAGGAGGAGGAAGGGGGAAGGAAGGAGAGGGAGAGGAGAAGGAACGGGGGGGGGGGAGUGCGCCCCCCUCCCUAGUCCAAUUCAGACUCCCUAUAGGGAGGGGCGCGGCUGCCCCUUGUGGGCUGCCUCCCCUCUUCCCUAUGGCCCAUGUAGGCCUAAUAGUCCCCCCCGGGGGUUCCGAUAACCCCCCGGCACUCCGAUAAUUAUCCGGUGACCCCCGGAACUCAUCCGGUGUCCGAAUAUAGUCAUCCAAUAUAUCAAUCUUUAUUUCUCGACCAUUUCGAGACUCCUCGUCAUGUCCGUGAUCACAUCCGGGACUCCGAACUAUCUUCGGUACAUCAAAACACAUAAACUCAUAAUACCGAUCGUCACCAAACGUUAAGCGUGCAGACCCUACGGGUUCGAGAACUAUGUAGACAUGACCGAGACACGUCUCCGGUCAAUAACCAAUAGCGGAACCUGGAUGUUCAUAUUGGCUCCCACAUAUUCUACGAAGAUCUUUAUCGGUCAAACCGCAUAACAACAUACGUUGUUCCCUUUGUCAUCGGUAUGUUACUUGCCCGAGAUUCGAUCGUCGGUAUCUCAAUACCUAGUUCAAUCUCAUUAUCAGCAAGUCUCUUUACUCGUUUCGUAAUGCAUCAUCCCGCAACUAACUCAUUAGUCACAUUUGCUUGCAAGGCUUAUAGUGAUGUGCAUUACCGAGAGGGCCCAGAGAUACCUCUCCGACAAUCGGAGUGACAAAUCCUAAUCUUGAUCUAUGCCAACUCAACAAGUACCAUCGGAGACACCUGUAGAGCACCUUUAUAAUCACCCAGUUACGUUGUGACGUUUGGUAGCACACAAAGUAUUCCUCCGGUAUUCGGGAGUUGCAUAAUCUCAUAGUCAUAGGAACAUGUAUAAGUCAUGAAGAAAGCAAUAGCACUAUACUAAACGAUCAAGUGCUAAGCUAACGGAAUGGGUCAAGUCAAUCACAUCAUUCUCUAAUGAUGUGAUCCCGUUAAUCAAAUGACAACUCAUGUCUAUGGCUAGGAAACUUAACCAUCUUUGAUUCAACGAGCUAGUCAAGUAGAGGCAUACUAGUGACACUCUGUUUGUCUAUGUAUUCACACAUGUACUAAGUUUCCGGUUAAUACAAUUCUAGCAUGAAUAAUAAACAUUUAUCAUGAUAUAAGGAAAUAUAAAUAACAACUUUAUUAUUGCCUCUAGGGCAUAUUUCCUUCAGUCUCCCACUUGCACUAGAGUCAAUAAUCUGGAUUACACAAUAAUGAUUCUAACACCCAUGGAGUCUUGGUGCUGAUCAUGUUUUUCUCAUGAGAGAGGCUUAGUCAACGGGUCUGCAACAUUCAGAUCCGUAUGUAUCUUGCAAAUCUCUAUGUCUCCCUCCUUGACUUGAUCGCGGAUGGAAUUGAAGCGUCUCUUGAUGUGCUUGGUUCUCUUCUGAAAUCUGGAUUCCUUUGCCAAGGCAAUUGCACCAGUAUUGUCACAAAAGAUUUUCAUUGGACCCGAUGCACUAGGUAUGACACCUAGAUCGGAUAUGAACUCCUUCAUCCAGACUCCUUCAUUUGCUGCUUCCGAAGCAGCUAUGUACUCUGCUUCACACGUAGAUCCCGCCACGAUGCUUUGCUUAGAACUGCACCAACUGAUAGCUCCACCAUUCAAUAUAAACACGUAUCCGAUUUGUGACAUAGAGUCAUCCGGAUCAGUGUCAAAGCUUGCAUCGACGUAACCAUUUACGACGAGCCCUUUGUCACCUCCAUAAACGAGAAACAUAUCCUUAGUCCUUUUCAGAUAUUUCAGGAUGUUCUUGACCGCUGUCCAGUGAUCCACUCCUAGAUUACUUUGGUACCUCCCCGAUAAACUGAUAGCAAGGCACACAUCAGGUCUGGUACACAACAUUGCAUACAUGAUAGAGCCUAUGGCAGAAGCAUAGGGAACUCCUUUCAUUUUCUCUCUAUCUUCUGCAGUGGUCGGGCAUUGAGUCUGACUCAACUUCACACCUUGUAACACAGGCAAGAACCCUUUCUUUGCUUGAUCCAUUUUGAACCUUUUCAAAACUUUAUCAAGGUAUGUGCUUUGUGAAAGUCCAAUUAAGCGUCUUGAUCUAUCUCUAUAGAUCUUGAUGCCCAAUAUAUAAGCAGCUUCACCGAGGUCUUUCAUUGAAAAACUCUUGUUCAAGUAUCCUUUUAUGCUAUCCAGAAAUUAUAUAUCAUUUCCAAUUAACAAUAUGUCAUCCACAUAUAAUAUUAGAAAUGCUACAGAGCUCCCACUCACUUUCUUGUAAAUACAGGCUUCUCCAAAAGUCUGUAUGAAACCAUAUGCUUUGAUCACACUAUCAAAACGUUUAUUCCAACUCCGAGAUGCUUGCACCAGUCCAUAAAUUGAUCGCUGGAGCUUGCACACUUUGUUAGCAUCCUUUGGAUCGAUAAAACCUUCAGGUUGCAUCAUAUACAACUCUUCUUCCAGAAAUCCAUUCAGGAAUGCAGUCUUUACAUCCAUUUGCCAAAUUUCAUAAUCAUAAAAUGCAGCAGUUGCUAACAUGAUUCGGACGGACUUAAGCAUCGCUACAGGUGAGAAGGUCUCAUCGUAGUCAACUCCUUGAACUUGUCAAAAACCUUUCGCAACAAGUCGAGCUUUGUAGACAGUAACAUUACUGUCAGCGUCAAUCUUCUUCUUGAAGAUCCAUUUAUUCUCGAUGGCUUGCCGAUCAUCGGGCAAGUCAACCAAAGUCCACACUUUGUUCUCAUACAUGGAUCCCAUCUCAGAUUUCAUGGCCUCAAGCCAUUUCGCGGAAUCUGGGCUCAUCAUCGCUUCCUCAUAGUUCGUAGGUUCGUCAUGGUCAAGUAACAUGACCUCCAGAACAAGAUUACCGUACCACUCUGGUGCGGAUCUUAGUCUGGUUGACCUACGAGGUUCGGUAGUAACUUGACCUGAAGUUACAGGAUCAUCAUCAUUAGCUUCCUCACUAAUUGGUGUAGGAGUCAAAGGAACAUAUUUCUGUGAUGAACUACUUUCCAAUAAGGGAGAAAGUACAGUUACCUCAUCAAGUUCUACUUUCCUCCCACUCACUUCUUUCGAGAGAAACUCCUUCUCUAGAAAGGAUCCAUUCUUAGCAACGAAUGUCUUGCCUUCGGAUCUGUGAUAGAAGGUGUACCCAACAGUCUCCUUUGGGUAUCCUAUGAAGACACAUUUCUCCGAUUUGGGUUCGAGCUUAUCAGGUUGAAGCUUUUUCAGUUAAGCAUCGCAGCCCCAAACUUUAAGAAGCGACAACUUUGGUUUCUUGCCAAACCAUAGUUCAUAAGGUGUCGUCUCAACGGAUUUAGAUGGUGCCCUAUUUAACUUGAAUGCAGCCAUCUCUAAAGCAUAGCCCCAAAACGAUAGCUGUAAAUCAGUAAGAGACAUCAUAGAUCACACCAUACCUAGUAAAGUACGGUUACGACGUUCGGACACACCAUUACGCUGUGGUGUUCCGGGUGGCGUGAGUUGCGAAACUAUUCCGCAUUGUUUCAAAUGAAGACCAAACUCGUAACUCAAAUAUUCUCCUCCACGAUCAGAUCGUAGAAACUUUAUUUUCUUGUUACGAGGAUUUUCCACUUCACUCUAAAAUUCUUUGAAGUUUUCAAAUGUUUCAGACUUAUGCUUCAUCAAGUAGAUAUACCCAUAUCUUCUCAAAUCAUCUGUGAAGGUGACAAAAUAACGAUACCCGCCGCGAGCCUCAACAUUCAUCGGACCACAUACAUCAGUAUGUAUGAUUUCCAACAAAUCUGUUGCUCGCUCCAUUGUUCCGGAGAACGGAGUUUUAGUCAUCUUGCCCAUGAGGCAUGGUUCGCAAGUAAGUGAUUCCAAAAGUCCAUCAGAAUGGAGUUUCUUCAUGCGCUUUGCACCACGGCAGUGCCACAAAUACGUUGCACUAUCAUUAUCAACUCUGCAUCUUUUGGCUUCAAUAUUAUGAAUAUGUGUAUCACUACUAUCGAGAUUCAAUGAAAAUAGACCACACUUCAAGGGUGCAUGACCAUAAAAGAUAUUACUCAUAUAAAUAGAACAACCAUUAUUCUCUGAUAUAAAUGAAUAACCGUCUCGCAUCAAACAAGAUCCAGAUAUAAUGUUCAUGCUUAAUGCUGGCACCAAAUAACAAUUAUUCAGGUCUAAAACUAAUCCCGAAGGUAGAUGUAGAGGUAGCGUGCCGACCGCGAUCACAUCGACUUUGGAACCAUUUCCCACGCGCAUCAUCACCUCGUCCUUAGCCAAUCUUCGCUUAAUCCGUAGUCCCUGUUUCGAGUUUGCAAAUAUUAGCAACAGAACUAGUAUCAAAUACCCAGGUGCUACUGCGAGCAUUAGUAAGGUACACAUCACACUACAAAAAAAUACACUUCGGUGAUGAUACGUGUUUGUCACAAUAGGUCACGUUUUCUGUCAUGCAUAUACAUCCAUGACAAAUUUAUGACAGAAUCAAGAUAGUCAUACCUGUGCUGUCGUAGAAGUGUUCCAUGACAUUACCGAAUUUAUCAUCACGGAAGUGUCCACUUCCAUGACUAUAAAUCGCGCGUCACAGAAGUGCUUUCGUCAAGGGUGACCGACACGUGGCAUCCACCGUAACGGAACGCCGUUAAGCUAUCGGGUUUGGUUUUGGAUUCGAUAACCCGUUAACAGCCCCGACCAAUGGGGAUUUUCCACGUGUAAAAUCAUCAAUGGCUGGAGGAAACACGUGUCGGCUCACCGUUGGGACAGGUGUCACUCAUCCAAUAGGCGAGAUGCGCUUAUGAAAUGUUGACACGUGGACCGGCCCAAAAGUGGCCCAUAAAGUUUAAAUGGGCCGGCCCAACUAAAGGCCCACACGAUUUUGUGGUCCAUAAUGGGCCGGCCCAGCAAAAGGCCCAUGAGAUUUUGCGUACCAUAAUGGGCCGGCCCAGCUAAAGGCCCACAAGAUUUUGCAGGCCAUAAUGGGCCGGCCCAUCUAAAGGCCCGCGAGAUUUUGCGGACCAUAAUGGGCCGGCCCAGCUAAAGGCCCACAAGAUUUUGCCGACCAUAAUGGGUCGGCCCAGCUAAAGGCCCACGAGAUUUCGCCGACCAUAAUGGGCCGGCCCAGCUGAAGGCCCAAAAGAUUUUGAUGACACUAGUAGGCCGGCCCAUUAACAGGCUGCCAUGUUUUGGGCCAAAUGCCGGCCCAUACUUGAUCCGGUCCAUUAAUAGUCUGCCACGUUCCGGGCCUAAUAAAUGCCCAUAGGUGAUCCGGCCCGUUAAAAGCCUACCACGUUGUGGGCCAAAUUACGGCCCAGAUCAGGUCCGACCCUUUGAGAGGCUUUGGGCUAAAUUAUGGCCCAUAUCAGAUUCGGCCCAUCAACUGGACGCUAUGCUUUUGGGCCCACUUGAUAAAGGCCCAUUUAGUAAUUCGGCCUGAUAUUAGUUUUGGCCUGUUAAAGGCCCGUUUAACAUUUCAGCCCUAUAUAUAUUUCGGCCUGUUAAAAGCCCGUUAUAUAGUUGGGCCUAACUACGGCCCCGUUUGCAUCCGGCCUGCUCACAGACGAUAAUCUGAUUGGGCCAAAUAAGAACCGAGACAAUUUUGGCCUGUUAUAAGCCCAUGAUCUAAUUGGCACAAUCAUGGGCCGGGGUCUAUUUCGGCCUGCUGCCGGCCCGUGAGCUGUUCGGCACGUUUCAGGCCCAACCUACUUUUCAGCCUCCUAAAGCCCCAUUGAGUUUUCUUGGGAAAAUAGGGCCGGCGGUUUACUCGGCCUAUUAAAGGCCCGAAUCUACUAGUGGGCCAGUUUACAUUUAGGCAUGUUAAUGGACCAAGAUGACGGGGCCCAUGAUGCGGAUCAUACAUGGUGUAACAUCCCGAUUCUCGGAAUGUUUAAGAUUUUUUUCGAAAAUCAGGACGAGAAAAUUUCAUUUGUUUUAGUUAAUAAAGCUUAAAUUGAGUUUUCAUAAAUUUGGUGGAGUUAAUUUGAUAUAAUCCCAACUUAAAUUAAAUUUGUAUUUUAUUCUUUUUUAACUGGAUUUUAAAUUUUGUCAUCUUCGACAUAUUGUAAUAUCUGCCUUCUAAUUCUCUUUGGUUUUUCUGAAAUUCGUUUGAUGAUUUGAGCUUCUUUUCCUUCUCUAGAUUUUCCUAAAGGAAAAUCAAUUUCUUUUCUUCCCUCAAAACUCUGGACGAAAUUCCCUAGCAUAUCUUUCUUUUUAUUCCUGUGUGAAGCCCACCUCCUUUAUUUUUUUCCUUCCAAACCGAAUGGGCUUAGGCCAACUGUUUUUUUUCUUUCUCUUCCUUCUCUAUUUCCUUCUCCCCAUGGGCCCUUAGCCCAUUUUCUUCAGGUGGUGGCCGAACGUUUAAUCUUCCUCACAUACAUACACAGAGGAAACGCACGCACAUGAAACGGCAACAGUCAUCGUUGCCUCCUCCUUUAAUUCCCUCUCUUGACUCCUCCCUUGCCUUAUCUCCCUCUGACUUGCCAUCUUCCAAGCGCCAGGCUCAAGUGCUUCGUCUCCUGCUCCACUCACCUGCACGCACACCAUUACAGAGAAGAAAACCUACAUGAGAGAAAGAGACCCUCCACUAACUCCCUUAAAUCUCCAUCAUUUUCAGUUUUGAAGAUAUCUAGACAUGCUCCACGAUCUCCUCUUCCACCCCGCAGAAACUCCUGUCCUCUCCCUUGUCUGUUCUUCCAAAAUACAUCCACGAAGUGCUGCUGCUCCAUGAACGCCGGUGUUUGUUCCGGGCGACUUCAAGCAUCUCCAUCCAUGCCCUUGCGCCAGAAGGUUCCCCUCGAUGUGGUGAAUCCAUUCAAGAAAGAAGGAACACAUUCCGUCGACCACACGCGAAGAAUUUCACAUGUGCGUGUACACUGUUCGUCAAGUUCACCACACCGUUCCGUCCAACUCGGCGAGCCUCUAUCCAAUUCCUCAUGCACACCUUCUCAACAUCACUCGUAGUAUCUCAUAGACAUCAUUAUUCAACCUAUCUCUGUUGUUACUCACGCCGAUGCAUGAACGGAUGUCAUCAACAUGUCUGCGUACUUUUUAGUCCCUUGGAUGAUCUUGUGUUCAACACAUGAGUUGUUUCCCAUGUCCUUGGUAACCCCGUGGUAGAGUUAGAUUACUUGUUUGGUAAUCAUGUUUAGUGUUGAUUUAAUUAUAGUCCUUUGGCCUAAAUCCGAUAGUGUUUUGAGUUGAUAACUUUUCUUGUUAGUUUAAUGUAUUUUUUAUGUCUCGUCAUGCCUAGGAGUCAUCUUGAGUUAUAUUAUAAUUUUAGGAGUGUCUUGUGUUUUACUCACUUAAGUUGAAUGUGCGUUUUAUUUAUUAAGUAUAGUUUUGUAUGGUUUCUUGUAGACAACUUCGUGCAUCAUGUAGUAGUGAGAUACACCUUUGUGUUAGUUCUUAUGUAUUACUACUAUGUGUAGUAGUUGAUCGGUCAACUUUUCUUGUUAGUAUGUUAUUUUAUUAUGUUCAUGAUAUGCCUACAAGUGUAUGUUAUUCGUCUUAUAAUUUUAGUGCAAUGUAGGACUUGUUAGAUUUAUUUCUUUCACCGUUCAAAAAUUGUUCCACAUGUUAUUUCAGAUAGAUAUUUUUCUUUCUUGUGGUACAUAGUUAAGAUAUGUAUAUGUACAUGUUUUUGCAAAUUAUUACCAUGCGUAGGUUUAUGUAGAAUUAUGGUAACCUUUGUGUGAUUAUGCAAUACCGAAUGUCUUGAUUAUUUUCAUUUUUGUUUGGGAAUGAGGAUAUCUUAUAUAUCGUUUACAUAUUCAUUUUCAUCGAUGUUCCAUGUUUGGUUGAUUGGUUUGAAAUCAUGCCAUGUCUACGAUAGGUGUUUAUACAUUUUUAGUACGUGUUAUUGCAUAGUAUUCCUUAUGCAAUAUGCCGAAUGAAAUGCCUUAUUGUUUGGAUAUGAGUACAUUGUAGUUCAUAGCAUAGAAUAUUAUUGGCUAGUUGUUCCUUUUAUUUUAUAAAUGUGUGUUAUACAAGAUUGCAUGGAUAGAUGCUUCAUGAAAUCAUUUAGUUUUGUAUUACUAUAUAUAAUUUAUUCUUGUGAAAUAGAAUUCAGUUUAUUUCAUCUUGCUAACUAUCAUGUGUCCAUUUACAUUUGUUUAUUACCAUGCCAUGUUAGGAUUUGCUCAAUGUCCAACGCAUGUUUUGAUUGUAUGUGUUAUAUGAUUGCUACUUUAUAUUGUAUGACCAAUCAUAUGCUUAAUAUUUGCUUGGUAGAGGUGCAUGUUAGUAGUUUAUGAUCUCAUAUAUUUUAAUUAAGUAGGAGUCCUUCUUGCUUCAAUAUAGUGCCAUGAUGUUGCGAUUGUAUAACUAGACUACAUAGUGUGUGCGUGUGUGUGGGGGUAUGUGUGUGUGUACCAAUUCAUGUAUUAGAAGAUCAUGACUAGUGAUGCAUCUUAUGUACUUGCAAUUGUAGGUUGUACCAGAUAGAAAUACAUGUCAUCUUGUUAUUCCUGCUUCUAUAAUACAUGUUGAUUUGGUUGAUGAGAUGAUCUAGUUGUUUACUUUCCUACAUGCUUAGUAUGCUUCCAUGUGCUUAUUUAUCAUAACUAGCAUGGUAUAGUGUUGUAUGCUAACAUCGUGUUUGCUCUUUAGGUUAGUUAUUAUCAACUAGGUAAUCUCGCAGUUAGGAGUUGUAUUCUAUUAGUAGCAUAUUGUAGCAUCUUGUGUGAUGCCUCGCAUCAUGUCUGGUUUAUUUUACUGUUACAUUUGUGAUAUGCUUAAGCCUAUGGAUCAAGUCAUGCUAGUGAUUUGUCUUGUCUUAUUAUGUUCCAUAUGCUAUAGUUGAGUACUUAGACCCUUGUGUUUCUUAUAGAUGUUUAACUUAGUCUCAUUUUAGUAUUAUGAAUGUUUUAAUACUUGUUGCUAUGACUUGUCAUAUGCUUGGGAUGAGUCAUAUGUCAUGUUAGUAGAGUUGUACUUUGAUCACACACUAAGUGUGUGUAUCAUGCCUUGUUAUUGUAAGCAUGUGGUGAUAAUAGUAUUGCUAGUGGUCAUUGGUAUUAGUUGUUCUUUAUUAUUAAGAGCAUGUCCUAAUUUAGUAUCUUCUCUUGAUAACUUUUAUGUGUGAUGCUUGUGUUAUUACUUAAGACAUCUAUAUGAUCCUAUACUCACAUGCCUUGUGUGAGAUGUGUGUUAUUAUAUUAAGUUGUUUAAUUAGUUUCUACCAUAGUAUUGGUUUGUGUUUUAUUAUAGAAAUGCUUACUAAUAGUUGUUAUGAUUGAUGUUUAGUCUUUACUUGUUGUUAACCAUUAUAAUCAUUUGGAUUCUUCCAAAUAAUUACUUGUGGUUAAUAUUAAUCUUAACCAUAUCAUGUUUCUGAUGGUUGUUCAUCCUUUUGUUCCAUGUGAUGUAUAGUUUCUUGUUAAUUGUUUGACAAAUGAAUUGGUUUGAUUUAAUGGAGUGGAUCCUAAUGUUUUAGGUCUAGACGCUAGAUCAAUUCAAUUCAUUUUUAUGGAAUGAUAUUUGAUUGAUUAACUAGUAUGGCUUAUAAUGUUGGUUUGGUUGUCAUAUAGAAUACUUGCUUGUUAAUAACCAUUGUAAAUAUUUAGAUUCUAUCUAAAUAUUUAUUAUGGUUAACUUUUACCUUUAUCAUGCCAUGAUUAUGAUUGUGUAGUAUGCAAAGGACGGUUCCUUUUCAUGUGUGUUGAUGCCAUUGUUUUUUAAUAUAGUUAGGUGAGAUGUGUAGUGGGUACUACUAGUGGUUGGUACCAUAGUUCGUAUUAGAACGUUAGUAUUGUUGGCAAGCCUUGAUUAUCCAUCAUCAACUAAACCCUGUCAAUUCAUCGAGUCCUCUACUUAUCUUCCAGUCAUGUUAUCUCCUUUUGAUAUCUCCAUCUUGAUCAGUAUCUUGCUAUCCAUCCACUCUUAAUUUGUUUUGGAUGUUAUUUGGAUUUUCUAUUUCUUUGGUAUUUAUUGUUUUUCCUUUGCUAUCGUUACGACGAGUAUGGCGUGACGACGAUGUUGGACAUGGACAGAAACAGGUUACCGAAGAAGGACUCAACAACGAAGGCAUGCCUCCUUUGAUCAUACUUAUCCUAUGGUUUACAAAAUUGCAUUGAGUUUUAUUGUUACUAUGUGCAUGCUAUUUUAAUUCUCGUAGCUAGCGUGUCGAUUGACACAUUACCUUGAUCCGCUUGUCGCCUAUUUACUUGACACCUAAGUAGAAGUAUAAGGUUCCCAUAGAGUAGAAAUGCUUAGCCAUGCUUAUCACCCUAUAGGUGCCUUGUUGAAUGACCUCUGAGUCAUUGACAGUUGAAACUUAACGCUGAGCUAGGCCUGUUGGCCCUUGUUAACCUUCUGAAAGGAUCGAUAUAGUUGACUAGGAGGGGGGGGGGGUGAAUAGGCAACUAACAAUUUUUAGCUUUUCUUUACCAAUUUAAACUUUGCAUCAAAGUAGGUUGUCUAGAUAUGCAACUAGGUGAGCAACCUAUAUGAUGCAACAACAACAAGCACACAAGCAAGCAAGGCAUAUAACACAAAUAAGCUGCACAAGUAAAGGCACGGGAUAACCAAGAGUGGAGCCGGUGAAGACGAGGAUGUGUUACCGAAGUUCCUUCCUUUUGAGGGGAAGUACGUCUCCGUUGGAGCGGUGUGGAGGCACAAUGCUCCCCAAGAAGCCACUAGGGCCACCGUAUUCUCCUCACGCCCUCACACAAUGCGAGAUGCCGUGAUUCCGGUGCCCUUGGAGGCGGCGACCGAACCUUUACAAACAAGGUUGGGGCAGUCUCCACAACUUAAUUGGAGGCUCCCAACGACACCACGAAGCUUCACCACAAUGGACUAUGGCUCCGCGGUGACCUCAACCGUCUAGGGUGCUCAAACACCCAAGAGUAACAAGAUCCGCAAGGGAUUAGUGGGGGGAAUCAAAUUUCUCUUGGUGGAAGUGUAGAUCGGGGCCUUCUCAACCAAUUCCUAGAAAAUCAACAAGUUUGAUUGGCCAGGGAGAGAGAUCGGGCGAAAAUGGAGCUUGGAGCAACAAUGGAGCUUAGGGUUGAAAGAGGUGGUCAACUCGGGGAAGAAGACACCCCUUAUAUAGUGGAGGGACAAAUCCAACCGUUAUCCACCAACCCAGUGUGCGCAGCGUGGUACUACCGCGCCAGGGCCGUGGUACUACCGCAAGCGCCUGCGGUACUACCGCAGGGCCUUGCGGUACUACCGCCCGAGUGGCACAGACCUGGACAACCCAAACGCACUGAAGCGGAGGGCGGUAGGACCGCUCGUGCGGUACUACCGCACCACCUAGUGGUACUACCGCAAGGCAGGGAGGUUCCAGAAAACGGGAAGGCACGGACCUAAAAAAAAAUUACAUCCGUGGAAACUUCCACUGAGUUGGAGUCGAUGCAAAAAUCCGACACGGUAGUACAGCACGAGGAGCGAUAAUACCACGCGGUGGCUGAGCCAGGCCAGGAGGCACGGUACUACCGCGCACUGGGCGCGGUACUACCGCGUAGGGCUCAGAUGUAAAAAAUUACAUCCGCCCCUACUACCGCUGCGCAGCAGCACUUGGCCUGGGGGCCACGGUACUACAGCUCCUGAGGAGCGGUACUACCGUGGGCUCCCACGGCCCGCGGUAGUACCGCUCCAUGGAGCAGUACUACCGCAGGCCCAAGCUCAACAACCUAAGACAAGUUGCAUAGACGAAAAAAGACGGAGGAUGCUCCAAGGUGCCAAAGGAAAGGCGGUGCAAAAGGAGUAGACGUGUACGUGAUGAUUCCACCCAAACCUUUCCAAAGCGGACCCCUCUUAAUAGUACGGCUUUCCUACGACUCAAAUCAACCAAAAAGAAACGUAGAAAAACGCCGUCUUCACUAGUCUUCGAGGGGCACCGAACCGUCUUGUGCCUAGUAGCGAAACGUCUGCAAUACUCAAGGCACACGAUUAGUCCGCAAAAGCAUUGUCAUCAAUCACCAAAACACCUUAGGGAUAAAUAUGCCCUUCCAAUCUCCCCCUUUUUGGCGGAUUGAUGACAAUACGGGAUUUGCACAGAGGGAAAUAAUAUAGAACAUAAGCAAACCCAACAUCUCUAAAAUAUAGACGGGCUCCCCCUAGAUGCGUGCUAUCUAGAUAAGUGCUUUGGACUGCACGGCACGUAUACUAGGAUCAAGACUCCCCCUAUAUUUUAUAGACAAGGCAUAUCUUGCAACAAUAAGGCUAACACUAAGCAAGAUAGUAAACAGGAGCAUAACAUAAAUAGCACAAUAUAUAUAAGCUCAAUAAGGUACGAUAGAGUGCAUAUGUCUUACACCAUAUGAACGAUAAGUCUCACGAGCAAACCAAACCAAAGCAAGCAAGGUUCAACGGAACAAACGCAAGCAAAGCAAACGCAAGACUCGCAAAUCCCUACACUCUCUCCCCCUUUGGCAUCGAGAUGCCAAAAAGGCAGAGAGGACACCUACAACACAAGUGGUGGCUCAAGCGGAGUAAUCACUCGCACGCUCCUCGUCAGCCUUAGCAGCGGGGACGGUCUCCUCGUUGUCCUCCUCAGAAUCAGUCCACUUGAAGCCUUGUUUUGCCAUCCACUUAGCCUCUGGAGUGAUGAUCUCCUCAGAACCGCCAGAAACUUCCUCUCCAAAGACCCUCAUAUUCUUCUUGUCGCGGCGGCGACUCUCCUUGGAGGCAACGUGAGUCCUGUACUGCCCCUUUGCCUGCAUGCAGAACAGAGUCUUCAUCUUGUCCUUCAGCUUCUUAGCCCAUGAGGGCUCAGUGGAGCGAGGGGCAUACCCAGCAGAGCGGUUCUUAGCUGCACCCUCCUCCUCACUCUCCUCCCCAUCAACAUCCAUCUUAGCAGCCGCUGCCUUAGCACGAGUAGUAGUGUUAGCCCACUGGGGCUUGAUGCGAAGUCUGAUGGGGUCAUGACGGAUCCAGUUAGGGGCCAAAAACUCAUCCUGAGGGAAUCGCUGCUCCCAUGUCUUCGAGAUCAGCAGAAACAGGUAAGGUCCAUAGAUGGGAACCUUACGGUUGAACACCGCAAAGCGAAGCUCACACCACAUGAUGUGGGAGACGUCCAAGGGUUGUGUCUGAGAGAUCCGCGCCUCCUCACAGAGAAGCAACAUGUCCACAAGAUAAGCAUGCACCUUGUCCUUGUCCCCAAUGCGUGGGAAGAGAGAGUUGUGGAAGAUCCGGUGCAUGAUGUCAACGAAAGGGUUCAGAACCCAUGUCUUCUUGACGCUUGGAAGGAGCUUCUCAACAUAAUAUUGCAUAAGUUUGUUCUUGCUGGCAGACUCGGGGUUGGCAUGAGGGCGGACACCAACGGGCGUGUUGAGCCCCUCAUCAGGAACAUUGAGCAAAGCCAUGAAUUCCUGCCAAGUAGCAGUCAGCUGACGUCCAUUGGUUCUCCAGGUCAACCUCCGAUCCUCCUCAGUGUGAAAGUGAACCGAAGCAAAGAACUAGGCCACAAGCUCGGGAUCAUAGUCCAGGUGAAAAGAGAUCACAUCCUCAAUGGCAAACUGCUCCACGAGAUCCAAGGCCUCACCAAAGUAUGCACGGUGCUUCUCCUCCCUCAUGUGAUUCAUAUCAAUCCAGUGCACGUCCACAUAUGUGUUCUGCUUGCCCUUGAUCACAUCCAAAUAAAUGAGAUUUUGCUGCUUGGUCCAGAACAGAUCAUUGCCUCUGAUGUUGGCACGAGGAUUCACAUAAGGGUUGAUCCUCCUUCGACCGAGAAACUCUGUCUGUGGAAUCUCAUCCAUGCCCAUGGAGGGCUCCUUCUGCUUGGUGGCGGUAGUCUUGGUCCUGCGUUGGGGGGCAUUGGAGCCCUCUGGGGCUUCAUCUUGAUUGCAAAGACGCUUGGAGCCCGUGUCACGGCUGGGAUUGGAACGGCGAGCAGGAGCCCCGGAGCCGCCACCUAAGACACCAAACACAAAACACCCACGAGAAGCGAGACGGAUCAAUGCAAAGACCACCGCAAAAACAGAUGAAACAAGGAGAACGUGCACUUGGUAGUUGCCAUGAAGAAGAUUUGAUAGCUAUGGUAGUACAGCCAGUUCGCGUGGUACUAAAAUUUUAGUGCCACUCCUAGUCGCGGUAGUACCGUGUGGCAGCACGGUAGUACCGGGGCUCGGAGUGGUAGUAGGAUUUUAGUACCUUGGCCCGCGCGGUAGUACCGCACCUGAGGGGCGGUAGUACCGCACCUGAGACGCGGUAGUACCACAUGGCGCCAGAUCCGAACCAAUUUGAAUCUGAGAACAACCGUGACAACGAGGCGGUACUACGGUUGAUCAAAUCUACCAUGGGACACCAUACCAGGUACAAUUUCUACGCAACACUACUCUCCUACAUCCUACUCUUACAAAGAUUUGGCCUAAAAUCUCAAGAACAACAUGCAUCUCCCCAAAAACCUAGAAGUGAAAGAACGAACAAAAGAGAAAGGGAUCUGGGGAGAAACCUUGUUCCAUGGCAAGAGGAAGUGGUGGGGAACGAUCCCACCGGUCGGAAUUCGAGGAGAGCGGCCAGAGAUGGAGAUCUGGCGAGGGUCUCCGGCGCCGUUCUUGAGAGAGAGCGAGAGAGAGAGAGAGAGACCGCGGGGAGAGAAGAGGACGAAUGGGUAUGGGGGAGUUGGAACUCCCCCUGCCCGCUCUUAACCUCACGCGCCCUCGGCCGCGUGGUAGUACCGCAUGUCAUCGCGGUAGUACCGCCCGGGCGGAAGUACUAUGCCGAGGCGGUAGUACCGCUCCCCCAGGCGGCAGUAAAAAAUUACUGUCACGCUGGGUGCGGAAGUACCGUGCGCUCCUCAUGCGGUAGUACCGUGGCAGGCCGCGGUAGUAGCGUGAGCUCAAGAAGAUGCAAGUUUCAAGAAGGGAAAA
Molecule: long non-coding RNA, 94198 nt
Filed under: Triticum aestivum (bread wheat)
Lineage: Eukaryota; Viridiplantae; Streptophyta; Magnoliopsida; Poales; Poaceae
Description: long non-coding RNA (TAES_LNC018180)
Source: RNAcentral